GCCACUAAAUUCUAUAGAUGGACCUCAAGUUGCUGUUCCGUUAAAAAAGCUGAUGGUAUCAAGAUUACCAAAGCUAAAGUGUGUAUGGAAAAAAGAACUCACCCAUCAAGUUAACUUCCAAUGCCUACAUUCUAUUAGCGUUUUCGAUUGCAAGAGCCUCACCUCUCUAUUUCCAGCCUCAAUAGCCAAAGAUCUAGUCCAACUUGAGGAGUUAGAGAUCAAUGGAUGUGGCAUUAUGGAACUCAUUGAAAAGGAAGAAGGACUAGUUCCCACGUUUGAUUUCCCAAAGUUAACCUCCCUCAAGCUUAAGCAUCUGACAGAGUUGAAGUGCAUCUACACCGAAACACAUGUUUUACAUUGGCCAACAUUGAAGACCUUGCAAGUCUAUGACUGUAACAAAUUGGAGAUCUUUGCUUUGCAACUUGAGAAUGAGAUGCUACUUCAUAAACAACCCCUCUUGCUGAUAGAAAAGGUAAGACCUGAGAUUAUCUGUGUUUGCUUUGAUGGUGAAUAUUUGAAGUGAUGAUUAGCGUCAACCAAGCAUCUCAUACAAGCAGCUCUUACAUGCGAAGAUGUAAAUUGUACGACUCUCCUUGAAUCCAUAGAAAUAUUACAACAUUGAAACGUCAUAUGUUCUUCAAGUAUUAACUGAAAAUUCUUGUCAAUGUCUAAUGUACCGAAGGAAUACUCGUUGAACCCCUUUCAAAAAAGAUUUAGGCUAAUUUCGAUGGUUCUCUCUCCUAAAUGCCACAAAGAUUGAAAAAACGUGGCAUAUGUCGUGAUAUUAACAUGGUACAAGUGUAUUUGAAUCGUAAGAGAUUAAUGAUAUUAUGCUAAAAAGGGAAAGAUGGGACAUUAUUGUUAACAUUAUUGUUAUUAUUCACAAAAUGUAUAAUAUAGGCAACUCUCUUAAAAACCAACAUGAAGAAUGGAAAGGAGGACCAUGUUUAAAAAAAAAAAAAAUACUAUGCUAAUCUAAUUGACGCAUGCCUUUUGUAUAUCAUCUUUAAACAAGCAAUUAGUCAUUACAUAGACCUCAUAAUUAUAAGAGCACGGAAUUUUGUAAUAUGUUCAUGCGUGCAUGUAGUAUGCAUAGAUAUAUUUGUACGUAUUUUUGGCAACACAAACACAAAUCCACAAUGGCUGCUCGAUAUCUUAUUAAAUUUGUUAUUGAUAGCGAUUUACUAACAUUAAAGAGAAGUUUGUAAGCUAAGGACAAACAAUUGCCUGGAUAAGAAAAACGCACGACUGUUUUGUCCAACGAAAGUUGACGCGGCGGGAGAGUGGGGGGGGGGGGUGGUGGGGGGCGGCGCGGGGGGGAGGGGCGCAAGACUCCCUCAAUAUGUUAAUUUUUCCUCUGGGUCUGGGACAUAUUUGUUAUGAGUCCCACGAAGGUGUGUGUGUGCCUUUGCGUUUUCGCUUUUUCUUAACCGCCUCUUUGGGGCUUUUAAUUUUUGCCAUUGUUCUCAUUGGACACUAGCAAUAGAUAUCAGUUGAACUUUUUUUUGGGCUGAAAUUUGAGGUUGAAAGUGUUGUCAAGUUUGCUUCAUUAUACAGAGAGAGAUAACUAGUGCUCCACUCGCUAAUCCAUUUUUGAAGGAGAAAUUAUUGGUAUGGAAUAAAACUAGCUCAUCAUCAAAUUAAGCUCAGCAUUGCAAGUUUUUUUUAGCUAAGAAAAGACUGAAAAUCAGAAACAACGUUAGUAUGGAGAUUUUUUUUACUCUGUUUUAUUGUUUUAUUCUCUCUUAUUUUUUUCCCUUUUGUGCAACUUAAUAAUUUCUCUCUCCCCUUGGCACUCGUGUAUAUUUACAUCUUGAAAGUUUAUGAUUCAAGAUUUAAUUAAUCACUAAUUUCAUGAGCAAAUUCUAUAGGUUGGCUUUCAGAGACUGGGGACAUUAGAAAUCAGUGGCUUGGAUAAUCUCAAGUUUUUAUUUUUCCCAUCCAUGGUUAAAUCUCUUGCACAACUGAAAAAGCUGACCAUAUCAAAUUGUGAGAAGAUGGAGGCAAUCUUUAUGGAGGAAGAAGGGUUGGGAAUGAAAACAUCAGAAUUUUUGGCAUUCCAGAUGUUAAUCAUUUUACACUUAGAACAAUUGAACAGUUUGACUAAACUAAAAGCAAUAUAGGCCUUUUACCUAAAUCGUUGUUUAUGCACCCAAAGAGGCUGUGGAAACGGGCCCUCCCACAAAAUAAAUACAUCGACUUUCUUAAAUAAUUUUAAUUCCUAUAAUGGGAUAUUCGGGAAAACCUUCGAUUAUUUGACUUGGGUAUAAGUAUGAUCUAUCCUUGAUAUCUAACUAUUGGAUCCUCCAGCAUGGAUAAAAAAAUCAUUGAAUUUUAAAAGGAAAAUUCAAUCGAUUAAGUAUAUUUAGUUCUUUCAAGUGGGGAAUGAAGUAAGUGAGAUUUGUUCGUUUGGCCCAUUCAAUUCCUUUUUUAAUGGCUUUCUCUUAGCCUCACUCUUUAAUUGCUUUAGAGUGAUAUAAUAUUGAUUUGAGGCAUUUGGUAUCGGAAAAAAUUACACGCCUUAAUGUAUUGCACCUUUUGAUGGAUGAUUGGUUGGCUUUUUAAUCUCAAUCUCUCCAUCAUUUUAUUUCUAAUUGCUAAUAUUCUUCCUCGAGCGAUCCACUGCAAUUUUCUUUUACUACAUCAAUUCCCUAACUUCUAACGUUGAUCACCCUUUUGACAUGGUUUUUGUUUCUUUAACUCAAUUCUUCCUUGUCUGUAAGUGAUUUAAAGUACGAUCCAAUAUUAUUUGUUUUGCUUUGAUGGUGAAUAUUUAAAGUGAUGGUUAAACCAAGCAUCUCAUACAAGAUGCUUGUACAAGCGAAGAUAUAAACUGUACACCUCUCCUUGAAUCCAUAGACAUAUUGCAACAUUGAAACAUCAUAUGUUCUUUGAGUAUUGAUUGAACAUUCUUGUCAAUGUUUGAUGUGACAAAUGCAUACUCAUUGAUCCCCUUAAAAAAGAGGCUAAUUCCAAUCAUUUAGCUCUCUUUUAAGUACCACAAAGAUUAAAAAAACACGUGGUAUGUGGUGUGAUCUUACCAUGGCACAAGUGUGUUGUCUAAUUUGAACCCUAUAAAAAGUGUUGAUCUUAUGCUAACAAAGAAAAGAUGGACAUUAUUGUUGACAUUAACGAUUGAAAUUAGUGCAAUUGUGACUAUAAUUGAUGCAGGAGUUAUUUUCACAAGGCAUAUAUCUUUAGAAAUGUGAAUUUAAGGAGUUAAUCAAGUUCAAAUAUGGAUACAAGUCAAAUAUAAAAUAUCAGCGAUAAUGUUUGUUUCAUGAGGGCACAUUUCUUUCCAUUGAAUCACGAGACUCGACAUUUUAAAAUGCAAUUAUUGUGCUCGAUAUGCAGGAUUCAAGAUAUAUUCAACAUCUGCAAACUCUAGAUGUGUCACAUUGUGAUGGGUUAUUAAAUAUGUUCACACCGAUAAUUGCUGAAAAUUUGGUGGCACUUACAAAAUUGAGGAUAAGUAAUUGUAGAAUAUUGACAGAAGUCAUUAAUGAUGAGAAAGGUGGGGAUGUCCGUGUGGUGGCUUUCAAUCAAUUGAAGUAUAUGGAGCUUGAUGGGUUGAUAGGGUUGAGAAGUUUCAGUUCGGGUGGAUACACUUUGAUGUUCCCGCUCUUGGAAGAUAUCAUUGUGACUAGAUGUCCCAACAUGAAGUUUUUCUCUUAAGGACCGAUGGAGGCAUCAAAGUUAAAGAGAGUUCAAGUAUCAAAGGAAGUGUGGUUUUGGGCAAGAAACCUCAACAUCACCAUCCAGAAUAUGUUUGAAGAAAUGGUACGCACUAGUUACCAAAUUCCAUGUAUUUUGAUGGUUUUGAUCACUAGAUGAAUAAUAGCUUUUUGCUAGCUAGAAGUUUAUGCUUAACGAUGCAUUUUUUUCAUAGGGCACGUUUGCUGGAGUAGAGAAAAUGUUGCUAUCUGAGUUCCCUGGGUUGAUUGGAAAAUGGCACAACGAACUUAAUCCCAUCAAGUCGUAUUGGCAACUAAAAUCAGUGGUGGUAGAUAAAUGUCCAUUUAUUAACGCUGUUCCAUCCAGAUUAAUGCUUGUCUUAGACAAUUUGAGCUAUUUGCAAGUGCGUGAUUGUGAGUUGCUUGAAGAAAUAUUUGAUUUGGAAGGGCUGGAGGUUGUGGAAAGCACUCGAGUACUGCCUCAGCUACGGGAAUUGAACUUGGUCAAUCUACCAAAAUUAAGGCGACUGUGGAACAAAGAUCUUCAAGAAUCGCUAUGCUUCAAUUCUCUAAAAAGUCUCAUCCUUUAUAAUUGCAGCAACUUGGGACAUGCUUUAUCUCCAUCAAUGGCUCAAUGCCUUGCCAAUCUUGAAGUAAUGGAAAUAAAGGAGUGUGGUCAAAUGGAAGGAGUGAUCGUAGAGGAAGAAGCAAAGGGAAGCGCAAUGAAGAAGAUUACAUUCCCAAAGCUCCAGUGGAUGAUGAUGGAAUACUUGCCCAAUUUGACUUGUUUCCUCUUGGGAAAAAAUCAUAUACUGGAAUGCCCCAAAUUACAAAAGAUGAUAAUUGCCCAUUGCCCCAAGAUGGAAAGUUUGAUUAGGCAAUCUCAGAUGGAGGAUGACCACAGCACCCCUUCAUUUUUCACUUCCCAGGUCAGUCUUUCAAAUAAAUGCGUCUUUGGUGUUUCAUUGGGACUUGUUCUCGUAGUAUUGGACAAUGCACGAUAUGAUGCAAAUUUUGUGCUUGUGCCAAUUUAUAUACAUAAUCUUCUAAUAUUUAAGAUGAAGAUUAAAAAUAUUCUAAUCCUCAAUAAAUAUUACUAUUAUAUGUACAUCUCCAUAUCCUAUUAGAAGUGUUAAGUUGGUGUAAGUUUAUGAAAUCAUAUCAUAUGCAGUACUUUAGAAUUAAUCAGCGAGGUUCCUAAAAAAGUUAUCACAAUAACCAUAUAAAAACAUUUGCUUUUUGCAAUUUCAAUUAUAAAGAACUAAAACAGAAAACAUAGAAUGGCAUCUAAAAAUGGCAUAAAAAAUAUUAAGUAUCGCCCCUUCAUAUUUAUUUGCGUGGAAGCAAACUAUUGUCAUUCUAUUAAACAUGAAGAAAAGGGAAAAGUAAAACUUCAUAAUUGUAAAAGCCAAUUUCACAAAUUGUUUAACUAUUACAGCUCAUUAUACCAUAAUUAGUGGAGCCAACUUUUGUAUUUCUUAAUAAUCAUCUAUGCUUGAGCAAGGUCUUGAUAAUAAAAAAAAAAAUAAAAAUAAAAAAGGUCAAUAUGCAUGAAGUGGUUUGCCUUCCUUGUUCGUAAAUCAUAUUUGAAUAGCUAUACUCCAACAACCUAUCAAAUUAUGCACCUGUAUUAUACAAUAAAUUUUAACUUUGGUUUAUCAUAUUGAGUGAUAAUUAGUGUGAUAUUAUGCACAAUCUAUAUUUAGUAGGAGAAAAUGCAGAUUACUUUUUCCGGAAAAAGAAAUGGCUUAAAAAAGGAAAAAAUAAAAGAGAAAAAAGGACAUCUGGAUAAAUAGUAGCAAUUCCAAGGGCGGUUGCUGACAUUGCAAGUCUUAUUUCAUAACUAGAUGACAAUAUUUAGUCAAUGUCCUAGUUAAAAUGAAAAUAUUAUAAAUCAGAAUAAAUUAUCCGACCAACAACACCACCCAAGGGAAAAUAUUAGGGGCAUUAAAUACACUGCAUAGGAUUCGUAUUGAAUCAUCCGCAGACUGACACGUGGCAACGCCGGACCCACUUGUCAGUUGAGCGAUUAAAAUUUUUGCUCCCCCUUUCUCUUCAAUAACAGCCCAUCAUAGGGGAAGCUCUGCUCUCCGCAACAACUUGGGCGAAAUGAGGUUCUACCGGGAAACCAUGGAUUUUUUAGUUUUCGCCAUUGGUUACUGGUCUGCUCUCCUCCUCCUGGUAUGGCUCUGCUCCCUCUCUCUUUCCUCCGCGAAGGUGCAUCUCUAUGCGUGAACCACACCACAGCCUUGGCCUCCAUUAGUUGCUGUGCGCUCACUGGACAGAGGAAAAAAAAAAACCAGAAAAAGGAAAAAAUUAGACAAAGUCUAUUUGGUGUUUUAGACUUCUCCCCCCUUAAGAAUUGUUCUGUCUCAGCCAUUUCGGUUCACCUUGAUCCUCUUUUUCGCAACAAGGAAAAAAAAAGUGAACCAAAUCUUAGAGUCAAGUAACAGUAACUCUUCUUUCUUCCCCUCGCUCCCCUUCCUCUACUUUCUUUUUUUGGGAAGAUUAAUUGGGUGGUCCGUCCAAUGGUUGAAUCGGAAGCUUCGGAAUCGCUUCUCUAAAGCUCGCCUCCUCUCUGCGCGCGUGCAUGCGUGGGUUCCGAGCGAUUACGCGAACCGAAGCUUGUUGGUUAUGGUGGUGGAUCGAGGUGGAUCUCCGAUGCGGAAGCGAUUGCGGCGUCAAUUUUGUCGGGGCGUUGAUUCCCGGCAAAGAAAAAUUAAAAAAAAUCUUCUCUUCAGCCCUCUCUUCCUCCUCCUUCGUCCACAGCUGUCCGACCUUCGCUCCUCCUCCGCCGUCGCCAACGGCGGAGUCACCAGCACCUUGAUUAGGCUGACCCUUGCUGUGUCCAAGCCGAGCAUGGCCGUCUUCCUCUGUUUUGUCCGCCUCAUCGUUCUAUAGAUCUCGAAAUCUGGCCGUCCAUAGCGACGGAGUUGCAGAUCUGGAAAUCAACCACCGUCGCUUGUAGCCAUGGACGAGCCGCUGUCGCUGUAGCCAUGGUUGCAGAUCUGGAAGUCCCGUCGCGAGUAACGACGGCUUAUGGACUGCCAUUGUCCCCUCCGUCGACGCCCACGGUCGGCUCGUGGUCGGCCCCGUCCAUGGCCGAGCCACCCCUCCAUCGUCACAACUGCUCGUGGUCGUUGCCCGUUCUGAUCUGGACUGGAGUCGUGCCUCCAGAUCUGGUUUCAUCCAUGGACGCAAGCCUAGCUCGUCCAUGGCUCGCGAGGAGGCUCCCCCACAAAUCUGGCGACCACUGCUUGUCCAUGGCCAUGAGCCUUGACGGCGAGUUUGAGAUCUCGACGGCUAUGGACUGCGAGAUCAAACAGCGAAAGAAAAAAUAGAGAAACAGAUGUCAGGGAAGAAUGGCCAUGGAUGAGAGGGCCGGAGCUUGAACGCGGCCAUGGACGAGCGGCGUCAUGAACGGGCAGACCACAAAGACGACGGAGAGGGUUGGAUGCCAAGCAAUGGUCGCCUUGGACGCGGCGCCGGGAACUCCGCCGGUGGCGACGGCAGAGGGAGGCGGGAAGGUUGGGCUUAAUGUGGAUGGAGAUGGAGAUGGAGAAGGAAAGUGAGGUGGAUUGAGAUUUUUAAUGUUUAGUCAAUGUCCUGGCUACAUAAAAAAUUAAAAAUAAUAGGAAUUGAUCAUCCAGUCAACACUUUCAUUCCGUCUCAUGAAGUUCUUCUCCUCAUGUGAAGACUAAACGCAAUAAAUGACAACCUCCUCCGGCACUUCUCUUUUUUGGGUCGAAUCCUCAGGCACUUGAAAAUGCGCGAUGUCGACCCAAAUUUGAUUGUUUUGACCUUUUUUUUUUUAUUACAGAUUCCAUGCAAGUUUUGUUUUGUUUUUUUUUUCCCUGAUGGAGGAAUUUUUUUUAUUCUCAUAAUUCUGCGCAAUUCUUUCAAUUGUUUUAUGUGAGUAGAAUGUUUAAUUAUAACAAGUAUCUACACAUUUGUUUACUUUUUAAUUGUAAGAAUUAUCACUAAUUAUUUAUUUAUACUGUCAUUUGCAUGUAUAAGUUAUAUAAUACCCAGCCCCGCAUUCUAAGAAUAUUUCAAAAAGUCAUUAUAACACUCAAUCAACAAUACUAAUAAAUUUGGGAAAGUAUGAAAAUAGUCAUCUAAUCUUUUGGUAGUGAUAAGUUGUAAUAGCGCUAAUUUCAUUUUUAUAUCAAAUAUGAGCUGUCAUAUACUAAUUGAUAGAUUUAAGGAAGUGUGGAAAGUCAAUUCUUUUUUUUUUGGUGACAGAUCGUAAUUGCAUUAAUUAUAUUGUAACCAAAUGAAAAAUAUCAAUACUUACUUUUCAAUGAAUAAUUCAUUGGAGGUCAUGAUGUAGUAAAAAAAAAAUCUUGAUUUUCUCCAUACAAACAAAAUACGAUCAGCGGAUGCACACCCACUUUUUGCCAAGGGGUGGAUCACUCGGUACACUGCAAGAUUCUAUUUUAUUUUUCCACCUUAAAUUUUAAUAAAUAUUAUUUCAAGGAUGUUAUUAAUGGUCCAAUGUAAAACUAGUAAAUUGACCCAACUUGUUUUUGCUGAGAUCAUAACAUUAUGUUAUUUAUUCAAGUCGUUAUGUUACCCAUGCCUAUUAAGAAAUUAUUUUCUUUCAAUACAAAAAAUUUCCAUGCAUAAAAAAGAAAAAGGUUGUGAACAAUUGAAGUUACUAUAAUUUUUUUUUUUAUAUCCGGUUUGCCAUAUAAAUUUCAUGACUCUUCUCUGCAGUGAAUUUUAUUAAUUUGAGGAUUCAUAAGUACUGUUCGCAAUUUAGUAUGAAUAAUUAGCAGUGCUCAUGGUAAAUAAAGGAAAUAAUGUUGAGCCAAGCAUUAGUUUCAUCCAUUCCUUAUUCAAUACAUACACUACUUAAGUUCUUCACACCCACUAUUCAUAUCCUUAGUUGACUAGCUCAUCAACACCAUGCCCUUGCUUUUUCUCUAAUUGUUAUGCAUGUUCACCUUGAAGCAAACAAAUCUAAAACAUAACCGAUCUUUGCCGACUAACAUAACGGAAAUUUUCAGCUUGUAUCACUGAAUCUAAAUGUUGCUCUUUUCAAUAGUUCUAUCGGACUGCCUAGCAAGCUCCCUAAACUUUUUGCCAAUCUUCGUGCUUAUUCAUUACAAAAAUACAACUUGUCAUGCCUCCAUGGAACCAACAUUGUUUUGCGGGAUUCAUAUUCUGUUCUUCUUCGUCUUUGUCCUCAUUUAAUUGCAUAGAGAAACAAUUGAGUGAGCUAUCAUUGAUGUUUAGUCAACGGCUCCAUUCAUGCAUUAGCAUAAAUAGGAGGGCUCUCAUUUCUCUCUCUUUCAAUUUUGCAUUGUAGGUUUUCUUAUGCUUUAGAUGCUCUUGCAUCCAACUGGAAAAUAGCGUCUCUCUCUCUGUGAUUGUGACAUAAGAGCUACUAUAAAAAAAAAAAUGAGGACUUAGGAGGAGGGGGAUUAGGAUGAAGUUGAAAGGUACAGAACCAGUCUUAGCAACCAUUUGAAUGAACCCAAGUUCCAUGUCCAUAAGGCCUAUCAACCUAAUUCCCAGACUUUUAAGUUAUCGCUAUGAUUUGCCGAGUAAUUAAGAAAAGUCAACAUUGUCUGGUCACUCCAAAAUCUUAUAAAUGCAUUUAUAAUUUCAUGUUUGUUGCAAUGCAUUAUCUCUAGCCUUAGUCUUCAAUCAACUUGUAUAAAGGCAUCAAUCAACCCCUCUCUAUUUAUGUCACUAAUGAGAUCUUGACUUCUCAUGAUUUGUGAGAAUGAGGGAAGUCUGGAAAUUUCUUCUUUAAGGUCAUAACUCAAUGCAAUCACAUUCAUUGUGUCAUUUUUUUUCUCAAUAUGGCAGGUACAAUUUCCUCAACUUAUACGGAUGGAUCUUUCCCACAUGGGCAAUUUAAGCAAAAUAUGGACUGACGGUCCUCUAGAAACUCUGACUUUUGAUUGCUUACGGGAAGUGAAGGUUCUUAAUUGUAAGAGCCUUGCAAAUUUGUUUCCAUAUUGGGUGGCUACAAGUUUAACCCAACUUGGAAAACUUCAAGUGGAGUCUUGUGAGAUUGAGGAAAUAGUCGCUAGUGGGGAUGACACUCCAUGCUCCAAUACUACUCAAGAUCUUUUCCCAGAACUAACCUCUCUGGUGUUACAUGACAUGCCACGACUCAAGAGCUUUUGUCCUAACUUGCCUUUGAAUUUGCCAUUAUUGAAGCAAUUACGAGUGACUCAUUGUGAAAAACUAAGCAUGUUAUCCUUUGUGGCAUCCAUGAACAGAUGGGUUCAAAGAGAUGAUCAACAAGACCUUUCAGAUCAAGAAGCACACUCUUCAUUUGAGAGGGUAUGAUUAUAGUUGCUCUCCCUUAGUUUCCACUUUGUUCUUUAAAGCAGUCACUAAUAUCAUAUCCAUUGCAUAUCAUGUCGCGUUAUGAUGUUAUAGAAAACAUGAUCUCCCCUACCUAUUAGUUUGUCGACAACAUUAAGAUAUUUCUAAUAUCUUACGUACACUUCCAUUUGUGGACAUGCAUAAGAUAUUCCAUUACCGAGAGUUACAAAAAAAAAUUAUAGUAUUCUAUUGAUAACAGAAUAUAUUCCUAAUCUAACCUAAUGGUGCUCUUGGGCGACAUCAAUAAGGAUUUGCCAAGAGGUCCUCUCCAUUAUUGACACGUGUUGCACACUUGAACUUUUCUUCUCUAUUUCAUUUUCUACAAACUCUAAAAAAAUCAAUUCAAACAAUUUUUUUUAUAACAAAAAUAACAUUAGUACCUUAGUGCACUAUUUUCUACUGUAUUUUUUAAUACACUAGUCGUCGUGUUAUCCUGUUAUAAUACUAUAGAAAACUAGAAUCCCUUUCCUAUAAGUUUGCAGACAACAUAAGAUAUUUCUUAUAUCUUAAGCAUACUUCUGAAUUUAUGGACCCCAUAUGUUUUAGUGACAUCUUGAGUGCAUCCCGUUACAUAAGAUUCCAAAGAAGAUAAAUUUUUGUCAACAAGAUAAGAUAUUCCUUACAAAAGAUGAAUUUAGUGAGUGCAGGGAUCUUGAAUUUAGAUUCACUCUAUCCACUUGACCAGACCAACCUCUACAUGAGACUUUUAAAAGCUUGAGUCUUGAACACAAGGUUCUUGAGAUAUAAUGAACUUUAAGAAGAGGACCACCUUCCAUGCGAAUCAUCUUAAUAGGUUUACCUUUUACAGCACGUGAUUUAUUAUCGAAACUUUGUUGAAUUUACUUCUCUUGUUGUAUUGGCAAUUCGACAGGACUUUCCCAACUUGGAGAGACUUUUAUUAGUCAAUAACAAUAUUCAAAUGAUACAAGAUGGAAAUUUUUCGGAUGACAUGUUUAGCAAGCUAAAAGCACUAACACUAGCAUACUUUCAUGAUAAAAAGGCUGCCUUUCCUUCCAUAUUCCUCCUAGAGAGAUUUCAGAAUUUACAAAGCCUUGAAGUCUUCUGUAGCUCAUUUGAAGAUUUAUUCUCGAACGAAGGGCUUGUUGAAGAAAGAAAACAUCCGGUGCUUGAAAAUUUAAGAGAACUUAAGUUGAACAAGCUACACAACUUAAAGUGUGUGUGGAGAGAAGACUCUUUAGUGUCGAAAAUUCUUCAGAGCAUCGAAACAUUUGAGGUUUGGGAUUGUCCCUGUUUGACAACAAUAUUUCCAACCGAGACAUCCUUCCAGAAUCUAACAGAUUUAGUGGUGAAGAAUUCCUCUGGAUUGGUACAUCUAGUAACGACUUCAGCAGUCACAAAUUUGGUACAUCUCACUUAUAUGACUAUAAUAGGAUGUGAAAGAAUGAAAGAAGUAGUGGCCGACGAUGGAAACAGAGAAGAAAAAGUGAUUUCUUUUGAAAAGCUAAUAUGGUUGACACUUGAACAUCUGCUAAACUUAGAAUGCUUCUCUUCUAUCCCAAGUUGCAUCUUUAGGUUCCCAUCCUUAUGGAAUAUUAAAGUGGAAGAGUGUCCAAAAAUGAAGACCUUUUCUAAGGGUAUACUAAACACACCAGAACUAGAACAUGCGUCAUUGUUCAGAUACAAGUGGGAAGGGAAUUGGGAGAAGGGUGAUGAUCUCAAUACAACCAUACAGAAGUUAGCAGCAUAAAUCAAUGCACAUAGAAUUGGAAAAUUCAAUUGAUGUCAUUCUCUCAUCCAUUUUUUUUUUCUUUAGUCUUUCGGCAGCGCCGCAACUUUUUAAAAUUUUUCUUUUUGUGACUUUUCUAUUAUUGAUUUCGUCAAAUCAACAUGACCGUCAACCCUAUCGAUGGAUCUCGGCUCAUCCUUAACUGAACAGAAGGAAGCAAAGCGGGUCUCUCCUUCUCCUUCUCCUUCUUGACGCCAAAGGCUCUUUCUCCAUCUUUCUUCUUCUUCUUCCUCCUCUGUGGAGCGAAAUUGGGGGAAGCCUCUGCUGCCUUCACAAAGGACGGAGCAAAAAUGAAGCAUCAGGAAUUGCCAGGACUGCCAGAAGCGAAGCUGCAAUUAGCCGAGCGGAGCCAAGUAGAUUCAACCAGACGCUGUCGUUGUCGCCGUCGUCACCGCCGGAGGUGGCACAACCGAGUGUGGACAGUUAGUCGUCCACUCACUUCAUCAAAGAAGAAGAAGAUCACACUCUCUCUCCGCAUCUGUAUCCGACAAAUCGUAAGUUCAUGUUUCUUCCGAUUUUGGUGUCUUAUUGCGCGUGAAUUAGGGCUCUAUUCUUCAAAUUCAUUCCACAUUCGAGUCUAAAAACAGGAGUUACUCAAACAAGCAAUAUAUUGCCCUUAAAUCUACAUCUUCUGUACUUCCCUCCCGAGCAUUGGCGAGAUUUCUGCGUGUUUGAGCUCUCAUAGAUGGAGAUGAUAUAUUGUGUUCAAGGUCUCAUGUUGAAAUUUCUUUAGGUAGAGAUAUCUCUGUAACAUCAGGUACAAAUUUCUACCAGGAAAAAGGGAGAAAUCAUGGAACUUGAAAAUAUUCCGAGAAUUGCAUGCCUUGUCAAAAAUCUGAAAAGUCACUUUUACGCCUUGAUCGUAAUAUAGUCUGGACCGUCUGAGGAAUCACUUGUAAUCUUGAUUGGUUAAGUGAUGCUGGAAGGAUAAAAUUUAUUUCCAAUUUAUGCUAAAAUCUUUUUCAUAGCAAGUCAAACUAAUGAAGUGUACUUAAACUAUCUCUAAAGUUGUCGUUUUUUAAGUACAGGCAGGUCCAAACAUUCGAGCAGAUUGAGGCAUCCUGAGCUGGUUUUUUAUGGUCCCAUGCGCCCAAGGCCUCUCACUGCUUUUACAUCGGCCAACAAAUUUCAAAUGGAGCAUCCCUUUUCCAAAGGUGGUGAUGAGGCCUUCUUAUGUUAAGUUUGGCUUGGUAUGAUCCCAUGCUUGUUGAGUCGAGCUCAUGUCUGAAAAUCAAACAUAUCUUAGCUUAUACUCUGGUUUAUAUGCAAGUUGACUUAAUGUAAUAAACCACAUGACAUGUUAUUUUCCUUGAAUUGUUCAUGGGUGUAUGUUUCAAACCAGGUAUAUAUCUUAACAACAAAGUAGUUGAAGUAGGGAAAAGAAUGAAAGGACGGUUAUCGGGACAUAAGCUGGUGGUCAAGGUUUGAAAAGAUAACAAUUAUCUCCUUUUUUGUGGAUAGAUGUUUUGGAAAGCAAUUGCUGGAGCAAGUGUUAAGAAUUAGAAUCCAAGUACUCUUAUAUGGAGAAAUUUGACAAUGUUAUUCAAUGCUGUAAAAGUAGUAAUUAUAUAAAUCAUACAAGGGGACCAGUUGAUACAGACAAUCAAAUUGCAAAGAAUGUUGCUCCCUCCGUGGCUCAAGGGAAAGACCUAAAAGAUAAAAGGGUGGCUAGUUAUGAUUCUGAAGUUUGAUCGUAGAUCUUGAUGACUCUUAUUAUUAAUGUCAAACAGGAGAUACUGUUUUAUUCUGUUAUAUUAAUAAGAUAUUUGAGGAAAAAAAUAGAUGAGUUUACUUUGUCGAAUUGAAUCUGUAGUUUGAUAAAAUUCGAGCUGCAGUUGAAAGAAUUGAACAGCUUAGAUUGAAAUUUUCACUUCCAUCCAUGUUCCAGUCAUCGAUGUCUUUGCCUUUUCCCCUGCACUUGUGGUUUGUGUGGCUGAAAUUCACGGUCUCAAAUAUACAUAGGACAUGGAAGGCCUUUUCUAGUUAUGUACGCGAUCGCACUCCAGGGGCAUAUAUCUUGACAUUUGACCUUGGGUUGCAAGUUGAGAUUGUUUACUCGUAUUAUAUGGUUUAUUUUCAAUUAAAACUCCUGAAACUAGCAACUACUGCCUUAAAUUCGUAUUGUGUGAUUAGAUUCUCUCAUUAGUGUAUGCUUAUGUUUUGGUCUUUCUUCACCAUAAAUUGGUUUUUGACCAUGUAAAUGGGGACUCUGCUCCUGUUCAAUUCAUCAGGCAACAUAAUCUGGAAAAAAUGUAAAUUGCAACUCUCAGCUAUUCAGACAAGUCAUGGACGUUGAAACUCAGGAGCCAUGGACGUGGACACAGGGGGGCCUUUUUUUCUGCUGGUUGGCCCACAUUUGCUAGAGAAGCUCAUCUGCAUGUAGGAGAUGUUUGUAUUUUUGAGCUAAUUGAUAGUGAGGAUGUGUGUUCAGAGUCUACAUUUCCACUAGAGCUGGUAAGGACUUGGUUUACAUUGAUUGAAAUGAACUAUGGAAGUGUCAUUUUCGCUCAUCCAAAAUAAAUCCUGUAUUCAUCGUCAUUUCUUCUUUGGUGGUCUUGGUGAAUCAAUGAAGUAUACUUCUUCCAUUCCCGUUGUGUUUGUGAGGUUCGCAAUAAUCCAGAUGCUCACUUAUUAAUCUGCAUCCCAAAUCUAAAUGAACCAAAAAGGAUGUGAUUCAAGAUUAGAGCAAAAGUUAAAGCCUGAAACGCUCGUCAUGAGAAUUUAGAGAGGCGUGACUUGUUGGUUUCUAAGUUAUGUUUAUGUGAACAACGACACAUUCUUUUUCUUAUUCUCUCUCAAAAUUUGUGAAAUUCUCCUAAUAAGCUUUUUGUAUAUUGAUUUUGUGGCAUUAUGAUUUAGGAGGUGCUAAGGGUAGUAAUCAAUUAUGUCUAAAAUGCAGAACAUGUAGACAUUAGUACCAUGAUCACAAGUACUGAUGUUUAGAUCAUUGUAACUCAAUACAAUGUCGACAGUGGUACCUGCGAGAAUUUUCUUUUUUCUUUUGUGCCUAUCGAUCUGAACAGUCUAAAUGUCAUGUAGCCCUCCUGAGCAGGUUUUGUAUGGUUCCACGUGUCCAUGGCUGGCCACUGCUCUUGAAAAAACUAGAGAAUUUGAAUUUGAGCAUCCACUUUUGAAAUUGGUGAUUUGGCCACUUUUAUUAAAAAGAGAAUUGCAGUAAGGGCCUAUUUCCUUUCAUAAUUGGCAUAUCCCAACCGUGAUGCCAUCUACAUCUCGCCCUGUAGUCUACUAUUUUCCCAAGUGGUUUUGCUUUUUAUUGGAGAUGUUGUUUUCUUUGAAAUGUGUAUGGCUUUAUGUGUAAAACUAGGGCAGUUUUGAUUUUGAAUUUUUUUUUUUUUUUUUAAUUAUGGAUUCAGAAGAUUACAGAUUCUUAAAUAAUAGAUUGUACUUUCCUCACUACUCAGGUGUAAAGAAGAUUGCUUUUGUUCAUUGACUAAGAGGAUGUGGUGAGACAAUCAGUGUUAGCACACCUGAAGCGUUAUCAUGAGAGUUCAAAAAUAGUGUACACUAUUGUAGAGUCUAUGAGCACUGUAUCGUGACAUUUUAACAUCAAAUUGCAAGUUGGGAUUGAAGACUUCUAUUUGUCAGUUAACACUGUUAAUUGAAUUUACUGAAACUAGUAAAUACUAGCAUAUAUUAACAUUUUGUUUGCCUUGUCUUUUUAUUGUUUGUUUGUAUUUAAUCUUUUCCUCAUCAUGCUACAUUGGCGGAGUGUUCCUUGUGAAUUCAUCAAGAAGUACAUUCAGAAGAACCAUUAGAUUGCUACUCUUAGGUAUUUGAACAAAUCAUGACCAGUGCAACUCAAGACCUAUCAACACCAUUUUUUAGCAAACAUCUCUGUGGUUGGCCCAUGUUUGUGAGACAAGCUUAUCUGGAUGAAGGGGAUGUCUUCGUGUUUGAGCUCAUUGAUAUGGAUGAUUUUAUGGUCAAAGGCUCCAUCUCCAAUUAUGCUUGUAAGGACCUCAUUUAGGUCGAUUGAGAUGAACAUUGGACGCAUCACUUGAGGCUGUAUAUUAGUGAAGCAAUUCCUGCCUCACUUAUUCAGUUGCGACAAAUCAAUUGAAAGUGCGCUUACUUUUGGCUUUGCUUCUCUCUCUUGACCUACUUAUAGUCUUAUCAGAAUUCUCUUUUUUCUUUUGUCCAGGUCAGAACAGACAAGUCUGAAUGUCCAGUGAGCCCCUCCUAAGCAAUUUUUUCAUGAUUCCAAGUGUUCGAGGCCUCUCACUGCCCUUGAGAAAGCUAGAGAAUUCAAAUUGGAGUAUCCCUUUUCCAGACAGUGAUGUGGCCAUCUUUUCUUAAGAAAGAAGUGGUGGUAAGGCCCAGAUCUCCAUUCAUAACUGACGUCUCAAUUAUGCAUGCCACCUAUUCUAUAUAUGCGCCCCACUGUGCAAAUUUUUCCCACGUUAAUUUGGUUUUUAUAGAAACACAGGACAUGUUAUCUUCUGUGAAGUGAUCAUGGUUAUAUGUUUUAAACAGGAAUCUUAACAACUGAGUAAAGGGACUAGGAAAAACAAUAAGUUGGGACAGUAAUCAGGAAAUAACCUAAUGACAGGGGGUGCGGAGACAGGAUCAGAGGGUUGGGAAAGGCAAUAACAACCAUAAGUUAGCAAUUUAAUAGUUUCUAAUUGAAGUAUAAGUUCCUCCCAAAGAUGACUACUUGGUACUUUCUCAGGCUGCCUAGGCUUGGGAAGAAGAGGUGACACGAAAUGUCCAGCUUAAGCCAUAGCUACUGCAACAGGCCUAGGCUUGGCAUGACUGAGCUCACUGCAACAGCAUGGCAACACUAGUCAGAUAUUGCUCACUGGCAACAAAUGGUUUACAAGAGCUACCAUUGCAAGCAGGUUCAAACUUGCAAUCGAAAAUGAAGGGAAGCCAAUGUGGCCUAGACCUCAAAAAUUAGUGCCACCAACUCGAUGGUAUGAAACGAAGAAAAGAAGCUCACUUCUUUUUGGCCAGGCAAAAGAAGAUCACUUACUUUCUGUGCUUGUGUGUCCAUUUAGGUCCCUAUGUGUAGCUUUUCAUGUUUAUUCGAUGCAUAUUGCAAUGUAAGAUUGGUGACUCAGAUAUUCACCAGAUUCAACUUGUCUCUAUAUUGAUUACACGUACUUAGUGUAGAAUCUAAGAGCACAGGAUUGUGAUAUUUUGAUUUCAGAUUGCAAGUUGUGAUUAAAGGCGAUCUCAUCAUGUCUUUUAGACUGCUAAUAUGGACUUUGGAAACUAACAACUACUAGCAUAAAUGUACGUUUUGUUUGCCUUUUCGCUUUAGUGUAUGCUUACAUUCCUAUGUGUUAUCAUAUAUUGGCUGGUCAAAUGUCUUCAUGGGUAGAGUGUUCUUAUGAAUUCAUAAAUACAUGCAUUCAAGAAAACCAGCGAAUUGUGACUCCUGGGUGCUCGGACACAUUGUGGCGGUGACCAUAAGGACCUAUCGAUGUUGUAGUGAACUUCUGUGUUGGUUGGUCCAAGUUUGUGAGUCAAAGUUGUCUUGAGUGAAGGGGAUGUCUACGUGUUUGAGCUCACUAAUAGGGACAAUGUUUAGGUUGAAUUGGGAUGUAUUUUGGAAGUCACUUUACUAGUUGAAAGCAAUUUCUGCCACUAUUCUGUUGUGAUGAAACCGGAUAAAAGUGCACUUAUAUUUGUAACCGUGCUCUGUUCAGGUCUAGUUACGAUCUUAUCAUUUCUAGGCUUAAACACAUUUUCUACCUUAGGUAUCUCUCUUGAGCUUGUCGCGCUUUUAUCAUCGCCUUUUUGGAAAGGAUCUCUGGUUCAGCACUCGCCCUGGUUACUGAACCUGGUUUUGUAUUACAAGAGAAUGUCAAAAGUGACGUGCUUUAGUUCUAGAAAGGAUGUGGAAAUUUAUGCAGCAUACCAUGAUGCAGCAUACCAUCCCUCAUGGUCACUUGUUAGUUUUCAAAUAUGGGAAAGACAGCCUCUAUACUCAUGUAAUUAUAUUUGAUAAAAGUGUUUAAAUAGAUACAUUAUCCCCAAGUAGUGAUGAAAUUGAAAACCCAGAGAGUGAAUUCCAUAUACAUCUUGCCCUAUAGUCCGCUGUUUUCCCAAAUUGUUUUGGUUAGUCAUUGGAAUCACAUGGAUAUUAUUUUCCUUUAAGUGUAAAUGGCUACAUGUGUAAAAUUUUGGUUUUGAAAUUGCAUUUUGUUAAUUUAUGGAUUCUUAAGAUUACCAAUUUUAAAAUAAAAGAUCGUAUUUUGUUUUAAUACUAAUCAAUUGUAAAGAAGAUCACUAUUAUUCAUAGGCUAAGAGGACGUGGUUGAGAGGAUCAGUGUUAGCAACUCCUGAAGUGUUAUCAUGAGAGUUCAAAUAUAGUAUAUACAAUUGUAGAGUCUAUGAGCUCUGUCCUAUGACAUUUUGACUUCAGAUUGCCGGUUGAGGAUCAGUUAAGACUGUCGAUUGAAACUCUUGAAGCUAGUAAAUACAAGCAUUUAUUUGCAUUUUGUUUGCCUUUUUCUCUUUAUUGUUUGUUUGUAUUUAUUCUUUUCCUCAUCAUAUAUUGGUUCACAAAUAUCUACCUCGCCAAGAGUGUUCUUUGCCAAUUCAUAAAGAGAUACAUCUAGAAGAACCAGCAAAUUGUGACUUAGGUAUUUAAACAAAUCAUGGUUGGCGCAGCUCAAGACAUCUGUUAUCCAGCAAACAUCUCUGGUGGUUUUGCCCACGUUUGUGAGAGAAGCUUGUCUGAAUGAAGGGGUUUUCGUGUGUUUGAGCUCAUUGAUAGCGACAAUUUUAUGGUCAACUCUUUAAUUUGACCGUAAGUGAAAUCUCCGCAAGCAAUGCAAUGCGACUGUGCCAGCCACGCUCCCUGGUCGAAACUGGUGCAGUAGUUAAAUCCCCAGGUUGUAGUGUUAAGACCUCACAUUAGUCAAGACUUGAUCCAAGCGUAAUCAUCUGUGAACCGGACGCCGUUGCAUAUCUUGGACAUAAGCGUCACGUCCGGGUUGCUUCUUACAAGACUUGGACCCCCACAGAAGCCCAGUGAACAUAAGGGUGAGCGCAUGUGAUGUGGCCAUGGUCAUCCUAGAGCCCUUUUUUCCUCCUUUUGGCUCUCUUUGGUUUGCUACAGAGAGACACACAAUUGAGUUUGGCUAUGAUAAGGGUUCGUCUUCAUGGCGCACUCCAUUUAUUUGUUGCUCUUGGGCUAAGUCAGUCCCAAUUUUAGUCAUUUAUGACGUCACGUAAUUUUUUUUUAAUCAUUUAUGACGUCACAUAUUUUUUUUUUUUUUAAUAACUUCAACGGUUGUUUCUCCGGAAUUUUUUUUUUGUCAGUCCUACUCUAAUCUUACUCUACGCUCAUUCUCAGACUUUUGUCCUGCCUCUUGCAGGGCGUGGAAGUCGAAACCCACUCCUAAAACUCACGCAUCCCCACCCCAUCCCCUCCUGAGAAAGUGGAGAUUUGAACCCCUCACCUCCCCCUUCCAUGUUGGAAGGGUGGCCACUGGGGGCUGUUUCUAUGGAUUACUCACCCAUUAAUGUACUUUGUUGUUGCCAUCCUCACAAACCAUAAUCUCAUAAUUUUCAAAGAAAUAUUUCCCUCUCUCUCUCUGACUAUGCAUGAAAAUUCAAAAUUGAGAUCCUCUAAGUUUAGGAAAUAAAUUUACGCUACGAUAAGGGAGUGAAUAAUAAUCAUUUUGUUCUAGAAUUCGAUUUUUUGUCAUUCCUUGGACGAAUUUAUGAACAAAAAUAUGCAUUUGAUAACGACAUAAAGUUUCUGUUAUUGAAAUAGAAAUUCGUUUAACAUAAAAUUUCUCCCUCCUAAGCAACUAGCAGGUGGCGGCCCUAAACAAACCAUUUCACUUUUAUUUUUUAUUUUUAUUUUUUUUCAAAAAUAGAGAAGUAUAAAAUUUUUACUUCUCAUUUAGUAUUUCUAAGCUAACAAUUUGUUUUGGAAUUUGAAAAAUGAAAUUACAUUAUCAAACAAAUUUUUGUUCCGAACUCGUUCCUAUAUCAGAAAAAUAACAAAAUAGAAAAACAAAAUUGUUGUCAUGCGAGUACCCUAAAUGACCCACUUCACUAUUAUUUUCUUCUUUCUUCUCCUAUUUUGCACACACGUGUUUGCUUCACAUAUGAGUCUCGAAUAUAUUUCUACAUGUAACAUUGUAAGCUUAGGUCAGGUAAUUAAUGGAGUUUGUAAUACUUUUAUAAUCCAAAUAACACCAUACUUUUGUUGCUGCUAACACUACUACUAAGAGUAUUAAAAAAGAAAAAAAAGAAGCCCAAACACCUGGAUUGAACCACCCGAACUAGCCUGAUAAUUUUGGGCUCAAAUAGUCUCCGGCCCGGCCACUAGGCCUCAAACUAUCCAUGAGUUUGGGACCUGAAUGAUUGCCAAAACCAACCCGAUUCAUAGAUCGGAAACUGUACAUAUGUAUGUCCCCCUAUGUCAAUUCCCUUUCACCUGUUGAGGGCUCAACUUCUCUCAUUCGCUCAUUUCUCACGUUGAUCGAGAUCUGGCUGCCACCAAGCUGCCAUCGUCGCCACGGUCAAGCCCCAGCACUCGCCAUAUGGCCUCCGUCUAAUAUGUUUCACUCACUCCCUUAGUCCCUUUUAUGCUUGUUCGCAUCUUGAUCUCCCUUGCGCUCCCUCGCUCUCUACUAGUAGAAAACUGGCCUUACUAGCUUGUUUUGAUGUCUUAUGGUUUUUUAUUUUUGUACAUGCUAUUUGAAAUUUUUAUUUGAAAUUUUUAAAUAAUAGAUAGUCCCUCUUUAAAAAGAUGCAAUUACCUUUUUAUUAUUUUUGUUUCACAAUUAAUUAGUUACGUUUAGAUUGUGGAGAGAAGUAGAGAGUGGCCAUAACUGACGAUUUUCAUUUUUUAAUUACAAAAUGACGAGAAUCGCCCCCGAAUUCAUUUAAAAUUUAAUUGGAGUUAUUAUGAUAAUAGGGUUUUUGAGUUAAUUUAAAUUGAGAGACAUAAGAGGAACCUCUCCGUUAAAGAAUUGACAAAUUUGUUGAUGUUUUAACAAAUCAUAGCCAACUAGUGUUAGCACAAGAUAUGAUCCCUCAUCGAGCUAAUUGAGUUGGGAAAAUUGUUACUUUCACCUGGUGCAUACUCUAUUCAAGAAUUGUUUGAACUCGGGUUGAUGAUUUUUCGAGAAUUAAUAUCUAGUCAAGCUCUAACUCAAGCUACUUGAGGAUCUUGCAAAUUGAAAGCUUAAGUUCGCCACUACUCGGCUCUUAAAAUUUUGUAAGCCUAAUUCAAAAUAUUUGAUUGGUAUGUAAUUAUACAUAGACAUCCUCAUCCACACACAAGUAUAUUUAGUGUAUCGACUUUUCGUAUGAAUCAAGCUCUAGCAUAAGCAUGAAGUUAAUACUUGGUCAAGCUCAAAUCAAACACUGAGUAAGGAGUUGAGCCAGUUUCGAGUUUGGCACUGUGGUGGCUUGAUUAGACCCCUAGGUGCUAGCCGUUUUGACAUCCAAUUCGAUUAAUAGAAGCCAACGUGUUCAUUAAAGCGAUUAAGAACUCUGACGUGCAAAAUUCGAGUGCAAGGUUAUUGUUGGGAAAUCUCAUUAUUCAAGAUGCACUCAUGAUUUUCGCAAGUUUCAAUCCCACUAUAAUUUUCAAUCCCUAUAUUAACCGAUAGGUCAAAUGAUAAAAGUAAGUGAACAUUAAUAAAUGUAUGAAAUCUUCAAAAGUCACUUUUCCGAAGUCCUAGCUGUAUUAUCCAUGGGACGUAGCUUGGCUUCACAAAUCCUUGUUGUAACUUCUAUCCGAUAAAAUGGCACUCAAGUUCCAUUUACUUGGUAAUGUUUAUUGAAAACUGGACUUUUGCUGCAAUUUUUGUCACAAUUUCCCUUUAAUUUUCAAUAACCAUUUGACAAUAGCAAAAUUCCUCGACCAAUAAGAAAUUUUAAAUAUCAAAUAUCCUCUUGUUUAUUUUUCAUAAAUUAACUCAAAAUGUACAUAAAAAGAUCCUUGAUAAUUUUAACUUUUGAAAUUAUUUGGGAAAUCAUUAAAUUUGCGUUGCGUCAUUUCCUCUUUUAACAAAAACUUCCUAUUGUUGAAAGGAAAGUUUCGCUAUUAUUUUUUGCAACUUAAAAUCCUAACAAUUUUUUAAUUUUCCCAAGUUUUUAGCCGAAAAAUCAAAUUUCAUUCCCAAUUAUCAAUAUAUAUCAUCAACAUAAACUUAAAAAAAAAAAACAUGAUAAAUGAAUUUCCUCUCCUUGAAGUAAAUAGGGAAAAAUAAAUAAAAUAUCAACAAUUCUUUACAUCUGAGAAAUUAGAAAGGGCAGAAGAAGAAGAUCCCCUAGGCUUUCCAGUUUUGCGCUUCAAGCAUUCGAUCCCCCUCUGCCUUCUCUCUCUCCCCCCAACCCUUAGGCCGAGCUGCACCGCCGUGUCGCGGCCUCGGACCCCCCGAGCUUCACCCCCGGGGGCCCCCCUGGGGGUGGGGGGGGGGGGCCCCCCUUUUUUGGGCUUUUUUUCCCCCCUCCCCCCCCCCCCCCCCCCCCCCCCCCCCCCCAAAAGAAAAAACCUAGGUCCCUCGCUUCGGUUCUCCGGGAUUGCUCGAAGAUGGACGAGGACCAGGAGAUGGAGAGGCUCGGGGUGGACAACGAUUACGACGACGGGGAGUUCUACUACCGCAGCGGAGGGAGAAGCGCGCGCAGACCAAGGACGACGCACUCUACGGCGUCUUCGCGUCGGGGGACUCCGAUUCGGACUACGACGACUCCUCCAAGAGGAAGCAGAGGAAGAACAGGGACCUCCAUGGUAAGGCCGAUCUGUCGAAGCCCGUGAAUUUCGUGUCCACCGGCAUGGUCAUGCCGAACAGAGAGAUUGAUGAGAACUCGAAGACGGAGAAUGAGGAUGACGAGUCCGCUGACGUGGAUGAGGAUAGGCCGGGCUUGGGGGUUGGUGCUGGGGUGGGUUUGGGGUUUAAUAAGCGAGACGAUGGUUUUGAUGAGAACGGCGAGGAGGAGGAUGGUUUCUUGCCGACGGCAUUUGGGCGGAAGAUCAAGGAGGGAGCGGAGAGGAGGAGAGAGCAAUCGAAAUUGGAGAAGAAAGCGCAGCAAGGUGGGGCUAAAAGGGAUUCUUAUGAAUCGGGAAACGUGGGUGGCUUCGAGAAGUACACCAAGGGAAUUGGAAUGAAGUUGCUCGAGAAAAUGGGUUACAAAGGGGGUGGUCUUGGGAAGAAUCAGCAGGGGGGAUUGUGACACCCAUUGAAGCAAAGUUGCGUCCUAAGAAUAUGGGUAUGGGUUUCAACGACUACAAAAGAAAUUCCUGCAAAGGCGCCUGUUGCCUCGUUGGAGCCAGAGGAAAAAAAGCCAUCACCUGAUGUGCCCGGUCAGGAGAAGCUUUGGUCUAAGCAAGUGAAGAAGGCGAUGCUGAAAAACAAAGCAAAAUAUAUUACAUCAGAAGAGCUGUUGGCGAAGAAGUAGGAUCAGGGUGUUGAAGUUGUGCAAGAGGUACUCGACAUGCGUGGACCUCUAAGGUUAGGGUGCUAGCUAACUUGGAGAAUCUGAACGUGGAAGAGAAGGCGAGGGAGAGCGAUGUUCCUAUGCCCGAGCUCCGGCAUGAUGUAAGGUCGAUUGUGGACCUGGCUGAGUUGGAUAUUCAGUAGAUCAUUACGGACCUGAGGAAUGAGAAGGAGAAGUUGCAAGCUGAGGCAGAACACCAGAAGAAACAACUAAAUUACGUGGAGAUAAUGAAUACACUAGACCGGAUUGAGGAGCAAAAGUCGAUGGGAACAUUGACGUUAGACUUGCUAGCCAAGUCUUUUGGUGACAUGCUAAGAAGGUUUCCUGAUGAUUAUAAACUUUGCAACUUAUCCUGCAUUGCUUGCUCAUUUGCACUCCCUCUGUUUAUCAGAGUAUUUAAGGGAUGGGAUCCUCUUCGGAAUCCCUCACAUGGGUUGGAAGUUGUUUCACGGUGGAAAUCUCGAUUGCAAGGACAUGAAUGUCUUGAUAUAUGGGAUUUGAGAUCCCCCUGAUACCCAGUUGGUUACAGAAUUUGUCUUGCCUGCUGUGUGAAUAUCAGGCAUUGACACUUGGGAGGCAGGGAAUCCGAAGCCAAUGCUUUGAUUUCUUGAAGAUUUUGUGAUCAGUCUUCUCGCAUGUGGGCGUAAAUUCAAGUUUAUCAGUUUCUUCUCAAGUGAAGAGCAUUUGGAAUUCAUUUAUUUAUGUUUUCAUAUUAACUGAAUGUUGAUAUUAAUGACAAAAGCAAGUAUGCUGGCAUCUUUUGCGUCGCUGUGGCAUGACUCUUCUGCAGUCUCUAUCUCUCUCUCUCUCUCUCUCUCGACAAACACAGCAGCCGAGCCUCCGGCAGUGGCUUUUUGUCUUACAAUCGGCAACAUCCCGGCGCUCUUGAACUCGAACUUGCUCUCCCCGCUGGAUAAAGCUCGCUGAUUCUCUCUUUUUAUCUCUCUUCCUUGCGAGAGCUCGAUACCUCAUCCAAAGUGUAAUCAACGGCAAUGAAAAUUUGGAAGAUGGCGAGAGGAUGGGAGAAAAUGAAAGCAAAACGGAAAUCAAACAGACGAAAUUUGGAAUGAAUCAAAGACAAUUUUAGAGUUCGAGAUGGAACGUCCCGGUAUUUGUUGACUGUUGAUUAAGGAAACUCCGUGGUCGAGUUCUGCUGCCACGGCAGCGAGGCGAGCGGCAUCUUCAAACCGGUAGCGACACUUUUUGUGCUUCGGUCAGUGCUGGAAGCAACAAUCGUCAGAGAGCUCAGUCUCGAUGAAUAGUUGGUGGGUACUCCGUUCGCGGUUGGAUUCCCUCUCUCUCUCCAGAUUUUCUCCGGCCAGAUGUUCUUUUGCAUAUUUUCUCUCUCUCACUCCGGAUUCUCCUUAUUCAUCUCCACCAAUUCAGAUCUAUCUCGCUUCAGAUUCGCACAGUGAACGACACCAUCAGAUUCCACAUUUUGAGUCGUGGCCACACUAAUUCCACUCUGAUUUUGUGUCAUCGCUUUCGUGUCCUUGCGCGUGUCUGGACCAGAUUUAUAUGUGGCCGGGCCAUCUCGAGCUCAUGCCGCCAUCGCUGCCAAACCAUCGUCAAGGGUGUUUCAUAUCCAAUUGAACUUCUGAGUCAAAAUUUCGAUUCACUCCAAAAUAUGUUCUGUCGAUUCUUGCUUCUUUCUGUUCACUCCCACUUCAUCGCAAUCUUUCGAAUUCCUUUGUUUCGCCCAUCUACGCCUCGUGCAAAGGGAAAGCGGGGUGGUGUUCACUGCUUAAAAGAGCUUUAUCCUAUUGCCAAGGCUGAGGUUGGAUGGAUCAUCAUCAUCUGGACAGGAUCUGCCGAUUCGAAGGAUGAGAUUCUUCGGGUUCACUCCCGGCACUCCUGCCGGUCCGAGGUCGUUUCAUCAACCAACCGCAACAGAGGGCAAUCUGAGUCAUCAAAAUCAUCCGAAAAGAUACGCCAAGCAUGAAGAUUGGCGGUGGUGAGCACGGAGAGAAAACAAGGAAGAAUAAAAAGUCUCGAAGCGAAGCGAAGCAGUGGAUGGAGAUGAUUCGGAUUUUGCGUGGGGACUGUGGGGAAAACGGGGCAAACAAGGUGAAGCCGGCGGUGGUUCUUUGGAUGAGAAGGAAGUAAAGUGUUGAAAUUAAAAAAAAAAAAGAAAUAAAAGAAAUAAAAGACGAAAGGAAAAUAUAGAGAGCCCAUGAGAAAUCGGUCAAAAGGAAGACUUGCACGAAAAAUGUAAUUCGACAUUAUAUCGAGCACCUUCAUUGCAAACUCGAUCCCUCCUCCACAGUGCAAUCGACGGCAAUGGGAAUUUGGAAGACGGCGAGAUAAUUGGAGAAAAAUGAAAUGAAAUAGAUAUCAAUAGACGUAGUGAGUAUGGAUCGAAAUUAAUUCUAGAGUCGAAUGGGAGAUGAAAUGACCUGGUGGUGAGUACGAAUAUUGACCUGACAGAUAUCAUCAUUGUUACAGAAUCGUCUCACUCUCGAUUUCUCUUUGGGGCAGCUCAACGAACACCUUCCCUAAUGUCCAUCUUCAUAUUUCAGCAAGUCUUCCUCCAUCAGGGUCGUUUCCUAUCCGAUUGAACUUCCGAGUCCAAUUUCGAUUCAUUCCGGUAUACGUUCUGUCGAUUCUUGCUUUCCUUCAUCUCCGCCUUUCGGAUUUCAAAUGACGUUGCUCGCGUCCUUCGUUUCGUCUCUCUAUGCCGCACACAAUGGGGAUGUCUGGCUGGUGGAUAGGAUCUGCCGAUUCGAAUGAUGAGAUUCUUUGGGCUCACUCUCGGCCCUCCCGCCGCUUCAAGAAGCAGCAAAGACUUGCACAAAAGAUGGAAUAUCUUGAGAGGAAGAUUCAUCCCAUAACUCAGCCAUCAUUUUCUUUUUCUUUUCCUUGAAAAAGGCAUCAAAAACUCCAAACGACGCCAUCAAGGACGCCCAUUGCGUCUCUUCGCUUCAAGUACCUUUAUUGGAUCUCUCCCUCCAUCCCGACGCGCUCCCCGGCUCAGUGAGUUCCGAGUCGCUCCACCAUCACCCUCGCUAUCUACUCGCCUCGUGAUCGAUUCCGUCGCUCGCUGUCUUUAGAAACUCCGGUGAUCCUCUCUCUCUCUCUCUCUCUCUCUCUCUCUCUCUCUCUCUCUCUCUCUCUCUCUUUUCCUGUCCUUCUUCCGGUUGGAAUCAUGCAUUCGUUUUGUGGAUUCUUAGGUGUUUUGACAGAGGUUUGAAUCUGGUGUCCUUGAGUGAUGUUUAAUGCUAUUGUCGUUUUGCUCAUCAAUGGAGUUCAUGUCGGAUUUUUUUUUUCUUUUUUUCCUUGUUUCCGACCGUGAAUCCGAGACCACUUGGAAACGAGCGAUGAUUGAACUGAAAACGUCCUGAGAAAUCGCCGCAGUGAGCGAAAGUUGUGCAAAGUUAAGCUCGGUCGAACAGUGGUUCGGUUUUCCUCUAUUUUUUGGCAUUAUAUAAUCACUUCUGGAUUCAGUUGUGGUGCGAGGGUGACUCGCUAGCCAUUCCUGAUCGGUCCUUCGGUUAACGCUUUUCUCUGUAUAGAUUUCCGAGUGGCUUGGGACUUGGAGAUGGGAGUAGCACCGAUGAGUUAUGACAUGGAAGAGGGGACGCUGGAGAUCGGCAUGGGUGAGCUUUCGGCCCUCUCCGCUUUCCAAAUUUUUUUUUUUUUUUUGGAGCUACGGACAAUAAAAAUCUGCUGGGAUGCUUAAAUCUCGUAAUUAAGUUUUGUCUGUAUUGUGGGGAGUAGCUUUGUCUCCUUGUUCGUGGCUUAUUAUGUCUUUCGCCAUCUAAAUUUCACCGUGCUUGGAAUCAGAACUUUAGUCAUAGGAUAUUGUUGUUUUCUAGGCUUUCCAUAUAGCUUUCUCGUUUCUGAAAAGUUUAUGCUGCCCCUGUUAUGACAACGGUUAAUACAUUUAUUACUUAGAUCUACACAAUCUCUAUCAUUUCGUAUAUAUUGGCUGAGAGGUGAGGAAUGAUUUAGCUCUUGUCCGAGUCAAAUGUUUAGCAUGCCUUAGUCGCUGGGUCUUAGUUAUCAGUUGUUCAAACAAUUGCUUUGCUGCUUGCAGAGGAUAGGACCGUCUCUGGUGUUGCUGGGCCGUUGGUUACACUCGACAAAGUCAAGGUAAAUUUCACUGGUUAUAAUUUUACGAGGUUGAGUGAACUCCUAUAUGGACAUGUUGGAUUAAUUUUAUUGUAUAUCAGGGACCAAAGUAUCAAGAGAUGGUAAAUAUCCGCUUGGGUGAUGGAACGACUAGAUGUGGGCAAGUCCUUGAAGUUGAUGGAGAGAAAGUUGCUGUGCAGUUUCAGUCUCAGUUGCCAGCCUCUUCUUUUUUCCUUUAGCUCUCUUGAUACUGCAUUUUUGUUGUUUGGACUGCAAUACUUGGGUCAACUUUGUGUGCAAUACUUUUCAGCUGAUGACCCAGUGAAUUCUCUGUCAUUCAUUGCAAGCAUUAGAAAAAGCAGAACAUGAAGAGUAUUAUCUUAGGUAUAUGUGAUGAAAUGUGAGAACAUCAUAUGGGAUGAUAAUUGAAAUGUGAUUGAAUUUCUUGAGAACAAUGUUAAGAGUCUAAUUAGCAUUCCGUUUAGGCAAUUAUAGAUCCUCUCUGCUCUCGAGUGAUGGAAGUCUAGUCAUGGUGUGACACCCAUCGAAGCAACCAGCAGGGGAUUGUGACACCCAUCGAAGCAAAGUUGUGUCCUAAGAAUAUGGGUAUGGGUAUGGGUUUCAACGACUACCAAAGAAACCCCUGCAAAGGCGCCUGCUGCCUCAUUGGAGCCAGAGGAAAAGAAGCCAUCACCUGAUGUGCCUGGUAAGGAGAAGCUUUUGUCUAAGCAAGCGAACAAGAUGAUGCUGAAAAACAAAGUGAAACACAUUACAGCAGAAGAGCUGUUGGCGAAGAAGCAGGAACAGGGUGUUGAAGUUGUGCAAAACGUACACGACAUGCGUGGACCUCAGGUUAGGGUAUUAGCCAGCCUGGAGAAUCUGAACGUGGAAGAGAAGGUGAGGGAGAGUGAUGUUCCUAUGCACGAGCUCCAGCACAAUAUAAGGUCGAUUGUGGACCUAGUUGAGUUGGAUAUUCAGAAGAUCGAUAGGGACCUGAGGAAUGAGAAGGAGAAAGCUCUGAGCUUGCAAGAGGAAAACAGAAGCUGCAAGCUGAGGCAGAACUCCAUAAGAAACAACUGAAUAAUCUAGCAACUAAAUUGUGCACAUGGAACAGCGGAAGCACAAUCACGGUAGAGUCUGAUUCCGUUAGUCUGUACCCCACCUGAUGACGCCAAAUUGCGCUGAGUUAGCAGCAUGCGAUUGGGGAGGGGUGACCCAUAGCGCCGGAGGUGUGCAAGAACAUAGCUACAUCCGAGGGAUCAUUGACAACUGUGGACAUCGAGUCGAGGCUCGGCUCGGCUCUACGUUGGUCGAAGAGAGUGAUUUUGGUAUCGGCAAAGUGAAGAUUGGCGGUUAGGUGGGGGAUGUUGAGCUUGGAAGCAGCGGAUUGAGCCCGUCGGUUUCCUUCUUGCAGUGUCAAUAGGAGCUUCGGUUCUGAGUCGGAAAGGUAGAACUCGAGCACCUUAGCUAUGUAGAAGGGAUUGAGCGGAGCUACAGUGGCUCGGCAAUGGAUUACCGCUGGAAAUAGGAUCACAAACUGCAAAACGAACACAUUUUCCAAUAAGAAAACUAUCACACCAGUCCCUGCGGAUUGGAGAUACACACACAUAUGCAGGAUAUGCAGACAACUAGUUUGUCAACGUUUAAUUCAUUAAAACAAUCCAUCUCCUUUUGAAAAGCGUUGACUUUGUUUUACGAUGAAUCGGUGCUUGUACGUCCCAGAAAACAACCCUUGGACCCGACAGAAAAUUCUCUUCAUGCUUUUCCCAUUUCAAUUUGUUCCUGUUCAAUUUGCACCACGCGCUCACAGAAAUUUCAUGCCUCAGAUGCAAUUUUUUCAGUAGAAAUCGAUGCCAUUUCCGUCUCUCUGUUCUCGAAGUACUGUAAAACUCCAAGAAACAUCUACCUCUUUCUUUUCCAAGCUAUUUCCCAGUCGAUGUUUCGCAAGUCAUUGAUCUCAUCAUUAGAAAUUCAUCGUCACCGCAAUCUUCCAGAUAUUGUGUUCUCGAAUUUAAACGGCAUCAUCCAUACUCGCGAACAGACCGAGAUGACACAGACAUACCUCGAUGUUGUUGAGGAAAGUGAGCGCGACGGUGUCGGUGUGAGGCAGUGAUGAGCGCGGUGGUGUGGUUGACAAGCUCUUGCAGCUGCAUGUGCGUCAGGUCGAGCUCCUCGCAGGCGGAGACGGCUCUCUUGUUGGGGAAAUCCGACGUUGCCUUCUUCAAUAGGUCCGUGAGCGUAAGUUCUCCCAUCACUAACCACAGGGAACGAAUCGACAGCAAUCGGCUUAAGCUGAAACCGAUCCCCGAUCGAACUGAAGAGGGGCACCACAAUCGCUUGGCAAGACGAGAACGAAGGAUCGACAAGAACAGGAAUUCGCACGUAUGCAUAUGAAAUGGAAAUGAGACCAGAGGGAGGGAGGGAAGGAAGUUGAUGCAAUCGAGGUGGCUCCGCGGCCAGUGCGAGCUCGGUUAAGGUGGCGACGGAGACUUAAUGGAUCAAAGGCUGUAACUAGUCUCACUAAUGUCUUCGCAAGAAAAUGUUUCAAUAAACUAAUGAUAGCCACCUAAUCAAUACAUUUGUCCAUUCAGUGGACGACAAGUGGCACUAUGGGGGCCCGCUCUAUCAGCAAGUCUGCAAGUCCAUUCUGCACGACAAAACAAAUGUCGUCCAAGUUUGAGAUAAGAAAUGAAAACCGCAGCAUCAGAAAAGUUCAUCACCAAAGGAUUAAAAUCCAUUCCAAGUUUGCGGCAAUGGCGUUUCUUGCACAGAUUGUAUAAAUGCAAGGAUCAAUGGCGAUUCUGACAGUUCAUUCUUUGCACGCACACACGCAGAUCUCCUGCUCCUUCACAACAGAAUACAAAUUUAACUCGAUUCUGUUCAUACAGAACACUUUAACUCGAACCAGAGGAAUCAGCAAGCCACGAGACAGCAAUUUUCAUGUCAUACGCCGAGCAUACGAGACGAGAAUACUAACACUAUUUGACAAAUGAGCAUCCUAUUCUGACAAAGUCGGCCAUAAUAAGUAUUCAAAAAGUUGAGAACAAAUCAAAUUUAUGUAAUAUGAUUUUGCGGUUCAAGAAUUGAAUCGAAUUUACACACCGAUCUAGUUCGAGCAUUUUAUCAAACAAGUAAUGUGCAUUUAACCAAGGAGCUCAUACGCCAAUGCAAAGCAAGGAUUGACUUUCAGAUCAUCACGAAAAUAACAGUACAAGUCCGAGUUGUUAAAUAAAGCUUCAAUAUCAACUGAUUUACUCACAGACAUUAGCUAAAGCUAACCGGCUCUGUUUCGUUCAUGAGCAGCAGAAACAGAGUGCGUGGGAUUUACCUUGAUGAGAGUGAGUUUUUCACUUCGGCCCGUGAGCAGAUCGGAGAAAAGUUAAUGGAGCUCUCCACGUCGACGAUUGAUCUCUGGCUCGUGCACGUUUGGGCGGCGUGACCAGAAAACAGAGCAGAAGGAGAGGAGGCCUUGCGGCAACGGAACCGGCAAUGGUGGAGCCGCUAUGGCAGCGUUUCGACAGUGUCUAAAGGACGAUGGAGAAGGAGAACCGAUGAAGGAUCCUCUAGAAUUCCGAAGAGAGAUGGUUUCUUCGUGAGCUUCGGUGUGUGCGUUCUAUCGUGUCAUCGCUGAGCCUGUGGUGGCCGUCGAUGGUGGUGCGACGGUGGCUGUGGUGAUUGUAGAUGGGGGACGGUGGUCUAGGCUGCGCCUUGUGGAUAAGGUCUGGGCUACACGAAUUAAACCAGGCCCAACAAACCGGACCAGGUCCUUUCGAUUAUGAUUUUUUCUUUCUUUCUUUUUCUUUCUUCGUUUGUUAUUUAUUUUUAAUAUUAUUUUUUAUUUAUUAUUUAUUUAUAUUUACCCAAAUGCAUGUUCAACUUGUUGGCAAAAAUUCAGGAGUCGAUAGGAGCAAUAUUCCAUCAUUUGGCCUAAGAACAACUUCACACCAAACUCAAUUACAAUUCAUUAAAUGUGAUAAUUCACUAUAAUUUUUCAAUUAAUAAUAUGGAUGAAACCUAGUUAUACCAUAAAAACCGUGAUAGGGUAAGUUCCAGAGUAUGCAAUGAGUAUUCUAUGUUCUAAAAAAUUAGGAAUAUGUUCAAACGCGGAGGUUCAAAAUUCUAGAUUAGGGGCCAUGAGUCAUUUGAUCUUUCCAAACAUCAAUGAUAAUUUUUUAUAAGGGAUUUGAUAAAUUUAGAACUAGGAGACAAGUCGGGAAGGAGUGGAGGUGGGUCGAAUUUUUUUCUUUUAUUCAUUUUAUUGACAGUAGAUUGAAUUGGAGAUUUGACAAUAUUAGAAUGAAAGUGAAACAUAAGUGGAUGUUGAAGCGGCAAAAAGUCAAUUUAUAAAAAGUAGCUAGUUUUCAAUCCCGCGUACUGGGCAUGAUGUAUUUCACAAUUUCUCUAUAAAAGAAGAUCGACACAAAAUGCAGAAUGUUUAAAGUAUUAUUUUUACUAGCCUACGUAUAUUAUAGAUUUAAUAGUGGUUUUAUAAUUUUUUUCCCUUGACUUCUAUGUCAAGAGUACUAGAAAGGUUAAUUGACUUGUAAAUCACAUUUGACCUUCUCACUUUAGUAAUUAACCUAAAGCUAGGCAUCAAGAGGGGGGAGGCAUGAGAGAGCUUCCACGAAAAUUUUCUCUUUUGUGCCUUGACUUUUGUCUUUUAAAAAACUGCAUAAAAAAAAAGAAAAAAAAAAAGACUUGCGGAAUUUCGUAUGUCAGUAUUAUUCAUGUACGAGGAUAUUAAGGCGCUUUUAAGCAGCUGGCGAUGAGGAAUUAAAGGGAAGACCGAGCUAAAAAGGUAAGCGUGGAAGGCAGUUCGGUCAAUUCGGGCCGGGGGAUUCGGGAUUCGGGGAAAAGUUGUUGUGACUUCUCCACGUCGCGCAUUCCCCGCAUUAAAUGAACAACAGAGUUUGAAGAGGGCAUGUCCCUGUUCUGCCUUCUCUCUUUUCUCUCUCUAUUGCGCAAAUAAUUCUGAGAAAUUUUCUUCCUGAAUCUGGAGAUCGUGCGACGUGGCUCGCCCACUUCGCCCCUUCUCUCUCCGCAACAAAUCAAAAUUCAAAUCUCCUCUCUUUAUCUCUCUCUAGGAGAUCCCGUACGCGAGAGCGAGACGAUGAAGUGCCAGAAACACCAAUUCUCUCUACAUUUCUGCAGUUGGCAUCGCCACCUUCGCUGCCCCGUACGGCCCCCCGCAUCGUCAGAGGCGUACCCUCGUAUCUGCGAGCCGAAAUCCCGCUCGGGCCUCGGGUCCCGCCGUACCUCCGCUCGGCGGCCGGGGAAGCGAUCUCCACAGCGGCGGCCGCGGGGGGCCCGGCGUCGAACGCGCCGAAUCGGGGGCGGGACCAAGCCGGGUCGGCGGCGCCGGGGCCAAAAUACCCGUCGUCGUCCCGCCUGACGUGGGGAGGGGCGUAGAAGGACCCGCCGGGGGGGCGACCGGGCCGGUGAGCCGGCUCGCCAAACGGCUCGUUCCACGCCAUCUUCUUAGCGUUCACCUGCAGCGUAAAGCUUCACCCGGAGGAACAGGCAGACCGCCAAGAAUGGAAGCGAAACCCUAGAACGAGGGUACGCCUCUGACGAUGCGGGGGGCCGUACGGGGCAGCUGCAGAAAUGUAGAGAGAGAAUUGGUGUUUCUGGCGCUUCAUCGUCUCGCUCUCGCGUACGGGAUCUCCUAGAGAGAGAUAAAGAGAGGAGAUUUGAAUUUUGAUUUGUUGCGGAGAGAGAAGGGGCGAAGUGGGCGAGCCACGUCGCACGAUCUCCAGAUUCAGGAAGAAAAUUUCUCAGAAUUAUUUGCGCAAUAGAGAGAGAAAAGAGAGAAGGCAGAACAGGGGCAUGCCCUCUUCAAACUCUGUUGUUCAUUUAAUGCGGGGAAUGCGCGACGUGGAGAAGUCACAACAACUUUUCCCCGAAUCCCCCGGCCCGAAUUGACCGAACUGCCUUCCACGCUCACCCUUUUAGCUCGGUCUUCCCUUUAAUUCCUCAUCGCCAGCUGCUUAAAAGCGCCUUAAUAUCCUCGUACAUGAAUAAUACUGACAUACGAAAUUCCGCAAGUCUUUUUUUUUUUCUCUUUUUUAUGCAGUUUUUUAAAAGACAAAAGUCAAGGCACAAAAGAGAAAAUUUUCGUGGAAGCUCUCUCAUGCCUCCCCCCUCUUGAUGCUCACUCCCUCAUGGUUUCGUAGAGAGAGAAAGAGAGAUUCUUCUCUGAAUUUUGGACAUCUUGUUCUUUUCUCCUCUCUCUCCUUUCUUUUAUUUGCACUUUUGUUAUUUCUUUUUAUUUUGUUUUGUGUCUUUGAUUUGUAUUUUAUAAAUAACAAAAGUACAAGUAAAAUUCAGCUUCUUCAAUGAAGGAACUGAAUUUUAAUAUUUUAUCCCCUCUUUUCUUUUAUUUGUAUUUUUGUUAUUUAUUUUUUAUUUUAUACAUCUUUAAUUUGCCGAUAAAAUUAAUGAUAUAAUCAAAAAGUUAAAGCUAUGCUCCGAUACUAGAUGGGCAUCACUCUUUAAUUUGGUCAUAAGCGAAAUCCAUGCAAGUAGCACGUUCCAACUACUCGAAUCCAACGAUGCAUGCUCCCUGGCCAAAGCAUUGGGCAUCACCAUAAGAACCACCGGCAUAGUGGUCUAAUCCUCAAGUCUCAAUGUCAGAUUUUCAAAAUAUCUUUUAGUUAGGCCCAAUUUAGGAAAUUUGGAUUUUAGUUAAAGUUGAGAUGGCCAUUAUCCGCUUCAUUUGUAAUUUAGAAAUAAUGUCUUAUUUUCCUUCUCACCAAGCCUCUUUCAUUUUCCCCGAUCUCUCGUUCUCUCUUAUCUCAUGAUCAUCGAGUCGUCCAGUCCCCACCAACCCGCCACCGGGCCACCUUCGAGCCCUGAGCCCUGCUACUCACCGUAUGCUUGCUCGGUCAAUCUUUUCUCUCUGUCUUUCUUCUCGUGUCUCGUCCACAUGUCAGCGAGUUACAAAGCGAGUGAUGGGACGGACUCACUUUUUUGCUCGUGUCAUGGUCUCCCUCCCACUCCCCCUCUCUCCAGCAAGUGGCAAAACAGGUUUUUACUAGCCUGUUAUGAUGUCUUCAAGCUUUUUGAAUUUAGGACGUGCUAUUUGAAUUUCUCAUGGAGAGCAAAAGCAAAAAAUAAAAUAAAAUAAACAUAUUUUUUUUUAUAAUUUCGGGCCGUGCCAGACCCUUGGAUCUGGGCCAUAUGGCAUGGCUUCAGUCCGGGCCAGGUCCUCAGUCACACAUUUUUGGACUGACCCCCAAAAUAAGAAAAAGGUUUUGCUCCGAUCCUUUGGCCACGAGGCCUUUAUUGGCUUCCACAGCUAAUAGGUGGUCCAGCGAAUGACCGCGGAGCCGUUGGAGAAAAUAAGGGACGAUAUUCUUCCAUAUCAGCUAACCUCACAAGUUUUCGGAGAACGGUUUGGUUUCGCCUCUUCUCUAUGUGUUUUUCCCCUUUUUGGGGUUCCUUUUUUCUCUCCCCUUUCUCUCAGCAUUGUGUAAUAUCAGCUCAUGCGAGCGAGCCAAUCGUGAGAAUUGCUUGUAAUUUUCUUGUUUUUCGUUUCUUUUCUUGGCAAAUGAAGCAACACCUAAAACUCCAAUCGCAUUUCAUUAAAUUGGGUAUCAUUCAUCCGGCCAAACCUACAACUUGAGGUGAGUUGUUUUCUCUCGUAACAAAAGCGGGAACACUAGCAUCUUACUAGUCGAAAGUUAAAAAGACUUUUAUCAAGAUACAAUAGUUGGAGCUAUAUAAUUCGUGAUAAAAUAUCGUGCUCUUCUAUUUCCUAUCGAUCGAGUGACAUGCAAAGACUAACAUAAUUUCUAAAAUAAAGGGUUUAUUGUUAUUAGCCCGUGAGAAGACCCAGGAAAAGGGCGAAACAAGAAUUGAAAACUUGUCAAAGAGGACAAAGGAAGAGCAAAUUCUUAUCUGGAUGUGGGGAAUCAUGACCAAAGGGGUUCUCAUCGUUGUCGUUAACCGUUGGAGCCCCGCACGUGAUUAACGGCUCGAUCUCGGGUGCAUGAAUUUGGAUCCAAGGCGAAAAGAGGGAAAGGGCCCCGUCCUGAGUGAUGUUUUUAUGUGAUGGGCCUAAGUUGGCCCGUCCGCCCAUGUUGGGCCUAAAAGCCCGGCCCACAAGAUUAGGACCCAUGGAUGGAGGGAUAUGAUGAAGGGGUACGUUUCUAUUUUGGAGGAGACGUAUAUAAGGGAGGAAAGAGAGGGAGGACGCACCUUUUGGCAUUUGUACGUAUGUUCCUCUCUCUCUCUCCCUCCAAAAGAAAAACUAAGGCUAAAGGCGACGUUGUCUUCCCUUCAAAGCCAAUCGACGUCAUCGGAUCGAACGACAUCGGUUUUCUCUUCCUCUAAUAGGCGUCGGUGUUUAAUCUGUGGCUAACAAGGUACGCUCGAUUCCGUGAUGUGCUUUAGGAUCUGUGAUACAUGUUUUUUUUUUUUUCUGGGCUCGUCUAUCGUUUUAGCGGUUUGAUUUUGUGUCGAAUCCGCUUUUUGGGAAUCCGACAAUCCCAACAUUGGUAUCAGAGCCCUAGUUCAUGUUUUCCCGAACCCUUUCAUGUUUAUGAAUGAUUUUUGAUUGAUUUUUUGUGAAAAUAAUCGGCUGACAUGGAUCAGGGCGAAAAAUCCCGGCACCCGAGCACUGUUCAUCCAUUUUUUCGAGUUUUUGUAAGUUGAAAUCGAUUUCUGAUGGCAUAAGGUGAAAGAGCUCAUCGAGACGAGUCCGUCGAUGGGUCGAACGUCGCCGAGAGACGCCGAACGCGCCCACACGCACGGCCAGAAGCCGCUGCGCGUGGGCGCCACGCGCCUAAAGCGUUGGCACAGCCAGCGCGUGUGCCGCACGCGCUGGUCGGCGAACCGGCAAGCGCCAAUCGGCGAAUCGACGCGUGAUGACGUCACCAUGAUGCACCAUGAUGUCACCCAACGGUCAGUAACCGUUGGGAUGACGUCAUCGAUGACAUCAUUGAUGGCGACAGUUGGCCGACCGGUCACCGACCCGACCCGACCGGCGAACCGACUCAACCCGAGACGCAACCCAACCUGAGAUCCGACCGGUCGCUCGUGCGUGCGAGGCACGUGCUGGGUCGGUUCGUCCGACCCGGUCCAACCGGCCCAUCCGAUCCGGCGACCCGACCGACAACCGUUGACCGUUGACCGUUGACCAUCGUUGACCAUCGUUGACUUUUGACCGUUAACGACCGUUGACCAUUGACAAAAAAAAAUGAAAAAAAUGUGUUUCUUUUUCCCAAUUAAGUCUAUGUGGAUUAUAUAUGAUCCCUUAUUUGUUCUGCAUUUGUUGCAGGAACAAUGCCUCCCUUGAGGUUGGGCACACCUAUUCGCACAAUUACCGAUGAACAAAAGAAAAUGCUUUCUAAGUUGAUAGCUAAGCUGACUGAUCAUCGAUGGAAGAGUAGUGACUUAAUUGAUCACGUCCUUGAAGUCAACGGGAAAAUUCAAAAGAUCAUAUGGAAUGGUCGUCCUAUGCCACAGUCUGAGAUGGUGCGUUUUUUCAUGAACACCCUUCCACCAGAAUGGCAAGGAGUGUUGAAUCGCAUAUGAGAUGUCAACAGAGCUGCUUCAUAUAAGAAAAUUGUGAUGGAUUUUAUAAAUGAAUAUUAUUGGAUUGUUACAAAGGAAAAGAUCAAGAAAUUGAACAAAAGAGGAUUGUUCCCAGUUCGUGUAUUGACUUGGUGUUAGUUGUAUUGGCUGAUCUUUGUUAGGUGUGCUUUGUGGACAUCUUAUGUUUACUACUUGAUUGUUGUUGAUGUAGCAACCAAUAUGUUAGUUGAAUUAUGUGAAAGCAUUAUUAUUCUAUUGGUUGUCAAAUAUUAUUUGCUUUCUGUUAUUGUUGGUUGCUGUGGGUAGUUCAUAGAAGUUUUUGUAGCUUCAUAAACUUUAUUUUGCAUAAGACAAUUAUAUUAAUGAUAGUUUUAAGUUAGGAUUUUUGGAGGACGAUUAGAAACAUAGUGACCUUUUGAUUCUGAAACAUUACUUGAAAUUGUUCAUUAAUAUGAUGGGUCUGUGCAAAAUGGAUGCAUAAAUUAUAAGCAUUAAUAAUUCGUGCAUAUAUGUCUGAUGUGUUCAGAUCAAUGACUUUAGCCACAAAGAGCAUAGUUGCCAAGCUGAACAAAGGUGAAAAGCUCAAUGGCGACAACUAUGAAAUCUGGCACAUGAAAAUCCAAUAUGUGCUAGAAGAGCAAGAGGCACUAGAGGCCCUUAACUUGACCAUGGUUGAACCUGAAGAAGGAAACACUGCACAGCACAAAAGAGAUAAGGAAACAUUCACUGCAUGGAAAAGAAAGAACUCUCUUGCUCGCAUUACGUUGCUGAGCAGCAUGGAUAAUGACGUCAUGCGAGAGUUUAGGCGUUUUGACAAUGCCAAGGAAAUGUGGGAAACAUUGGCAGCAAGAUUUGGUCAUAUUUCGGUGACCAGACUGUUGACACCUAUUUUUAGCAAAUCUAGGAAAAUAAGGAAAAUAAAAAUUGCAUUUUUUGGACAAAUAAAAAGAAAAAAUGAAAAUGGGGUAAAUUGAUUUGAUUGAAGUAUGCAAGGAAAUAUAGAAUUUUGAUGGAUGUUCGGAUUUUGUUAAAUGCAGCAAUAAUUUUAAAAUCAGGUGAACAAAUGGCAAUGAUUUUGAUAAAAUGGAAGGAAUCGAUGCAAAAUCGAGCUGAUUGCGAAAUCAUGCUCCGAUUUGCAUCCAUGAUUUAAUGCAACAGAAGAUGGAAGUUUAAAAUUUUCCCUAAAAAACGGUCGAUCGAAAUCACUAUAAAAGGGGUUGACCUGCACAAAAAAAAAAAAAUUGAGAGAGAAUCCGCUAAAAAAAUUCGUGCAAGAGGGAGAGAUUUUUCGAAAUUUUGGAAAAAAGAAGGCGGGAAAUUGUGAGAUUUUCGAGGAAAAUUGAGGAGCGAAAUUCGAAAAUGAGACAAGCUCCCUCCGUUGAUCUUUAGCCGAAAAGAAAGUGAUCUUUCUUUUCUCUUCUGACAGGCUGCAAAAGAAAAAGGAAAAGUCAGCCACUACAGUGAGGGAGACGUGAGGGACGUGUGAGGUGAGUUAAAAAAAAAAAAAAAAUCAAAAGAAGGCCACUGUUUGUCUUCCUCGUGCAGCCCCCACUUCGACGCCGCAGCACCUCCAGACGCUGGCAUCUCCCUUUGCCGGCCACUGUUGCUCUGCUUGCGACCCAGCGACGCCGCUGCCGCAACCUGCGACAGCCCGCGACCCCCUCGCGCCGGUCACGUCGUCCCGCUAGCCGCCGGAGAUCCCUCUCACCCACGAGCUUGCGCCACCACCUCACCCGCGAGCUCGCACCGCGCCCCCGCCAACGCCUGCAACUCCGGAUCCGCUGCCCGACGCCACCGGAGACCACACCGCCCCUGCUCCCCUCCGCCCGAGUGCCACACAUCCUUGCUACUGCACCACCAGAGCCCGACGCCUCCGCCUUGCCUCGGGCGAUCCGCGGCCAGGCGCUGCGACCCAAGCUGCGCCUCCCUUGCCGAGCGCUGCUUCGCCCUUGCCGGACCUCCGAUCAGCCACCCUUGGUCGGCCCUACGGCUGCCAAGCCCAUUUUGAGAAAAAAUAAAAAAAUAAAAGAGAAAACACAUUAGGUAGUUUUCUUUAUUUUAUUUUAUUUUAUUUAUUUUAUUUUAUCUUGCUCUUUUUAGUAUAAUUAGCCUUUAAUAUAUGAUUGGAAAUUCCAACAUAUCACCCGAUUCGCAACCGCGCCAGGGUUUUUUUAUUUCAUCUAUAAGGCCUUAGAUGAAAUAAUUAAUUAAGCGGGAAUAAAAUUGAUAUUUUGAUCUUUAAGGCUUAAGAUCAAUUUAUCGAUUUUAUCAGCGAAAUAUUACCCAUUGAUCUGAACGACGUGUGAUAUUUUUUAUGAUUUUGGAUGAUCUGUUUUGUCCUGGUUGUUUUAUUUAUCUUGACAUGUGUUUGAAUUAGAAUAUCGCAUGCUUUAGGGUAAUUUACAUAUUUAGACUAAGCAUUUUAUUUAUUUUGAAUUUUCGAAAUAAAAAAUAUACCAAAAACAUGAAUUUGGGAUGUUAGAUUUUCAUUUCAUUAAUUUGAAUUGCAUGUUUAAUUAUUUGGCAAUUAUUAAUUUCGAAAUUAAACAAAAAACGAAAAAUCAUCAUAUACAUGUCAUGUGGUGUUAAAGCAUAUUUCGCACGUCAUUGCAUAUUAAGACUAAAUUGCACUUAGUUCAAUUCUAGAUAAUUUUUUUCCUUAAUUUGUUAUAAGUUUAGGUAUUUUUUUUAGAUAUAUUGCAUUUUAGGAUUAUUUAGGUUAAGAUAAUGUUUUAGUUUAAAUUAGGAUUUGGCUCAACCUAAUUCCUAAUAUAAAUUAAAUAGGAUCUUAAUCUAAUUAGGCAAUUUUCACAUUUCACCUGAAAAAUAAAAAAAAAAUGUCAUAGGUUAAAUUAGUUUUAUUAUUCAUGAUAAAAUGCAUUCUUUUAGGAAAAAGAAAAAAUGUCAUAUACACGUCAUUAGGGCUAGAUUCACUGGGAUGCAUGUCAUUUAGUAUUUUUUCUAGGCCUAUUUAAUUAGAAAUUGCAUGUUAUUAGAAUUAGGUCAUUUAGUUAAUAUUGCAUUGCAUAUUGCAUGAUUUUUCAUUAAUUAAGUGAAAACAAAAAAAGAAAUUGCGUGGUAAUUAGAAACCAUAUCUAGGGUUGUUGAUGCGGUUUUUAACUUAACAUUGCAGAUGCUUUCGUUGCUUGGAGGUAAGUUUUUGCAAUUUAUUUAUUGUUUAUCUGGGUGUUAAAUUGGUGAAUUGCGCACCCGCAUGAUCACCUCACAUGUUAGGAAGUAGAUUUAAAAUUAAUCCGAACUGCCUGCAAAAAUAUAUUUUGAAAAUUAAUGGAAAUGGUACCGAAAGGGCAUUAGAAAAUUCUAGUGUAACCAAGUUCCCGUACCCUUAAUCUCUGGUUCGUAGGAGUAAAAUAAAUCUCCCUUUAUUUUACUUAGGUGUCUAAUCGACCUACCAUAAACUGAUUAGUGGCGACUCUUAGAUAAUAAUUUUUUGCAUGUUAAGAAACUUGAACCUUUAAGUCGCGAAUUGGUAUGGGCCUGGGAGAGCCCGAGCUAAGUUUGAAGACUUAGUAGUCCAUUAACCUAGUUUUAGGUGGUGCGCCAAAAAAAAAAAAGGCUGCGACACAGACUGAGGCAGCUCACUAUUAGGUUUGACUCUUAUAAGAAGUCUCAUGAUCAAACCAUGAAGCAACAUCUUAGAAAGAUAUCAAACAUGAUAAAUGAGCUGAAAGAUGCUGGCCAUGUCCUGACAGAUGAGCAGCAAGUGCAAGCAGCGAUUCGUUCCUUGUCUUAGAGUUGGGAGCAUAUGAAGGUGCACCUGACCCAUAAUGAUAAUAUCAAAACCUUUGAGGAUGCAGUGCGUCAUCUUGAGCUGGAAGAGAACCGCCUCUUGGCGGCUAAGCCGGAAGCUGAAAUCUAUCAUGCUGGUUCUAGCUCACAUGGAGCUUCGAGCUCUAAGCGCAAACGUCCUAACUGGUUUGAUAAAGGGAAAGACAAGGAAGCAGGUCCUUCAGGGAAGAAACCCAAGCUUAACCAACAUGAAAGAGGAAAGCGCCCUCAAAUGAAGAAGCUUACAAGGGUGAAGUGUUACAACUGUGACAAGAAUGGUCACUAUGCUCGCGACUGUCGUGAGCCAAAGAAGGUAAACACUCCUUGUACUUUUCAGAACUUUACUUUUGUGUCGAGUUCUGUAUUCUUAACUGAGUCUAAUCCUUUGUGGACUGUAGAUUCAGGAGCGACAGACUAUGUAGCGAAGGAUAAAGAAUCUUUCGUGGAAUUUCGACAAGUACCAACUGGAACUAAGUGGAUCUAUGUGGGAAAUAACUCCAGAGCUGAAGUAAAAGGAAUUGGCACCUGCCAACUGAACAUGCGUGGUGGACGCACUUUGUUCCUACAUGAUAUAUUGUAUGCUCUGGAGAUUCGUCGGAAUUUAGUGUCUGUUUUGGUGUUGGUUAAACUAGGUUUUAAUAUGAACUUCCAUAAUAGAGGUGUGGAUUUGUAUUUGAAUACAAACUACUAUGGUUGUGGUUAUUUUCUGGAUGGUUUCAUUGUAUUAGAUAUUGAUUAUGUUAAUGCAAAUGUGUGUUAUUCCAUUCUCACGUCUACUAAUUCGUAUGAUAAUGAUGUAAAUGUGUAGCAUGCUAGACUUGGUCAUAUUGGCUAAUAACGUAUGAAUAGAUUAGCCAAAGAGGGCUUGUUGGGCAACAUUGAAAAAGUCGAUUUGCUCAUAUGUAAGCAUUGCCUAGAAGGGAAAACAACAAGGAAACCAUUUGGAAAAAUGUCAAAGAGCUGAAUUUCCUCUACAUUUAAUCCAUUCUGACGUCUGUGGUCCAAUGAAUGUGAGAGGAAGGCAUGGGGCUGUUUAUUUCAUCACUUUUAUAGAUGAUUAUACUCGAUUCGGAUAUGUCUAUUUGAUUUCUCAUGAAUCUGAAGCAUUGAGUUGUUUCAAAAGAUUUAUAAACUUGGUAGAAAAUCAAUUAGACAAGAAAAUAAAAGCAUUGAGGUCCGAUCGAGGUCCGAUCGAGGUCGAGAAUAUUUAUCUGAUGAGUUCAGAAAAUUAUGUGAUGAAAAAGGAAUAAAAAGACAGUUGUCUAUUCCAUAUACUCCUUAACCAAACGGUGUUGUAGAGAGAAGAAACAGAACCCUACUGGAAAUGGUUAGGUCCAUGAUCACUUUUUGGAGUGAUGCGUUGUUAAUUGCUGCCAUAUACUUAACCCGGUGCCUUCUAAAUCAGUUACUUCCACGCCAUAUAAGUUAUGGACAAGUAAAAAACCGGACUUAAAUUUUCUUAAGCCAUGGGGUUGUGCUGCCUAUACUCAUGAGUCCUCUCACAUGUUUGGAAAAUUGGGUCCCAGAGGAAAGAAGAGUAUUUUCAUAAGAUACUCCGAACACUCGAAAGGGUAUGUGUUCAUAGGUGAGCAGGAAAGUAGGAAUAUAACUGAAUUUGAAUCACAAGAUGUCACAUUCUUAGAGGAUGAAUUUCCUAAGAAGGGCGAAAUAUGGGAAGAUUACUCCCUAUUUGAAAUCUUGGAUCAAGAUAAUGAUAUUAGUGGAGUUCGUCCAAGUGGGAGUAAUAUGAGAAGUGAUGAAUUGAAUUCAACUUAUUCUCAAUUGCAACCACAUGAUGAGACAACGUCAUCAUUAUCUAAUCCAAGUGGGAGCAUAAUGGGGAAUGAUGUGCAAAGUGUACAAUUUCCCAUACGGCGAAUAAGUCGCAAAAGUAUUCCUUGUCGACGUUUUGACAUUGAAAAUGAAACUUUUAUGAUUGCUCUACAAGAUAAGGAUGAGCAAAGAAAUAUUAACGAUGCUCUGAAUUGCCCUAGUAAUGAGAAAUAGAUUCAUGCAAUGGAAGAGGAAAUGGAGUCAAUGAAAUCAAACUAAGUUUGGGAACUGGUUGAUCUUCAAAAAGGACGCAAAGUUAUUGGGAACAAGUGGGUUCUCAAAAUAAAGCGAAAGGUUGUUUGCUCGAUAGAAAGGCAUAAGGCUCGCCUUGUGGCGAAGGGGUAUAAUCAACAAGAGGAAGAUAUGAAGAUACAUUUUCUCCUGUAGUGAGAUUUACCUCGAUUCGCAUUAUUCUGGCAAUAGUGGCUAGUAUGGAUCUUGAAUUACAUCAAAUGGAUGUAAAGACUGCUUUCCUCAAUGGAGAAUUAGAGGAAGAAAUAUAUAUGGAACAACCUACUGGUUUCAUAAUGAAAGGCCAAGAAGAAAAGGUAUGUCGACUUUUGAGGUCGAUAUACGACCUUAAGCAGUCAUCAAGACAAUGGUAUAUACGUUUUCAUAAUGCCAUAAUGGCAUAUGACUUUACAAUGAUAGAUGAGGAUCAUUGUGUAUAUUUAUCAAAAGAUCCAAGGAUCAUUUUGUGAUCAUAUCAUUAUAUGUUGAUGAUUUACUAAUUGCCGGAAGCAAUAUGGAGCUUGUUAAUACUGUCAAGAGUUGGUUGUCUUCCAACUUUGAGAUGAAGGAUAUGGGUGAGGCUGCAUACAUUCUUGGAGUUAAGAUUUCAAGAGAUCGUUCGAAGAGACCAUUAUCUCUUUCGCAAGAAACAUAUAUAAACAAGGUUCUUGAACGAUUUCGUAUGUAAGAUUGUAAAUCUAUAAACACUCCUAUUGCAAAAGGUGAAGGAUUGAGCCAUAGACUGUGUCCAAAGACUCCACAAGAGAAUGAACAAAUGAAGUAUGUUCCUUAUGCUAGUGCUGUUAGGAGCUUGAUGUACGCUAUGAUGUGUACAGACUUGACAUAUGUUUUGCAGUUGGAAUGGUGAGUAGAUACCAAUCCAAUCCAGGUCUAGCACAUUGGAAAGCCGUUAAGAGAAUACUAAGGUAUCUGAAGCGAACUGCUGAUUACAAGUUGAAUUACCAAGGAAAGGAUCUGCGACUUGAAGGCUAUUCAGAUGCUGAUUGGGGAGGAGAUUUAGAUGAAAGAAAAUCUAUCUCUGGAUUUUCUUUCUUAUUGAACAAUGGCGCCAUAUCAUGGAGCAGUAAGAAGCAAACGUGUAUAGCCUUGUCAACGAUGGAAGCUGAGUUUGUGGCAUUAUCAGCAGCGGUACAAGAAGGAGUUUGGCUUAAGAGAUUUUUGGAUCAUUUAGGUGUUAUUGAGAAAGCUGCGAAUCCAUUAUUGGUUAACUGUGAUAGCAAGUAGCUAUUACGUACACUAAAGAUCCAAAAUAUCAUGGCAAGACCAAAUAUAUAGAUACCAAGUAUAAAUUUGUCAAAGAUACGAAAGGAUGUGAACUUACAGUACAUAUCUACGAAUAGAAUGGUAGCAGAUCCUAUGACAAAGCCAAUAUCUAGAGAUGUGUUUUGCGGUCAUGUAAAAUCUCUAGGAUUGCGUAAAGUUUGAUAUACUGGAUUGUAAUUUCCCUGAUUUGUUCACAUUUAUGAACUUGUGUUUUUCAUUGUUAAUGCCUAUGAAUCUUUGUUUGAUCUUUAUGCAUCUUAAUGCUCAGUGCAUUAUUUUAAGUUGAGAAAAUAUGUCGGACAUAUAUAAGAUUAGCCUACUUACAUGGGUAAUCGCCUCUAUUUACUGUGUGAUAAAUAGAGAUGAGACUGUUUUUAAGCUUAUUAUCUAGGUGAUAAUCGAGAGCUCAAGUAUUUUAUUUUAUCUGUCUAUGAUGUCAGAUGUGAGUUCUGAUGAAUUUUGUGAAUGAUUAAAUACGUGAACUCAAGUUUGACAUUGGGUAUGUCUGAAUUAUCAUAUGUACGGUAUUGAAAGGUGUAGACAUACGCUCAAUGGGAAAUGAGUUAAUACCGUAAUACGUAUUUCAUACUACGUAUGCAUGAGCCGACCAAUAAGAGUGUCAAAAGUUUGAUCUCAACUUUUAUGCCGUAUGAGACUCUUGAGGAAAAGAGUUCCUCAAUUUUAGUGCCCUCAUGACUUUUACUUAUUCUAAAGAUUUCUAUUUAGUGUUUGCUAUCUUAGGAUGUUGCCAAUGGUCAUGAGUAGAUUCAAUCUAAUGGGACAUUUCUAGAAAAGCAAGCUAAACUAAAAUUGAGAGUUUGAAGGAAAGAGGAAGAUCGAAUUUGGAGAAUCACAUUGUGUUUUUGUAUUCACUGGUCGACCAAUUAUGACUGUCUCUGGGAUAAUCAAAUUGAGAUAGAUAUAUAUAUCAUUGUUUAAAAGAGAUCAAGAGAGAUAUAAAUGUGAUCGAUCGAUCUAGGGUACUGCAUACUAAAUCUACUCAGAGUGUGAUGCCCAUUAUGAGCUGUUAUAUAUUCCUAACAGAUGUAUAGCAACGAGCUCUCAAAGUAUGCUGGUCGCACGGAUUAUUCAUUGGUAUGAAUAUUGAAGUGAGGUAAAGAGGAUCUUGUUCGGCCCACCAUGUGCGAGUGGGAGAUGAUUUUUUUUUAUGUGAUGGGCCUAAGUUGGCCCGUCUGCCUAUGUUGGGCCUAAAAGCCCGGCCCACAAGAUUAGGGCCCAUGGAUGGAGGGAUAUGAUGAAGGGGUACGUUUCUAUUUUGGAGGAGACGUAUAUAAGGGAGGAAAGAGAGGGAGGACACACCUUUUGGCAUUUGUACGUACGUUCCUCUUCCUCUCUCCCUCCAAAACAAAAACUAAGGCUAAAGGUGACGCUGUCUUCCCUUCAAGGCCAAUCGACGUCAUUGGAUCGAACGAGAUCGGUUUUCUCUUCCUCUAAUCGGCGUCGGUGUUUAAUCUGUGGCUAACAAGGUACGCUCGAUUCCGUGGUGUGCUUUAGGAUCGGUGAUACAUGUUUUUUUUUUUUUCGAGCUCGUCUUCCGCAUUCGUUUUAGGGGUUUGAUUUUGUGUCGAAUCCGGUUUUUGGGAAUCCGACAAUCCCAACACUAAGGAUGAUCAGGCGCGGGAGGAGGGAGGGAACACGGUAAAAGCGGUGAGGUGGCGGGGCAGCGGAGUGCACCGGCAGACUACUCCUGUUCAAUUUCGAUUGGGUUUGUGAGGUUAAUAAUAAUUCAGACGCACACUCAUUAAUGCCACAUUCCAAGCCUAAAUGAACUAAAAAGGACGUGCUUCUGGAUGUCCUUAUCCUUUCUCGUUAUGUUGUUCUUCAUUUUGAAUUUGAAAUAAAGGGUCAUGACCUAGUUAAAAUUAUGGGUUUUAUUUUUCCCACGGGGAACACCAAAGAGGUUCAUGAGAAAAUAUAAUGAGAAAUCUUCCAAUGGCUUGUGGAAUUGGAAAAAUGUGAUGAGAUGGUUUGGUUAUCAAACGGUUGGGAUGAAUUCGUAGAGCAUUAUUCUAUCUGUGUGGGACAAUUUUUGCUCUUCAAAUCUGAAGUGGACUCCAUUUUCAUGUAAUCAUAUUUGAUAAAAGCAAGUCCAAGAUAGAAUAUCCGCCAAUAAAUGCCAAUGGGACGAACCGACCCUCAGUAGUUGGGCAUUUGUCUGGCUGAAAGUGGAAGAUGCCGACGAUUUCCAUGAUGUUUCGGUCAAGCUUGAAGUCUAGGGGGAAGAAUUGCAUUCACCCAAGUGUCCUCGGCUUUGUAAGGGAAUGGAAUCAGAUCGGGUUUGCGAAGUUCAUGACGGUUCCUAUGCACACUCAUCAGCACGGAGUUUGCGAAGAGAUGGAAGUUCGAACUGCUUAUCAUGAGAUUUUCGAGGUAUGAAUCUUAGUCUAUGAGCUGGUUCUCCAUUUGACUAUGUUCUCGUGUUUGAUUCCAAUUCCGUAUUCCAUAUAGGAACUCUCCACGUGAUUUGGCUAAGAGAGGGAGCGUUAAAGAUAAUUCAUCCUUGUAGUGUUUAUCUAUCUCUAGCUUUCCCAUGUGUGCAUAUGUAUGUUUUAGGGGAUCUCAUAAAUGUCAAGCCAAUGGAAACAGGCCGAAUGAGUCUUAUCGGAUUUGAUUGUGCUGAAAAUGACAUUGGUGUGCAUAUAGGCCUCGAAAGCUAGACCAUUAGAAAGACCCAGAUCCAUCAAAUUGGGGUUGAUGUGUCGGGAAAUAUGAAUUUCACAUAAUAAGAAUAGCAUAUGCCUAAGCUUUCUUCAUGUUCUAAUUUGCGACUGUUGCAGAUAAACUGAAACAACUGGGCUUGCGCAGAGUUGUCAAAUCGGCCAGCAAAAUUAAACCGACCACAUUGCGGUGAGGUCAAUAUAUCUAAAGAAAAGCAAUGUGGUAUGAUCCUCCUGACAAUGACAACACUUGAAUUUAAAUCACAGAGUCGCUAAACUAUAUUUGUGACAUCCUGAAAUUCGACCCCAUUUCGAUAAAGUGAAAUGGACAUUUCGUCAACGUGCUUAGGGUCCUUUUUCUCUGAACUGAUCACUCACGAGUUAACUAACCAAUUGGGUGAAGCCGUUAAGGGACGUAUCUGCAGUAAAAUCCCUAAAAGCUACUCAAUUUGUUGGAUUGGACUAAAAUCACGUUUGAUCGAUUUUUAACCACGAAAUUGAACUCGAUUUCGGGAAUCGAAUUUUAAGCGCGUCAUAAUUCUUAUUUUUAGGAUCCUGUCUCAUCGUUCGUCAAUUUAUUGACGAGUCCGAAAUUUCAAGAAAGAAAUUAUCGGAAGAAAAAUUAAAGCACGAAAGAAAAUAAAAAGAGAAAGAGAAGAGAAAAUAAAAUAAGAAUAAUUAUAUUAGUUUUACUUUAUUUUUCCCUCUCUCCCUCUCUCUUCUUUUCUUUCUUUUUCUUUCUCUUCUCUUCUCUCUCUCUUCUCUCCCCUCUCCCUUUUUCCCCUCGUGCAAUUCCCCCACCGCCUACCUUUUCUCUCUCUUUUCCCUCUUUGACCGGUCAAUACCUAUCCUCUCUGUCUCUCUCUUUCUUUUUCUUCAUCUUCCUCCCCGUGCAUCCGAAGAAGCGUACCAGAAGAGGAAGCUUGAGCAGAAGCCGCUGCUCACCGCCCGUCCCGUCGCUCGCACCCGCGACGCCCGCCCGCGCACGUCGUGCGCUCCGCCCCGCGUCCGUCGCCGCUGCCGCUCCUUCCUCGCGCGAAUCAGCCCCUGCUCAGCUCGGUUCCGUCCCGACCAGCCCCCGUCCGGCCACCUCCAGCCGCCGUUCGACCUCGCCGGACUUCCCCGGCGUCCCCCUCGUCCUCCGCCGGCCUCCCCUCGCCGUUUUGGCCGCCGGAGCAGCCCCGGCCAACCCCGACCAGCAACCCACGAAAUGGAUUUCUAGCGGCUUUAGGCCCGCUUUGAGCCGUUCCGAGCCCCGAACCCGAGCCGUGCUUUGGAGUUUGUUAUUCCUCGUGUCGCCCCCGUCUGAUUGAUCCGAUUUGCACGCGAUUUGGUGAGUAAUCUCACUAAUCUGGAUUAGUUGGCUAAUUAUGUUUAAGGUUGGUUUAUUUUUAAUUAAUUAUGUUUAGGUUGUUAGAUUAGAAUAAAUUAGCAAUUAUUAGUCAAUUGUGAUGCGAUUUAGAUAAAUUGAUUGCGUAAUUAGCAAGUAGACGUGGUCUACUAAUUAUUGGAAGUAUCUCGGGAAUUUUCCGACCCAUAAUCGGGCUUCAAUUUGGCGAUUCGGACCUAAGUGGGAUUUUUGGCAUUUAAAUAUUAUUUUUCGGAAUUAAAUUAAUUUUUUAUUUAUUUUCCGAAAAUUCAACUGGGAUGGUCAGUGACCGGAAUAUUAUCUUGAUGACUGUGGUGAAGUCCGUUUAUUUAAUCGCGCUUUAUUUUGAGCUAAAUUGAAUUUUUAAUAUUAAUUAUUUAAUUUUCGAAAUUAAUUAAUUAUUUAUUUAUUUCCUGAAAAUUCAACUGGGAUGGCCCGUGACCGGAAAUUUAUGCUGGUAAUCGUGGUGCAGUCCGUUUAUUUAAUUGGGCCUUAUUUUGAGCUAAACGGAAUAUUUAAUAUUUAAUAAUUAAUUUUCGAAAUUAAUUAAUUAAUUAAUUAUUUUUCGGAAAUUAUGAUUGAGAUGGUCGACGACCGAAAUCUCGUGCUGAUUGUCGUGGCACAGUCCGUUUAUUUAUUUGAGCUUUGAAUUGUGCUGAAUUGAUUUAAUUGUGGAUAUUUAGGAUAUAUUCCUAAAUUGAUUAUUUGGGUAAGUUGAGUACGAAUUAAGGUUGUGUAUAAUUACUUUAGAAAUGUGAUGAAUCAUCAUGAAAGGCACGUGGCUCGGUGAAUAGUACAUCAUCUCGGAGAAUGCACGUGGCUCGGCGAUUUGGUAUAUCGCUUCGGAGAAUGCACGUGGCUCGAUGAUUAGUACGUCGCCUUGGAGAAUGCACGGGGCUUGAUGAUUAGAUAUAUCACCUCGGAGAAUGCACAUGGCUCGGUGAUGAAGUAUGUCGCCUUGGAGAAUGCAUGUGGCUCGGUGAUUAAGUGUGGCAUCUUGAAAGAGACACGUGGGCUCGGUAAUUUGAUGCAUUACCUCGGAGAAUACACGUGGUCUCAAUGAGUACAUUUGGCAUCUUGAAGAGACACGUGGGCUCGGUGACUUGAUGCAUUGCCUCGGAGAAUGCACGUGGGCUCGCUGAUUCAGAAUGGCAUUUUAAAGGGCACGUGGGCUCGGUAAAUUAAUGCAUUACCUCGGAGAAUACACGUGGCUCGGUGAUUGAUUCUAUUAGUUAUGACUAUAUAGCAAUGACUAGAAUGACCUAGAGAUGGUCCGGCUGACAUGUAAUUGACUAGGUCGAUUGAUCAUUGCUUUGAUUUGACGUCGUGAAUUGAUCGACUGAUUGGGAAUGACCGUGAGUGGUCUUGUUGGCAUAUAAUUGACUAGGUCGAUUUGAUCGAUGCUUCGAUCUGUGAUGUGAUUUCUUGGGUGUCUAUUUGAUCUGUGCUAACAUGCAGGUGGGAUCUGAGGCCGAGGUACGUCUUCUGCCCUAUGCGUGUAUAGGCAGCCUAUAGUAUAAUGAUUUACUAAUCGGGCUUAGUGGGGUAGAACUCGCUGAGAUGUAGUCUCAUCCCAGUUUGGGGAAAACAUUUCAGGACUUCGAUGAGGAGCUGAGGAGGAGGAGUCUGAGAAUGAGAACUCGGAGGUGAAACCUGAGGAGAAGGAUUUUUUUGAAAGAAGAAGAUAAUACUGAGAGGAGUCUUAAAUAUGAUGUGAAUAGAAAUAGAGUAAAAAGUUGUGAAGUACUCUGGUUUGUGUUUUGUAUAAAAGGUUUGGUUAUAAGGUUCAAUAUGAAAAAUAUGACCCUGCUUUUCUAUCCCAUUGUUUUAUUGUCUGGGGAUUUAUAACUGCUUCCGCAUGUGCUUAAUAAAUGAAAGGGUCGGCGAUACAUUGUCCUGGGAUAUCGCAUUAUAAAAUCGACCAAGUGAGAAGGAUGUGUGCGUGCCCGAGGAUCGGGGCGUGACAAUAUUAGCUCUAGAUUGAUUGUGCAUCGGGUCAUUAAUUUCUGUUUUUAUCCUUGACAUGCUUUGAAAAGGAUCCUCGUACUGUCUUGGUUAGAAAUCGUUGGUUGUCUUCUUCUUUCUGAUGACAAAACUGCCGAACGUGCGCUUGAGCAAAGAGUUCCCGGUCCAUUCCCAAAGAUGCACUUCAAGAAAAGCCUGUAGACUGUGGCUCUUAUAUAUCAGGACAAAUCGUGGCCGGUGAAGCGCAUUAGCCACGAACAUUAUGGAAAGUCAUCUAUUGGUUGGGCUACUUUCUCGAGAGAAACUUCUCUGAAGGAGUGAGGCUUGUGCAUGUUCGAGUUCUAUUAGAAGGGGCAACGUCGUGUUCAGAGUAUACAUCUUCAAGACCACUAGCCAGAGGUAGCUGAAAAAUCCUAUGCAAUAGGACACGGCAAAGGAAGCAUCACUUUAGCUCAGAAUUGCUUGGCUAAAAUCUGCUUCAAAUUUGACAAAUCAGAAAAAAGCAUGAGUUUUAUUCUAAUGAAUGGAAAGAUACCUUUAAUCGAUCCUAGCGUUACAAUCACCAUGUGGGGAUGAGUCAUGAGUCAUGAGACGGAGGAAGCUAAUUGCAUCUAGUACAAGUCACACAGCCUCAUUUCCUUACUCCUCCCAUAGUAGAUUUCCGUUGUCAUCGGACCACUCUCUAUACUUCAAAACACAAAAGGAAAUUUAUAUUCAUUUAAGCAAAGAGAGAUAAUAAAAGGAUGUAAAAGCCGUCCUUCGAGUCUAUAUUAAUCAAAAUAUUUAGUGCUCUCUUGCAGUUAAUACAUAGAUUCUGAUUAUAAUCGGACAUCUACUGAGCACAACCGAAGAAGAGUUCUAUAAGCCAGCAAUGACAUAAAAAAUAGUUCCACAAGAGGGCUCAACCUCCUCGACUUAUUAAAUGAAUCACAAGGCAAGGAAAAGAGAACUUGGGCAAUUAAUGGCAUUAAACACAAUUAAUGCGAAUUAUGCAGGAAUUAUUAGAAUUAUAGUGAGCUGGGGCUUAGAUGGUGUUCCUUACUCAUGUCAAUUGAUGAUGAUAAAGAAAAGUAACUAUGUGAAAGUUACCAAAACAUUUAAAAAUUUAGUGUCACUUUAAAACUUACAAAAUUUAUUAAUCAGAUAAAAAAAAUUUACAAAUUAUGUACGGUUACAAAUUACUUUCAAUCUGCGGAACGUUACUUACAAAUUUGAAAAACUCUUUUAUGCAUGUGACACUCCAAAUUCCAUAUGGAUUGGAAGAGGGAUAAUUGACCAAUAGAUAAGUGUGAACACGAACCACCCCCGCUAGAUAUUCAUCCCCGCUAGAUAUUCAUCUCCCGAAAAACUUAUUUAGGGGCUUAAAUCAUAACAAACCGGAUUGUUAAUAUUAGAAAAUUUCAUGCCUGACUUAUAGCUCGAACUUGCACAUUAAUUAAAGAUAUUUAACUUUUACUAGCCGAGUGAGUAGACAAAUCUAGCGAGCAAUUAUCUACUUGGUAUUUGGCUCAAAUAAAGGUUGUACUCUACAAUGUUGACUUAAGAAAAGUAUAUAAUUCUCUCAAAUUAAGAUAGGUAAUUUCACACAAAAAUUGUUAAGCGUGAUUGUGGUUGGUGGAGGAGAAACACCUAUGUAGAUAAACCAAGAAAGCGAAUCUUCUUAAUACCAAAGUAAGUUAUACUAGCCAUUUAACUUAAUUCUCCAAAAAAGUAUCAACUUUAUCUGGAGUAUCAAUUCAGGCAUAACCUUUUUUUUGUAACAAAAAAUCAUCAACUUCCAUGCCUAAAUCUGACCCCGAUUAGCUUUCCAUCAACUAUUGGUGUUAAAUGUUUGAUGCAUCAAUUUCACGUCAUUAUCUUUUUCCAAGUCAGAAUUCAUAUAUAUAUGCUGUCUUCUUUUUUCUUUUUUUCUUUUUUCCAUUUUCCUUUUUCUUUCUUCUUCUUCUUCCUUUCACUGGACGAUAACCUGACCACCGUGAGUCAGCCGUACGAUCCAAUCGGACGAGGUCACAUGACUUCCUCUUGGUUAAGUCACCCCAAACAGGGAGGCCAAUCUGUAGUUUCAACACUCUGAAUCCCUUUCGAGUGACAUGUACCAUGAUCUCAUGAAGGUAAAUGGAGUAACGCAAAUUGAGAAGAUUUCAAUCUAUUUUGUAAAGCUCUGGCCACCCAGAAAGAGGACAAGAGAGAAAGAGGUUCAUUUCAAGAACCAUCAUCAGAAGGAAAUUGAAUAGCUACAGUACAAACUGUUAUUCUGAUCUUAUUAUGUGGAUCAAAUCAAUGUACAAAGAGCAUUAGGAUACAUCAUCACGGAAUUGAUAUUCUCGCUCCCUGCUACAGAGAAAGCAAGUUUCCUAUAGAUAUUCUAAUAGGUCUUGUUGACUCUCCAGUUCCCAAAUCACCGCUUUACCAUCCAAUCCUGUCAUUUAGGGAUUGGAAAAUCAGUUGGCCUCUUUAAAAAGAAAGCGAAAAGAUAAUCCACUUCAAGCAUUAAGAAACAUGAGAUAAAAGUACGUUUGUUUGCCAACCUGAAAUGUCGAAGCGUGUUAUGGUCGAACUUCCAGCCUCCCCAAGUGGCACAAUACAACUGCAGUCACACAAAAUUAAUCUUGCGUAAGUCAUUCAUCCCAUGAUAUUGGCAUUUUACUCAUCAACUCUCCUAAUCCACAUCAUCUACUGGACUCAUGUUUGGAAAUGCCAGAAGAAAAAAAUCUGGAGAAGAGUUCAAGCUUAAUAUACAUCGACGCAGGCACGCAUGCAGUCCAAUUAGCACAAGAAAAACAGCUGUAAGAUGACUGUCAUCUUUAUAAUGUAAAAAGGAAGAAGUGAUUGUUAUCAUGUUGAUAGAUACGUUAUGCAGUUCUCGUGAACCCCUCCUCGCUGUCUUGAAUUGUCAACGCCAUCAUACGUUAUGCAAAACGGCGUCGUUUUGGGUUCCGUUCGCCGGAAAAAGGCCACAUCGACGUUUUGGCUGAAUUUUGGCCGGAUUGGCACUCAAGUGAUCCAUUUUACUCCGAUUUUGGUACUUAAGUGUACCUUUCGUAAGUUAUGGCACUUAAGUAUCCCUUUGGGCAAAGUUAAGGCACUUCAGGGGUCCGCACGUCUUAGGAUAUCCAUUGAAAAUGACCAUGAACCUAAUUUAAAGAUUCACCCACAUAAAGUCCCAAUCCCUUUAUCAAUUCAAAUUAUUUUUUUGAAAUUCUUUACCGUGGAGACUAUGGGAGUCUGGAGCAAAAGUAAGUGACAAUGGAUGUCGGCAUCAACUUUUUCCAGUGGAAAAUAAAGCAUGCUUUUUUUUUUUUUGGUAUAGUAUCGCCGAAGGCAUAAGGCAGGUUCAUCAAAUGUAUGGCACUUGGUCAAUUAUUUGGUUACCCACAAACUUUUUAGACGGUUGUACAAUUCCUUACUAAAAUUAGAGAGUAAAUGUGACUUCAAUCAGUAAGGUAAGGUUUUAAAGAUUUUGGCAUUUUCACUUAAAUAAGUAUGAAAGCAGAGUACAAAGAUCAAGAGGAUGUUUCAUCUUUCAAUUGAAAAUUAAAACUGUCCGAGCACUAGAAAUCGGACCUUCAACAAGUCAGAGUACCACGGCUGGAAACUAAACUUAAUCUAGAAAUCGCGCAUCAUGGGGACCUCCAAAAGAAGGAAAAAAGCACGGAAGAAACAAUUGGUGAAAGCGAACGGUGAACCGACCGAACAACCUCUACAUAUGCAUAUAUUUCCAAAGAAUAACCCCGUCUCACUUAUAGGGAUGAUUAUGAGGGGCUCUCUUUCAAAAAAUCUGUGAAAAAUUGAAAGACAAUACAUGAAAAGUCAAAACUUAUUUUCAACUAAUGCUCAACAUUACCUUAGUUGGGUAGAAGGCUCCAAGUUGGCUCAAGUCAUAUAUGUCAAUAAGUAGAAUAUCAUCAAAGUUGCCCUUCAAUAUAUAAAUCAAUAACACGGCCAUUUUAAGUUUUAGAGCUAUUUUGAUUUGCAUACCAUUUCAAAAAUAAAACCUCAAUUUUUUUUCCCUUUCAGUUAGCUUGAUUAUAAUUUUACUUCUCUAUUUUUUAAUAUGAUUUCAUGCCAACACGAGGAGUGGGCUUAGGAAUAGUACCUAAUCCUUUUUUGCGCUCAAAUCUCUUUGCCUUCUUUGUCCCUAAUCAUUCUUGCUUUGUUUCGCUCUUCCAUUAUUCUCUGUCUCUUUGUUUUUGUUUUUGUUUUUUUUUUCUGGGUUUUCUCAACUAAAAAAAAAAAAAAUCAAAGAAAAAUUUAAAAUCGAUGAGACUGUUGAGAAAAAAUGGGAAACAUCACAUUAAAUUCAUCUCAAGAAGUAUUUGUGGUUAAAGAGCAAGAGCAAAAAAACAUUAGAAAAAUCUCAAUUAUAUCAUCAAAUGAUAAUUUUUUUGAUAAUGUUCUGCUUGGGCUAUGAGUGCAUCAACCUCGAAAAUCCACGUCUAUGCUGGCUCCAUCUAUUUGUCUUCUUGACUCCUUAAAAAAGGAAGUCAUGAUAUUUUUUUCUUGGAUUGCUACAAAAUUUAACAGUUAAUACUUUUGACAUUUCACACAUAAUCAAUGAUGAUAUGGGCAUGCAUCUUCAAUCUUCCAUUACCGCUUUAUUGCACCGAAAGGUGAAUUCCCAAGACUGAAAGAGAAAGAUUCCUCUGGUGGGCCUUCCGUUCCACCGAAACCCUUGAAAAAUAGUCAAGAGGAUCUUCUAAAGUCGUUGUGAUGAUUUGGUGUAUACAUGCAUAUUCACACACAUUGGGCGAGGCUAUUCACUCUCCCAAUUUAGCUUAAAAUCACAUCCUUUUAAGUAAACUCAAUUAUUAAUAGACCUGCAUUUUAUUUAAAAAUAAACAAAUCUGCCUUUUCCAAUUUCUCUCUCAUCUAUUGCCUGGUCUAUUUGAGAGUGCUAGUAUGAAUACCUAGAGGGGGUGAAUAGGUGUUUAAAAUAAACCUUGGCAAAUAUAUGCGGAAUAAAAUAAACUUCAAGUAAAAUAAAGGAGUUAAGGAAGAGAAUAAGAACACAAUGUUUAUAGUGGUUCGGCUUAAUCCAAGCCUACGUCCACUCUCCCACGCUAACAGCCUUCUUGGCUGGAUUCCACUAUGCAAUCAACAAGAGAUUACAACUUUGAGUGCAAACACUUAGUAGUAGAUCACACUAUCUCACUAAGUCACUCUUUUGGUAUUUCUCUCACGAUCACAAAUGUUUAAGCUCUCCAAAGACAAGUGUAUGAUCGAAGGUCGCUCAGACUUUGGAAUUAUAAAUUUUACGCUCCGUCUCUUACUUGCUCAUCGGUCCUUCAUCUCCUUAAAUACUCCUCCACUUCCAAACUAGCCGUUGGACAAUAUCUUGAGGAUCGUCUUCCAAUAUACCCAUUGGACAGCUCUGUAUCUAGAAGAUUUGGUAGCCGUUGAGUGACAAAGGUAAAAUCCCAAAUUAAUUCCAAUCGCCCAUACAAACGGAAUCUUGGUUUCCAUAAGUAAAGCUUCUUCGUAUAGAAAGAUCUUAUCUUCAAGAUCCAAUUGUCAAUCAAAUAGAUUGAGUCAAUCAAAUCAAUCUUGAUGUGGAAUCCAAACCAGAUCACUAGCCGUUAUAUGAUUGGGCUUGAGUUACGUUCUGUCAAGUUCUGGAUAUAAAGUCUGAGAGUAAUAGACUUUACAAUCUGAGUCUGAGUGUGAUAGACUUUGCAAUCUGGGUCUGAACAUAUUCUGCUUCUGAACAGAUUUAGCUUUAAGGUCUGAGUUCAGCUCCAACAUAGAGUCUGUCUUAUGGUUCAGCUUCAGCAUAGAGUCUGUCUUCUGGUUCAUCAUUCACGUUCAGUCUGGAAUUUGUUAGAAUGAGCAGACUUCUGAUGUAGAAUAGACUUUGACACUAAAGUCUGGCAGUCUUCAGACUUUGAGUCUUGAGUCUAGCAAUCUUCAGACUUUGAGUCUUGAGUCUGGCAGUCUUUAGACUUUGACACAGAAGUCUGGAAAUCUUCAAAAUAUACUCUAGACAUAUGUUACAUUCAGUCUUCUGGCCGUCUUCUGACUUUGAUAAUAUCUUCUAUAUGUUCUAACAUCUGCAUGGUCUAUUACUCAACCAUCAAACAUGUUAGUAGCCUUUGAUUUAUUUUGUCAUCUUCAAAACAUCAUAAGGGAUUUCCCUAACAAUCUCCCCAUUUUUUAUGAUGACAAAACAAUCUCUGAAUAUGCAAAUUUGUAAACAUGCUUUUAAAGAUAUUAAUUUAAAUCAAAGGAUAUCAGAAGAUAACAAAUAGAUUGAGCAUAAUAAUAUAUAGAAAAUAAUCGCAGCUCAAUAUUAUGCAAUAAAUAAUAUCAACAAAUCAGCACAUAUGCAUAUUCAUAUCUUCUCCCCCUUUUUGUCAUAAUCAAAAAGCGAUUAUGAUGGAAAAAGUAUCACAUAGAGAAUAGAGAAUGAUAACAAAUAUGUCUUGCAUAAUUUCCAAAAAUAAGCUUUUAUAAGGUAAAUCGAAUAUUAAAAAUAUGCAGUAUAGCUCACUUCGAUCAUAUCGGCAAAUAUCCAAUAAAAAUCAUGGAUGCAUCAUAACUUGCACGUACCCUUUCCUUCCAUCCAUAAUAAGAUCACGAUCAAUCCAAAAAGAUUUUUCCAUAAUUGAUCAAGGCUCCCCCUCAAUUUGUUGCAUUUUUGAGAUGAUCACGAUUCUUUCAUUUUUCUUGGAUUUGCUUUCUCCCCCUAUGAUCAUGGCAAUAUUUGCGAAUAGAAACAAUUGUUGCUUGUUGUCGCGACCUAAAUUUUUAGGGUGGGUGAACCACCUAGGGUUUGGCUAAUGGAUUACUAAGUCUUUAAGCUUAGCUCGAACCCUCCCAAGCCCAUACCAAUUCGCGACUUAGAUUCAAAUUUCUUAACAUGCAAAUUGAUUUUAUUUAGGAGUCGCCACUAAUCAGUUUAUGGUAGGUCGAUUAGACACCUAAGUAAAAUAAUGGGAGAAUUACUUUACUCCUACGAACCAGAGACUAAGGGUACGGGGACUUGAUUACAUUAGAUUUCUCUAAUGCCCUUUCGGUACCAUUCUUUUUAUUUUCAAAAAUGUUUGGCAAUUGAAUUGAUUUUAAACUAACUUCCUAACGUGUGAGGUGAUCAUACAUGUGCGCAUACCACCAAUUUAACACUCAAGAAAACAAUUAAAUAUUGCAAAACAUACCUAGGAGCAACGAAAGCAUCUGCAUUGUUAAAUCAGAAUUCACAUCAGCAGCCCUAGAUAUGAUUUCUAAUUAACAAGCAAUUACUCAAUUUUUGUUUUCACUUUAUUUAAUGAAAAUCAUGCGAUGCAUGCUAAUAAUCUAAUAUGACGGGGCAGCAUGACCUAAACUAUAUGACAUGAAGAAAUGGAAUAAUUAAAUGCAAUCUAAAUGACCUAAUUCUAAUGACAUGCAAUGCGAUGCAAUGACAUACAAAAUUAUUUAACCUAAAAUGACAUGCGACCUAUAUGUCAAGCGACAUUUAUUAAAUGACAUAAUCUAAUGACGGGCAAUUUCUAAUUAGAAAUGAACCUAACAAUAAUCACUAAAAUGACGUGCAUUUCAUGGACUUAAUUUUAUAUAACGUGCACAUGAUUUUUCUAUUCUAAAAAAUGAAAUCUAUUCCUAGAAAUUGCAACUAAUUUAUCCUAAGACAAAUUUUAUGAAAUUCGAAAUUUAAAAAUGCAAAGGUGAUCUAGCCAAAUUAAGAUUCUAUCCAAUUUAAACUAGGGAUUAAGUUAUACCAAAUCCUAAUUUAAACUAAGACAUUAUCCAAAUCUAUGAUGCAAUUUAUCUAAUAUGCAAUGACAUGCAGAGAAUGCCCUAAUUCUAUAUGACAUAUGCAUGAUAUUUUAUAUCUUUUGUUUUUUUAUUUAAAAUUCAAAAUUUAAAAUUGCCACGUAAUUAAUCAUGCAAUUAAAAUCCUAACUUAAUGCAUUUUUUUAAAUAUUUUUUUGAACUAAAAUUGCUAUCCUAGAUAUGCAAGAUAACAAGAAAUAUUCUAAAACAACCUGAAUCUUGAUUCAAAAUUUUUUUGGGUUUUUUAGUGAUCAAGCACUUAUCAACUAAACAUUAAAUCUAAACAGUUAAUAUAAUCACUCAAUAAAGGAUCAAGAUAAUUGAAAAAAUAACCUGUCGUCUCACAGGUUAAAUUAACAAUUAUUCUAACCCUAACUAUCACAAAACUCAAAAUAAUUAAAAAUCUAGUCCGAAGUCUUACGGACCAAAUUAAAUAAUUAUCAUGAUUUAACAAUUGAGAUUCUACCAAAAAGCCCAAAAAUUAAAAAUAAUUAGAAAAAUGAUCCGAUGUCUCUCGGAUCAAAUUAAUAAUUAUAUUAAUUUCGGACAAAAUCCCUACGGAUAAUGCAUAUUAAAGUCACAAAUAUUAACAUCAAAUAUUACAAGUUAAAUAGAUGAACUAAAAAUGAGAUAAAAUAGAACAAAAUAAAUAAAAGAAAAAGCUAAACCACCUAAAGAAAGAGGGGCUUGCUGCAGCGUUGAUGGGUGCCGGACGGAGGAUGGCCGGCGUCAGAGCUCCGGCGAGGGCACAGCAGGUGCACAGUGAGGAGGUGUCGCAGGGCGCGGGGCCUGCUGUCGGGCACCGAGGAGACGUGAGCAACAACGAUGUGGGCUCUGGCGGUGUUGGGUUGCGGCAGGAACAGCAGCACGGCGGCGGCUAAGCGUCAGGUCUCGGCGCGGUUCGGCAGCAGUGUCGGCGACGCACGGGUCUUCGGCUCCGAGUAGCAGCAGGCGGCGGUGAAGAGAGUCUCCAGCGGCAACGGGUCACCGGAAUCGUGGGUCAGCGCGGCACGAACAACAGAGGAGAUGCGGGCCGGUACGGGGGCUCACUCGGCGGUGGAACGACGACCAGCUCGGAUCUGCGAUCGUCGGGGCUCUCGAGUGGGCAGAUCAGGAUAGCGGUGGUAUCGCGGAGAGGCGGAGACGCGGCGUGGGUGGCAGGGUGGCGACGGCGCAGGGGCGGAGGUGCGUUGGAGGCUGGCGUCGCGGUGCCGGCGCAACGCACGGUCGGCGCGUCGGGGUCUCCGCGAGUUGCAGCGGCGGCAGGUGAGGAGUGGCUCCGGCGUCACGAACCAGCGCGGAUUGGAGAUGAGGCGGAGAACGCGGAUUGGUUAGGCAGCAGCAGAAACCUGGCUAAAAGCGCCGGCGAUAGGGCCGGCGUGGGUGCUCACGGACGGACACUCCAAAAGGAAGGUCCGGUGUCGUCGGAUCUUGGUUGCAAACGAAAUUGCAGAAGUGGGGCAGCAAUUUGGGGAAGAUGAUGAACAGUAAAGGUCAAAUCAACCUUUACUGUUUCAGCCGCUUCCCCCUCAAACUCACUUCUCUCUUUUACUUUUUUUUUUUUUGGUACUUUCUGCAGGAAAAUUUUCUUUUCUUUCUCCUUUCUUUUCUGAAUUUUUUUCUAGAGAAGCCCCCCCACAGAAACUCCCCACGGAUGGCUUCUCUCUUUCACUUUUUCUGAAUUUUUUUUCAAAGAAGCUCCACACACGGAUCCUCGUACACGGUUGCUUUUAUAGGGGGUAAGAGAUAAGCCUUCAAUUUCCCCUUCAAAUCUAUAUCCGUGAUACAUUUUCACCAACCGAUCACUACUGAUAAAAAUUCAAGAUUACAAUAAAUAUUUACUCGAAAUCCAAAUCUCGCAAAAGAUAAGUCGCAAUAUUUUUUCACACAUGUGCUCUAUCCAAAAGAUUCAUAUCCCGGAAUAAUUUCAAAAUUUUUAUUUUUCACGAGAUAAUUAAAACACAUGGGCUUGGGCCAACCAGCUUGCUUCGUGGGCUUAGUCCAACUAAUUUGAACCCAUUCGCAUUGAUCCGAUAAAUAAAAUGCCAAAUGCAAAUAUAAAUCUAUAUGCUAUAAAGUUUAACUCCUAAUUUCCUAUGCAAUAAAUAAAUAAACUAAAUCGUCAAAAUUUAGGUGUCAACACUUGUUAAACAUAAUAAUUUUUUUUUUCAGUAUUUCCUUUGUAGCAACAACAUCUGCAACGAUCACUUGCAUUUUGAAAUUCGAGGCAAAAAUUUAUUUUCUUCAAUUAAGCUUUUCUCGAAUUUAACCUGCAUCAACUUAACAAAUUUUUUCACAAAUAAGCUGUAAUAAUAUCCACGUGAUAUAUAAUACCAUUUUCUUCAAAUAGAUAAAUUGAAUAGCAUAUAUAAAAUUAUCAAAUAUUAAAAUUCAAAACUAUUCAACAUUUUGUACGAUGCAUAAGGGAUUUCUUCAACAAUUUGCAAAAAUUUGCACAAGGAAUAGAAUAUAGAAUCUCCAUGAUUUUCUGAUUGAGUUUUCCAAAAAUCCAUAUGGAAGAUUCUUUUGUGACCUGCAAAUUCUUAUAUAACAGAUAAUAAUCUUUGCAAGAAUGUCACGUAAUAUCUUCCUUUGAUUUGUGGAUCAAACUUGCUAGAUAUAAUAUAUCUUCUAAGAAUAUAGCAAGAAUAUCCAUGAAUAUGCAGUAAUAUCUUUCGAGAUCAAAGAGAUUUCCUUGAGCAUAAAUUUCAGAUAUGCAUUUUGCAAAAGGAAAAUAGAUAUUUCUGUCACGUGCCAAAAUUGCAAUACCUUAUAUUUAUGACAAAAGAUAUUUGCAAUAUAAUAAACAAUCAUCCAAAAUGCACGUAGAAAUUUAUAAAGCGGGAUGAUAAAAAAAUAAUUCUCUUACCCAGGUAUAUGUUUGAAAUAUACCAUUGAAAAUAAAAAUCAUUACCAAUCUUCAUAGGAGAUAUUUUUCUGAUUGCACCAAAAUUUGUGUAGAUUUGUAAUCAUUCUUGCCUUAUUGAAUUUCCUGCAAUCAACUCAUUUUCUUUUUGGUAUCCAUUUGGAUCCUUCCAUGACAUUAGAGCAAAAUAUAUAAUCUCCAAAUAUUCUUUCUUAAUUCAUCAUAACAGAGUACUCAGAGAAAGAAUAUUAUGCACAAUGAUAUAAAUUCUUACUUAGUCAUGGUACGAUAAAAACAGAGAGAAUAAAAUCUUUGAAUAUCUAAGAAUAUCUUGCAUCAUCACGUAAAACAGAUUUUCACUUUGCAAAAUAUGAUUAAAUCUGAGAGUAUAAAAUUAGACAAAAUAAUCUGAAUUAUCUCAAAUAAUCACACGUACUAAAUCAAAUCUCAACUCACAAAUCAAAAAACAAAUCAUACGAUUCUUUCUUCCAUAAAGCAAAAUAUGAUCAUUAUAAAAUCUCAAUCAACCAAGGAUAUAUCGAAUAUGAGAAUUAUGUUCCCAAAUCAAAUUAAAAAUUUACCUUCCUUACCAAAUUCUCUUUCUUCUUUCUUCUUUAUAUCCUGCAAAAAAAAAAAAAAUAAUAACUCAUCUUUUCUUUGGUACCCAUUUUUUCUUGGGUCCAUGAGAGUUAGUAGAGUAUGCUGUUUUUAUCCAAUUUUUCUUGAUAGGUCUCCAGACUUUAGGACAUUCUUUCUCAAAGUGAUUUGAAUCUCCACAAUUUGAACAUUUGAGGGCAUUUCGACCAACGGGUUUUACAAACACUUUUUGAAAAUGAUUUUUAUAAAAUGUCUUUGGAGGUCUUUGUUUAAGUCUCUCCUUGACUUUAGGAAAAUCAAUUAAAUAAUCACUUUCCUUAUUGAAACCAAGUCCCGACUUAUUAUAGUAAGGAACUUGUAGAGAGAGGAUAUGCUCUAAUGUUUUUGAUCCAUUUGAAAAUCUUGUCGAAAUAUUUGAAAAUUCUUUCUUCAAAGAAUCAUUUUCUUUGACAAGUAAAUCUCGACUUUUUUUUGUUUGUAGAAAAUCUUUUUGCAAAAUUUCAAAAUUUUCUUUUUGAGAAAGAUCUUGUUGCCUAAGUCGAGAAUUCUCCUUUUUAAGUUCGAAAAUCCUUUUAAGAGAAGAUUUGAGAUUUGAACAAAGCUCAUUUAUAUACUUUGAAACUUUGAAAGGAAUUGCUGAAUGACUUACCUUGAUUUCCUCAUCGGAUUCUGAGUCUGAUUAUGAAUCAGACUUUGAUUCUGAGUUUGUGUCUGAGUCAGACUCAGAUUCUGAAUGUGCCAUCAAGCAUAAAUUUCCUUUCUCAUCAUCUUCUUUUAUUGUUCUUGUCUGGCCAUUCUGCUUGUAUUUUCUUCCAUCGAAUUUCCUUCCUUUUCUACUCAGCUUUUUGAAUUUCUUGACCAUAAAGGCAAGUUCUUCAUCGUCCAUGUCAUUUUCUGAGUCUGUUUCAUCAAAAACAGCAUUAGAUAUUAAAGCAAUGGACUUCUUACCUUCGGGAUCUUCAUCGUUGAUUUGUUCCACUUCAUAGGACUGAAGAGUGCCGAUCAAUUCAUCAACGGUGAGUAGCAUAAUCCUUUGAGUCUCCCGGAUUGAGGUCUUGACAUGGUUCCAAUCUUUUGAGAGACCUCGCAAGAGUUUGUUGACCUUCAUUGGGGCAAAAAUUUGAUGACCUUGAUAUGCUAAACCAUUUACAAUUUCUGUAAAACGGCUAAACAUAUCUCCAAUCGAUUCUCCUUGCUUCAUCUUGAAGGAUUCAUAUUUGCCAAGCAAGAAGUUUACUUUUGUCUCUCUUACACGAUCGGUCCCUUCAUAUGUAACAUGAAGUUUAUCCCAAACUUCUUUUGCUGUUUCACAUGAAGAGAUUCUAUUAUAUUCAGUAGGAGACAAAGCACAAUAUAAAGAAUAAAUUGCUUUCGCAUCAAGCGCUUCUCUUUUGGACAUCUCCAUCCGAGACAUAGGAUCGGGGGGUUUGCUUUCUUUGUCUUUGCCAUUCUUAUUUGAUGUAGACGGAGCGAUGGGGUUGAUUCCUCUUUCCACAACAUCCCAUUGCAAGAGAUCUCUGGAUCUUAGGAAUGCUUUCAUUUUGUUCUUCCACACGUCGUAUUCCUUUCCAUCAAAAUAUGGUGGCCUUGUGUUGCUUUGUCCUUCCAUAAGUCCUGGUGCCAACAUACUAGCCAUGGAUCUUUAACUCUGAAGUAAAACACUUCAAACAAAGUGAGUACACAGGCUCUGAUACCAAAUGAGAGUGCUAGUAUGAACACCUAGAGGGGGUGAAUAGGUGUUUAAAAUAAACCUUGGCAAAUAUAUGCGGAAUAAAAUAAACUUCAAGUAAAAUAAAAGAGUUAAGGAAGAGAAUAAGAACACAAUGUUUAUAGUGGUUCGGCUUAAUCCAAGCCUACGUCCACUCUCCCACGCUAACAGCCUUCUUGGCUGGAUUCCACUAUGCAAUCAACAAGAGAUUACAACUUUGAGUGCAAACACUUAGUAGUAGAUCACACUAUCUCACUAAGUCACUCUUUUGGUAUUUCUCUCACGAUCACAAAUGUUUAAGCUCUCCAAAGAUAAGUGUAUGAUCGAAGGUCGCUCAGACUUUGGAAUUAUAAAUUCUACGCUCCGUCUCUUACUUGCUCAUCGGUCCUUCAUCUCCUUAAAUACUCCUCCACUUCCAAACUAGCCGUUGGACAGUAUCCUGAGGAUCGUCUUCCAAUAUACCCAUUGGACAGCUCUGUAUCUAGAAGAUUUGGUAGACGUUGAGUGAUAAAGGUAAAAUCCCAAAUUGAUUCUGAUUGUCCAUACAAACGGAAUCUUGGUUUCCAUAAGUAAAGCUUCUUCGUAUAGAAAGAUCUUGUCUUCAAGAUCCAAUUGUCAAUCAAAUAGAUUGAGUCAAUCAAAUCAAUCUUGAUGUGGAAUCCAAACCAGAUCAUUAGCCGUUAUAUGAUUGGGCUUGAGUUACGUUUUGUCAAGUUCUGAAUGUAAAGUCUGAGAGUAAUAGACUUUACAAUCUGAGUCUGAGUGUGAUAGACUUUGCAAUCUAGGUCUGAACAUAUUCUGCUUCUGAACAGAUUUAGCUUUAAGGUCUGAGUUCAGCUCCAACAUAGAGUCUGUCUUAUGGUUCAGCUUCAGCAUAGAGUCUGUCUUCUGGUUCAUCAUUCACGUUUAGUCUGGAAUUUAUUAGAAUGAGCAGACUUCUGAUGUAGAACAGACUUUGACACUAAAGUCUGGCAGUCUUCAGACUUUGACACAGAAGUCUGGAAAUCUUCAAAAUAUACUCUGGACAUAUGUUACGUUCAGUCUUCUGGCCGUCUUCUGACUUUGAUCAUAUCCUCUACAUGUUCUAACAUUUGCAUGGUCUAUUACUCAACCAUCAAACAUGUUAGUAGCCUUUGAUUUAUUUUGUCAUCUUCAAAACAUCAUAAGGGAUUUCCCUAACACUAUUUUCUUAUUUACUAGACACUUGAUGAGAGUUUCCGGUUUCAAUCUCGUCAUCUACUCCUUUGAUUUCAAAAUUUUGUUCAUGUAAGAAUUUACCUAAAAAACGUCUUCAACCUAUGAAUCAUAAAAAAAAAAAAAAAAAGUAGAGGCUGAUUUAGCUGAAAGAUUGGAGCAUAAGCACGAUCCGAAAUAUCAAAUUGCACUUAUGUUUUCAUCGAGCUUUAGCCAUAAUUUUUCCAAUUUAUUAUGAUCAAAUCUUCAGUUCUUUGAUCUGUCAUGUUUGAACUUUCAUUAUUUUGUAGAAGAGAAUAUUUCAACGAGUUAAUUUGGUAUAAGAUUUUAUUUAUGAGCUUAUAAAUCAGUGAAUAAUUAAUCCUCUUUAUUCAAAUGGUUAUAGACAAAGUUUUUGAGACAUUUAAAGUUAUUUUUCUUAUUGAUAAUUGGUUUUUCUAAAUUUAUCAUGCUAGUAAAUUUGGGAGAUCAUUGAGUGAGAGUUUCAUUUUGAGCAAUCUCAAUCUUUUUCCACACUGCAUCUCUAGAGUUAUUUCAAAGUGGUGGUGUGGCCGUUUGAUAUGAAGAGAUUCGUGGAAAGGUCCCGAGCUUAAUUCAUUAGUAGCAUGUUUUCAAAUUGAAAAGCUUGCCUCAUAUUUUUAGUUUGUUUUUGAGUUUUCACUUUGUUUGCUUUAUUCCUUAUACCUGUAGCUAGGACUUGAGAUUAUAUUAUGUACCCCAUGAAUAGUUCAAUACCAUAAAUUUUGACAGGUUAAGAUUGAUGUCUUUUAGAUUUCGCACCAUAUUAUAUUGUUAAGGUUGCUAAUUAUAAUUCUUGAAACUAACAAACUAUCAAGUGCUGUGAAAUAUAUAUAUUGUGUGUUCUCUCAUUUUGUGCACUUAUAUUAUGGUCUUUCAUAUCCAUACAUUGCUUGUUCAAAUAUGCAUGUAGGCAAACAAUUCUCUUUACAUUCUUCAAGGAAUAUAUUGAGGGAAUAAUCAAAUCACAACUCUUAGACAUUCAGACAAAUCGUGCAUAGUGAAUCCAAGGAUCCAUCUCAUCUUGUUAAAAAAUGAUAAAUUACAUUUACCUUGUUCCUUGCCAAGACCGAAUUGCAAUCACAAGAAUUUGGUGGUGUCACUCGUAGUUUGAUAAGUCAUGUUUUGUUCACAUUGUGUUGUUUUUAACUAGUAGUUAAGUCACGUCUUUUACAAAUGACAAGUAAUUGAAAUUAUGAGUUCCUUCGAAUGAUUUACAUGACGGAUGAUUUGAUGAUAGCAUUCAGGGCUCUUAGUUUAUACUUUCAUUUUCUAUGACAAUUUGAUUAAAAUUAUUAUUUUAAAGGAAGCAGCCAUGGAUUAUUACUGGAAUCCCAUGAUUGAACCAUGCAGUCAAAAAUGGGGUCCAUAUGUCAUUAGAAGAAAGCUAUGCACGUUGCUCAUGCUUGCCUAUGGUCAUUCACUCGUGAAAGGGUUAAUAGUAAGAGAGUGGCUAAAACAGCCAAGAAUAUGCAAUAAUUUGGCUAGACAUAAAAUAAUGGGAUGUCCCAUCUCCCCCCUUGAGUCUACCUUAGUAUUAAUAUUACAAAAGCAUUGAUUAUUCGUCAAUGGCUUGGUAUAAGGAGCAUCAAACUCCCAAAACUUUUCUUACAAAUCUCAGUUGAGUUUUUCUUUUAGAAAUCAUAACAUUCAAAUAAUAAAAAAAGAAGAAGUUAUGACACUUAAUUUUUUUUUUUAGAAGUCAUGGUACUCAAAUAAUUGAAAAAAAAUAUGUGAGCACUCUACAGAAGUCAUGAUACUUGUGGUAUUUUUUUGUGAUUCUUUUUAGGAUUUUCGUCCUAUCGUUUUCUCAUCUUUCUUUCUCAAAAGAAAAACAUCGACGGAUGCUGCCAUCGAGAAAAAUGGGAAAAAUCACAUUAAACUCAUAUCAAGAAGUAAUUGUUGAUUAAAGGGUCUAAGUUAUGGUUAAAAGAGCAAGGACAAAAGACAUUAGGAAAAUUUCAACCGUAUCAUCAUAUGGCAAUUUUUUUCAAUGUUCUACUUGGACCAUGAGUGCAUCAGCCACGGACAAUCCACUUCUCCAGUGGCUCCAUCAAUUAAUCUUUUGACUCCUUUUUAAAGGGAAAGUCGUGAUGGGUUUUUCUUGGAAUGCUACAAAAUUUAAUAGUAAUUACUUUUUGGCAUUUGACGCAUAAUCAAUGAUGAUAUUGAUAUGCAUCUCCUAUUUUCCGCUGACAAUUGCUUCCUUGCACCGAAAGGUGAAAUUGUCAAAGACUAAAACAGCAAGAUUCCUCUGGUUGACAAAUAGCUGUUGGGAUGAUUGGUGUGCUCACACACAUUUGGUGGAGCUAAUUAUGCACCUAUUUUACACGUGAUACUUUGUUAGGGUCAUUCCAAAUUUGUCUCUACGUAAUAUUUCCGUAAGAGAACCCAAGGACAAAAUGCUAGAAUAGCCAACCUCUUAUAUUUCCCCUCAUUUCACAUUUUUAGCUUGCCAUCACCUUUCUUUUGUCUCCUUAAUUUUUCCGUUUUCACAUGUAGUAUCUCUCUGUUGGAAAGGGCUUUGAAUUUGAUUAUGCUUGGCAUUGUGUAUGUUGGAUGUAAAUUUUCUUUUUUGAAAAAUUAUACUUUUGAUACAAAAUUAUUCACUAGUUCACGUACAAAAUCAACAUGAGAGUCAAUAUCUAUAUAAUUAUGCAGUAACAGUAUCUUCUCUGUGCCCUGCAUCUAAGUUUGACACAUAGCAUUCUAAAUAGCUAGAAGAGACUUCUCCUUAUUUUAAGAACUGGAUUCGCAACGUUCUCCAUUAAAAAAAUGUGCCCACUUAGACUCCACCUAGGCUAAUAUUUUGCAAUACUGACUAGAUAGAUUAUUCAUAUAUCAUGAUGUACUUAUAGGCACUAAUUCCUUAUUAGCUACGUGAGUAUGAGUUCUACUCAAUCUAAUUACAAGGAGAAUGUCUCUCAUGACUUUAAAUUGUUUCUAUUUAGUCAAAAUGUUUUCAAACGGUCAUACUUCAUAUAUGGGAUUAGGGGUACAUUGACAUUUCCAACACAACAAUUUUUUACGGGCAAGUUUGUCAUGUGAAACUAAUAAAGGGAAUUUCAGCCAGCUUAAUAUUCAAAACAGAUCAGAGACCAAUAUUAUGCCUAUCUAUCAUAUGAUACUAUUAUUUUAACGUUAUACUUACUUAGCAUCUCUAUCUUGCACUUAUUGAAUGUUAUUAUAUGAUAAUUUUACGCUAACGUUGUCAUUUUCUUAAGAAAUGGUUCGGAAUAGAAAAUAUACUACUCUUUACUAUAAAAAUUAUGCUUACAUAGCCUCAAAAUUGGCGCAAUUGGUUGGGUCACGAGGGAUUUCCAACUUAGGAACUAGAGAUCGCUAGUUUGAAUCCCACAAACUACAUCCAAACUGCUUUGGGUUAUAGUCACCUACAUAGACCAAAGAUAUGAGUUUAGCUAGUUCAUGGAAUUGGCACAAUAUUUCAUGAGCUUCUAGGUAAAUGGCUCUCCACACCUAUAUUACAUGCGCUCACACACACUCACUUUAGGAGAAUGCUAACUUUACAUGGUGUUACACUUACUUUAGGAGAAUGCUAAUUUUACAUGGGAUUUUUCAUAUGCACUUAUUCCUCAUAAAACUAGGUAGUCAUUAUGCAUAAGAUCUUAGUCAACUUAAUUGCAAAGAGAACAUUCCUCAUGUCUUUGAGGAAUAUUACCCAUCAAUCCUAAACAUAUUGUACGAAUGCCAAUUUAAUUCUAAACUUUUCGAUUUUUUCAAUUUAGUGAUAAACCUUUGUGCAAAAUUCCAAUAUAGUCAUUUUGGUCAAUUUCCGACAUUGAAAUGGCCGUGUGUUACUUAGAAUGGUUAGCGAUGACUGGACUGCCGCAUCAAUAAUUUCAAGCAAAAAUUCAUCAAAAGGGUUUUAUUGGAACUUUCUGUAAAUGUGUAAAAAUUCAUCAAAGUCAAUGUCGGAAUGCACUCAUCCGAGGAGCUAUGCUUAAUGACUCAGCAAGUUGCAUAUGAAGGAAACGCCUUCAUAGUUAGUGGAAUAUCCCCUUUCAACGAGAUUCACGUGGCACUCGGCAUAACAUUUUGUUGUUGUUCCAUAUGAUUGUCAUGAAAUAGGAACACGCAAGAGUGAUUUUGAAAAAAUUCCACGAUUUCCAUAGUCACUUUGGUCGACUCUAGUUCUAUUUGCUUACACUUAUAGAUAAAAAAAAUAAAAAAUAAAAAUCUGCAUUUUGCUCUCCCUCGAGAAAAUUAAAAAUGGAAAAUAAAAUAGGCUUCAUAAAUUAUGAAAAAACAUAUAAUAACUCUACUUGUCAAUAAAUGUAUCUUUUUGGAAAUUUGAAAAAUCAAUUCCUGAUAACUGCAAUAUUUGAAAAAGAAAAGAAAAGAAAAGAAAAGAGGGUUUUGGCCCCUUCACGGGGGGGGGGGGGGACUUCAAUAUGAAUGAGAGCCCAUAGAGCAAAGUUCCUUGCUAGCAAUGAUUUUGCGUGUUAAUUUUGUCAUGUAAAGAGUAGCCAUGGUCAUUUUGAUUGUGUAUUAAUAUUAUCAUCUAAAGAGUAGUAGUGUUUGAGAUAGUAAACUAGUAUAAAUGAGAGCCCACAGAGCAAAAUUCCUUGCUAGCAAUGAUUUUGCGUGUUAAUUUUGUCAUGUAAAGAGUAACCAUGGUCGUUUUGAUUGUGUAUUAAUAUUAUCAUCUAAAGAGUAGUAGCGUUCGAGAUAGUAAACUAGUAUAAAAUGUUAAGAGGAUAGCAAAAAUUUAAUUUCCUUAGAAGUUCUAAUCUAACAAUUACAACUGCAGUUUUUUCUAACCUAGCAAUCAUAAUUGGCUUUAUAAUCUAACAAUCGGCCUAAUUAUCAUGUUAAUUCUAAAUUUUUAACGUUAUAUCAUGGAGCAGCAGAAUGAGCGGGGUAGGACUAUUACCUAACCAAUGUUUGUCCAUCACACGUGGAGGAAAAACUAGAUGCCUAAAUUAUGUUUGUCUAAAGCGGUGAAGGAAAUGAUAGAUAUCUAAUCAAUGUUUGUCCAUUAGCAUUGGAGGAAAGGAUGGUGAUUUCGACAUUGGCGGUGGUGACCUGCUCUAUGUAUUAAUAGAUAUUUUAUUAGACUACCAUCAUUGUCUUGAUUGACGCGACCGACAAGGUCUUUUUUAAAUUUUUUUUACUUUUGGCUAGUAAAGGCUUUUAGGACUUGGAGCCCUUUGCUCCAACUUUUCAGCUUCCGAAGGAAUUGAGUGGGUUUUAGUUAAAGUCUUAAGUGAGGUUAGAUUACCGAGCUCCAUAAUCCAUACCCAUCCCAUCUUUCUUCCUCGUGAUUUGGGCCUUUGUGAUCUUAAAUCAUUGGAACACUAGUAGUACGUCUCAAUCGCUGUUGCUAAAAAAUUCCAGCAAAAAGUUACCGUCUCUUUCUCCAUUGAUUGCUCUUUGACGCUCCCCUUCCUUCAUCUUUUCUCGCACUCGUGUCUCUUCGCCUUUCCGUCUAUCAUCAUUCUUGUCAGGGGUGUGCAUGGUUCGGGCGGACAGUUCCCGACUUAGAACUGGAAACCGCCCGUUAAAGACCGGUUCCAAAAAAUUGAAACCGGAUCCACCCGUUUAUUGCAUGGAUCCACCCGGAAACUCGACCGGACCGAUGGUCCGGUUCCCGGGUGGAUCCAUGGAACCGAUCUUGAUGCGAAAUAAUUUUGGUUUUCAAUAUAGAAUGACUACGUGACAUCAAAGUAAGCCAAAGAAAGAAAAAUUAAAUUUAAGUACGUGGAGAUGCGGAUGGCGGGAGAAGUAAAUGUAGCGAAAUGGCGAUAGGAUUAGGACCCAAAGACGAAGGGAGUGAGAUGAGAUCUAGGGUUUUUUUUAGUAAUUUUUUUUUAAUAUUAAAAAGGUUCCGGUCCGGUCUGGGUGGGUAGGCGGGCGAAUUCGCCCAUGGAACCGGGAACCGGACCAGUACCCACCGGUUCCCAUAAAUUGGAACCGGGAACCAGACCAGUACCCACCGGUUCCCAUAAAUUAAAACCAGGAACCGGACCGGUUCCCUCAGGAACCGCCGAUUCCGGGCGGUUCCGGUCCGGUUCCGAGCGGUCCGGGCAGUUCCCGGGUAUUUUGCACACCCCUAAUUCUUGCUCUUUCACACUUUUUCUUCUCCUUGCUAUAGCCCGACUUCGUACUCUUUUUCUUAAGUGUCUAUGACUCUUUUUCAUCGUUCUCUCCCUCCCUCUCUAUGUCUCUCUGCUUUUCCUUUUGAGGUGUUUUUAUCCGAACAUUAUCUCGCUCUUUAUUUUUUGGAACAAAAAUCAAAGAAAAUGUCAGAUCGAUGCCACUGUUGAGAAAAAUAGAAAAUUAGAUUAAACUCAUAUCAAUAAAUAAUUGUUGAUACAAGUAUUAAGAGUAUGUAGAAAAAGUUUAAUCACUUUAAUCGAAGAGAUUAUCAAGAAAAAGCUCAAGUUUGAGCCCAUUAACAUAUUCAGUUAACCAUUUUUACUAAAAAACAUUAGUUAAAAAGCUAUUGAUCAAUUAUGAUAUAUUAAUUGUUUAAUACGAUAUCAAUUCUUUAUUGUGAAACUUUUCUAACCCAAUUCACACAUUCAUCUUAACAUUCGGCUCUCGCAUGUUGGCUUAGUAUUAUGUCUGCUUCCACUUAAUUCAAGUAUCAUUCACCAUUAACAUGACUCAAUUAGAAUCUCCACUUUCGUGCAUGUGCUAACUAAAAUAACAACAACGCCCAUAUUCAUCCCUAGUCUCUUUAUCCAAAUUGAAUCAUGAAGGUUGUCAUCAGGACCACAUUGCUACACAACAACAUCCACCUUCAUUCCAAGUCUCUUUUGCUAGAUCAAACUAUGAAGGCUGCCCAAAAAUCGCGUUGAUCACAGGAUUCCUUUCCUGAGGUAUUCUCCAAACAUCGGUAUACUUGGGAUUGGCCAUUAGCUAUCAAUCAUUGGCUCUGGCAUAAUUUCUUAGGAGUGUCUAGCAGAAAUUUGAUACCUUUAACCAGAGAGAUCACCAAAGAAAAGCCUAUGUCUGAGUAGGCCAAUAUAUUUUAUUGAAGCCAAAUUUACUCAAAAACUAGGAAAUAUUAAUUGCUCCAUACCAUAGCAAUUCUCCGGUAUAAGACUUUCUAACAUAACUCACAUGUAUAUGUCAAUAAAAAAGGAUCUAAGCAAUGAUUAAAAGAGUGAGAACGGAGAGAUAUUAGACAAACCCCUACCACCUCAUCACAUGGCAAAUUUUGAUAAUGUUCCACGCGGAGUAUGAAUGUGUCUACCUCAAAUAAUUCACUUUUGUAGUGGUUCCAUCAAUUUGUCAUUUGACUCCUUUUUUGAGUGGAAGUCAUGAUGGGGUUUUCUUGGAUGCUACAAACUUUAACAGUAAAUGCUUUUAGCCUCUAGCGCAUGAUCAAUGUCGAUAUUGAUAUGCAACUCCAAUUUUCCAACGAGAAUUGCUUCAUCAAGUGACUAGUGUGGGACGUUAACAAAGAAGAGUUCUGCUAUAGCGUGACCGCACUGUCCCUUCCAAUAGCGAGGGCGCAAAUGGGACCGCAAGUUCUAUUUAUGUAAUGCCAACCUGAUUACAACUUUAAAAUGGGAAAUCUUUACAAAUAUCUUUAAAAUAACUUUUAUCCCUUUCUGAUUGAAAUGUCAGUCAAAAUGCCUUCCCUCCAAAUUGAACACCAAGUAAAGUCAUCAAUCAUUUCUUUUCGUUACUCUUGAAAGCAUAAAACAUUCAGUAUAUAUACUAGUGUGCAACUAACUUAUAACUGCACAUAAUCUCGUCAUGACUAUGAAUGUACAGACGUAAAUAUGUAUGCAAGCACACAUGAAUAUGUCUAAAAGUAUGUGUAUUUUAAUUACCUCUUAUUUAGUUAGAUAUACAUCUUGAUCACAAAAAACUUUUUUUUUCAAAGAAUUGGUAACUAGAUGAGUUUUGAAAUGACUUUAGAAAUGUUGUGAUCUAUAUACUCUUUUAUAUUGACUGUGGACUAAAAAAAGCCUAGAAAUGUAUUUAAAUUAUUUUUUUGUUCAAAUUUUAAAUUUUAUAUGAGUAGUGCUUUUCCACUUAAAUUAUAAACUCAAUCUGAAAUUUAGAUCAAUUCUAAAUAUGUUGACCUAAUGUUAUGGGGGGACAAACAUUUCAGAAGUCCUAAAAAAUAAAUUGGGCUUAUUAUGGACACUUAAUUGAGAUGGCAGUCCAACUUUACUCCUUAUGCUUUUCAUUUAGGUUUUUGGCCCGUUCGGAUUUCAGAGAAAAAUAAGCACCACAACUUUUUACUUUCUAAUAAGAGCCUCAAAAUCGGGUAAAGUAAGAUGCAAAAAGGAAUCAUUCAUUUAAUUACAAUCAUUAUGGUUUUCAAAGCAGAAUUUAAUAAACAAAAACCCUUGAAAGGCACAAAGAUACAUAGAUCAAAGCAGGGCUCGGCAAAUAACAUAAAAUUUAAGCAAAGUUCACAAUAACUGGAAUUACGUGAAAAGUCAUAACAUUGGAUACCACACACACUAUAAAUAUAUAUAUAUAUAUAUAUAUAUAUAUAUAUAUAUAUAUAUAUAUUACUUUAAGUAUGAGUUUUAAUCUAUUUUGCCAUUGCUCAUACUUCAAGUUAAUUAUUCACAUUUUUAUUGAAGGUGUUUAAUAAAUUUGAAACCCCAACCAUCACCUCGUCUCGAUUCCCACAAGUACCCAUACGCACAAACCGAUGAAUAUAUUAAUAUUGUGAAAAGGAUUAAAGAUGCCACUUAUCACGCGCGCAUGGGGUGUGCGCAGUCCUUGUCCGUUUGUUCUCUUUAUUAAUUACACUUUGUUAUAUCGAUAAUGGCAAACUAUAAAAAGUAGUUAUUCCGGUGUCGGGGUUUUGGACUAGCCUCUCCUGAGAUUUACAUCUAAAUAGCGACUUGCGGUAAAGUCUGACAAUCUGGAGGGUUGUGUAAUCCCUAAGGCUGCGUUUGGUAGUCCGGAUUUGAGUUCGGAUAGGAUAACCGGAUAGGAUAAUUUGUUAUCCUAUCCGAUGUUUGGGAAUGUCCACUGGAUCGGACAAACCUGGAUAUAUCCGGAUAAAACGCCGGAUAAAAAAUCCGGGGGAGGGGGUGCAAUAAGCCUGAAUUGGAUAAGAUUUUUUUUUAAGGAAAGAAAGAACUUAACAAAAAGAGAAGAUAUCACUUGUCAUUAUCAAUGGUGGCCACUGCGGAGGUGGCCACAAUUCCUAGAUCUAGGGUUUUUCCAUGGCCUUUAAUUAAUUGAAUUUUCUAUUUUUUAAUUUUAUAAUUUAAAUGAAUAUCAUAUUUAUUUUUUAAUAUUAUCCUGAAGUGCACCAAACACUUGAUCAGAUUAGAUAUGUCCGCCUUUAUUAUCCAAAGGAUUUAAUAUCCUACUUUAUCCUAUCCUAUCCUGAUCAUUAUCCAGACGACCAAACGUAGCCUAAAGGGUAAUCUCCAACAGUUUCUCGGUUAUAAAAAAAAAAAAAGUUAUUAAACUCGUGAUAACCCUAGUCGAAUCAUUUUCUUACUUUAAAUUUUUUUCAUAUUUUUUCUAAGCCACUUGAUGGAACUGCAGUGCAAAGAAUUAAAUUGAAGUUCGCAAUUUUUUGUCUUGAUUGAGGAGACCGAAAGAGCAGUCAUUUUUUAUAUUUAUUUUUGGCCAAUGACAAACUUGAAUAGUGUGCUACCAAUUUUUCAGCUUCCCAAAGAUUAAAUGAUGCUUAGUUAACUUAACUACGGUUACCUUUCAGAUCUCCGUAAUCGACAACCAUAUCCUUCUUCUUUCGAGUGGUUUGGAUUUUUGUUAAGAUUAUCAAUCGUUAGAGCUCUAGUACUAAAUCUUGAUCGUCAAUAGGUAGAAUAUUAUCAACAAUUUCUAUUCAAUAUACAAAUCUAUAACACAAGCUCCCACAUACAUAUAUCGAUGAAAAUAUUAAUAUAAUGAAGGGAUUAAAGAUGCUACUUACCAAAAAUAAUUUUUUUUACCUUACCAAAAAAAAAAAAAAAAAAGAUGCUACUUACAACGUGCGUGUGUCGGUGUAGCCUGUCUUUGACCAUUUGCACUCUUAAUUAAGUUUUGUUAUAUAGACAGCGACAGACUAUAAAAUGUCCUUAUUAAAUAAUGGAUGAUCCAAGUCGAAUCAUUUUCUUACUUGAACAGCUCGUAGUCAAUUUCUUUAACCCACUUGAUGGAGCGGCAACUCAAUUUUUAUGGUGUGAAGAAAUCAAUUUAAUUCCACAAUGGAUUGAGGAGGACUAAGAGCAGUCAAUUAUUUUUUAAUAAAUAUCACUAAAAUCCCCAAAUUGGUCCAUUUAUGACAAUUUAUCCCCGAACUAAUAUUUUUACUAUAAAAAUCUAAAACCGAUACAUUUAUGAUAAAUUUUACUCCAAAUUAAACUUUAAAUUAAUACUGACAAUUUUGUCAUCCGUUAGUUCCUAUUAAAUAGGAUUGCUAUCACGAAAAUACACAAACUAAUAUACUUGUAAUAAAUGAAGGAUAAAAUUUUAAACUAGUACAUCUGUCAACUACUAUAUGUUAUCCAAUUUAGCAAUUUAACGGUAAAAUUUAACGAAAAUUAAUAUAUGGUAAAUUUGUUACAUGCGUACAAGUGAGAAAUUUUUUAUGAUCAAAAAAUUAAUUUGAAAUAAAUUUAUUAUAGAUAUAUUCAUUUGAGAUUUUUCAUGAUAUUAAUUUUUAUUUUUAUUUUAUUUUAUUUUAGGCAAGUAAGGACUUGGAGCAGUGUGCUCCUUACAGUUUCCCUAGGAUUUGACCGGUGCUUAUUAACUAGAGUGAGAUUACUGAGUUGCAUGGUUCUUACCGAUCUUCCCUUUCUUUCUCGCGGUUUGAGUCUUUGUCGAGGUUUUGAAUCCUUGAAUCUCUUGUACCGAAUCUCUGUCGUUGAUGAUACAAGAGCGUCUCACACCCAGGGCCCUAUUCUACUUCGUAUCAAUGUGUCCAUCGUCACUUGUCAUUACCAGACUUUGGCUCUAUAAAAAUAUGAUUCAACAAGCGCCGCCGCCCCACCAACCACCCCCCAAAGAAAAAACCAAAAAAAAAAAAAACCCAAACCUGACUUAAUGGAAAAGGCGAUAGUAGUGCUCUAGUCUAAAGACUCAUCACGUAUCUCUCUCUACCGCCCUCAAUUGAAAAAAAUAGCAAACAUUAUUGUAGCCGCUUCAUUUGAAUAAAUCUGGAAUGAGGCCCCAUAGUAGAGGCUUGGUGUUCAUAAAACAUAUCAUAAUACCAUCCCCGUUAAUAUUCACUACAUAGGAAGUGUAAAAAAGACUUCCAAGUCACCCCUGAUACAAUUAUCGACUGACACCAAGGGCCACGUUCUAUUUCGUAUCAACGUGUCCAUCGUCACUUGCCAUUACUAGACUUUGGCUCUAUAAAAAUAUGAUUCAACAAGAGCAGCAUUUCGCUCUUAUAGAUACAUACCUAUAUAUAUAUAUGUAGGUAUGUAUCUAUACAGAGAGAGAUGAAAGCUGUCAAUCAAAAUGAAAUCAACUUUUUAUCUUGCAAAAAGGGCAUUUCUCAAAGAAAUCAUCGUAUGCAAGUUUGGAAGAAGAGGCCUCGUGUGCACCGUCUAGGAAUAUAAAUAAAAGUCCAUAGACUAUAUUCUCACAUAGUCUAUGAAUUAAAUUGAAUAUGUAUUAAAAGUUCAUAAAUCAUAUUGAAAUUAAAAGCUUAUAGACGAUAGCGCGCAUUGAGCUAAAGUUGAGAAAGCACAUUGAAUAAAUUUAAAAUUUAGAGAUCUCCUUGAAUUUUAUGGACUAUUUAUGUUUAUGUCAACGGUAAUUAUGUAUGAAAAGCACAACUGACAUAUAAUCACAAAGGAUGUUCCUAAAAAAGUCCCUACAAUAACUCAUUAUUUUGAUACGAUAUGUACUCUAGAGAGGCAACUGUUGUGCUCAAAGAAUUUGCACAUCAAUAAUAUAUGGAUAAACAUUUGUAGAACCAUCCAUAUAAAUAAUAACUUUUAGAAAAAUGAUUCUCAUUAAAAAAUAUUAAAAAAUAUUUUUUAAAUAUGGUAAAGUAUGAGUAUUUGGAUUAGAAAUUCCGCGCUUGAGUGUAGAAACGGUAAAGUUCGUUUCCGAAUCCUUGGCAGCGAAGUUGAGUCCAUAGACGCUAGAUCCUAAACCUCAAUGCUCCGGUCUCCGAUUUCUGAACCCACAUCUAUCGAGGCGGGGCCCGCGACAUCCGUGCCUUCUACCUCGGUAUAUGAUGAAUCUGUAGGUCUUAUAUACAUUUCAAAUUCAAAUUCACGCAAGUGAGCGCAGGCAAAUAUCGAUGAAAAUGUUUACCAUCAUGAGGAAGAAUAAAGGUGCCCUUUAAUGAAUUUUCUUAAGUACUCUGCAAGUUCCGAGGGUCGACUCCUGCUUUCUUUCUGCCUCCGCCUUGGUAUAUGGUCCACAUACUAAAUUGAGUUGACGACAGACUGGGUAAAGUUGCAUGUUACGUGUUCUCUUGGUCAAACGGUGCAAUGAUCGCCAUUCUACGCCACGUCACCUGGAUGGUUUAAGACGAAUCGUUUGUUUACUUUAUAACAGCUGAUAAUCAUCUCUCUCUAUCUCCACUCGAUUGCUAUUCUACGCUCCCCUUCAUCCGUUUCUUGCGCUCGAAUCUCUUCGCCUCGUUCAUCUAUCGCUCUGUUUCGCUCUUUCUUCAUCUCGGCACACCCAUUCUUCCUCAUCCUCUUCCUCCUGUCUUCCUCCUUUUUCUGUGCUCAAAUCUCUUGGCUUUGUUCGUCUCUUGCUCUGUUUCGCUCUUUCUUCUCGUCGGCUCAACCAUUCUUCUUCCUCCUCCUCCUCCUCCUCCUCCUCCUCUUUAGUUUCUGCUGCUCCUUUUCAUCAUUCUCCCUCUCCGUCUCUCUUUUUUCUCGCUCUUUCUUUCUCAGGAAAAAAAAUCAUAGAAAAAUGUCGGCAGAUCCUGUCGUUGGUAUUGGAUGGGAUGUCUUGAAGAGCUAUGUAGUUGUUCCCAUCGAACGUGGAUUCGGAUACGUGAUCUCCUCCAAGAGAUUCGCCGACCGUCUUCGGGGGGAAGUCCAGAAUCUGGAGAACGAGAAUCAGAGGGUCAAGGUUCUUGUGGAAGAGGCUAGAAGGAAUGUUCGGAAAUUCCUCGAUGUCUUCACGACGUGGGAGGCUAAUGCUGACAAGGCCUUGGAAGAGGCGCAAGAGCUGUUGGACGACGAAAAGGCGACCAAGACUUGCUGCUAUGGGACUCUUCCCGACCCCAAAUCUCGCUACCAGUUCAGCAGGAAGGCCGAGGGCAAGAUCGAGGUCAUUAAGCAACUCACUCAAAAAUGCAGCACAUUCAACGGAUUGAACGACAUCUCCUUCAUCGAUCCUGCUUUCACUUAUUCUGCCUCGACGUCGAUUAAGCUUGGGGAUGAUGGCGUCUUCGAAUCCAGAGCUUUGAUGAUACGGAACAUCAUGGGCGCUCUUGCCGGCAACAGUAAUAGUGUGGUCGGGGUUUAUGGGAUGGGCGGGAUCGGCAAGUCCACCCUUUUAGUGGAUGUUGAAAGGAAAAUAAGCGAAGAUAAGUCGUUCCAUUGGGUCGCUAAGGCUGACGUGUCGGAAAAUCCAGACAUCAAGACGAUUCAAGGAGAGAUUGCGGACGCCUUGGUCCUUACUGAGAUAAAGAACAAAGAGACUAUCAGCGGGCGAGCGAAACUUCUGCACGGGAGGUUGAAAGACGAGGAGAGGGAGAAAAAGGUCCUCAUUAUACUGGACAACCUGUGGGAGGGGCUUGACUUAAACAAAGUCGGCAUUCCUUGCGGACACGACAACAAAGUCAUAGGAUGCAAGUUAUUGUUGACGUCAAGAGAUCGUAAUGUUUUGCGAAGUGAAAUGGGCUGCGACAAGGACUUCCCCCUUGGUGGGCUGGAGGAGGAAGAGGCAAGAAGUUUGUUUGAGAGGCUGGUGGGAGACAAAGUUCAUGAUGGCGAGUUUAAACCCUUGGCGGAUGAAGCACUAGCCAAAUGUGCAGGUGUGCCUUUCCUAAUUGUUGCAAUGGCGAAACGUUUUAAAUAUGCCGAUUUAUCUGAAUGGAAGGACACUUUGAAGAAAAUCGAGAAGUCUAAAGAUAAAAAAAUCAAUGAUUUGAUAAACCAAAUGUUGCAAUGGAAUUAUGAUAAAUUAGAAGAGGAGGUGAAGUCAUUAUUACGACUCUAUGUUGUUUAUGGUAUCUCCAAGCCUUCUCUUGAAAACUUGGUGAGGUACAGCAUUGGUUUGGGUUUGCUUCAAGAAGUAAGCAGCAUGGAAGAAGCUAGAAAUAGAUUGAUCUCCCACAUACAUGCUCUUCAAGCGUCCUCCUUUCUGUUAGACAGUGAAGAUGUUGAUGGUUUCAAGAUACAUGACUUGGUUCAUGAAUUUGUUGUUUCGGUCUCUUCAAGAGAUCACCCUCUUCUCGCGUUGAAAGAUAAGGACGAGUCGAUAACAGAGUCAUCGAAGGACAAGCUCAAUAGUUAUAGGGCGGUAUGCUUUCCGUUUGUUGACAUGGAGGAGCUUCCUCAAGAGUUAUAUUGCCCUGAAUUGCAAAUCUUUUUGUUUUUCACAAACAAUAAAUCUCUUAAGGUCCCAAAUUCAUUAUUUCACUCUAUGAGGAAGCUCAUGGUCUUAAAUCUUACCGGAAUACGUCUCACUUGCUCCCCUUCAUCACCAUUUCAAUUCUUGGAGAAUUUACACACUCUAUGUCUUGACGGUUGUUCAUUAGAUAAUGUAGCCAUUCUUGGCGAGCUGAAAGGGCUACAAAUCUUAGUUUUGUGAACUCCAGUAUUUAUGGAUUGCCAAAAGAAAUUGGGCAAUCGGCAGAGCUGAGGUUGUUAGACUUGAACUAUUGUCCACAACUUGAGAUAAUUGAAUUGGGUGUACUUCAAAGCUUGAUCAAGUUGGAGGAGUUGUACAUGAAUGUUAGCUUUAAUCAAUGGAAUACCGUGGACCAAACUCCACCAAUUAAUGCUAGUCUGAUUGAGUUGAAUCACAUGAAAAAUCUCUGCACUUUGCAUGUGUACAUUCCUAAUCUGAGGAUGCUCCCUGAGGAUCUAAACGUCGGGAAAUUAACCAAGUAUGAAAUCCGAAUAGGUAAUGUGUGCUAUUGGUGGAGCGAGUGCAAAGGAUCAAGGACAUUGGAGCUCAAGUUGGAUCCAUUAGGCAAUGUUCUUCGAAAAGGAUGCAUUCAAAGUAUCCUAGGCAAAAUUGACAAUCUGUUUUUGGAAGGGUUGGACAGAAAUGAGCAAAGUGUUUGUGCGUUAUCCCAAAAAGGUUUUCCAGAAUUAAAGCAUCUACAGGUCAAAGAUAAUUCCUCUAUCCAUUGCAUCCUCCAAUUGCCAUCCAAUGCACAUUUUACGAUGUUGUAGUCGUUAAUUCUCAAUAAUCUCAUCAACUUGGAGAUGAUAUGCAAUAGCCAUAUCUCCUCCAAGUCCUUUAGUACAUUAAAAGUAGUACGAGUCAAAAGUUGUGAGAAGAUGGAAGUAUUGUUUCCUCUUUUAGUGGUGAGAGGACUUCCACAGCUACAAGAGAUUAAAGUUGCCGGUUGCAAGUGAAUGCAGAGGAUUGUAGAUGCCGAUGAUGGUGGCAAAGUUGAGUUUCAUAAUUUGCGUGUAUUGGAAUUGCAUAAUUUGCCAAAUAUUAAGAGCUUUUUCACUAUAGGGAUGGCUUCUUUGAGUAGUAGAUUUCACGACCAAGUUGGCAUUCAAAUUGCAUUCUUCAAUGAGAAACAGGUAACUUUCUGUCAAAAGAAUAUAAUACUUAUUACUAUUUCCUUCCUUUGCUUAUUAGAUGUAACACAGAUUAUGAUGCUUAUUUAUUUUGUUAUUUUCAGUUUGUUAUCUUCCUAAUUACCUUAUCCGUUCAUGCCUUCUCUAUAAUUAGUUAAAGCAAUCUUCCGUUUAAGUUAAUUGUGUAGAAAUCCAACUAAUUGUACAAAAUCCAUGUAAAUUUAGUUUGUGAUAGGUUUUAAAUUAUUUUCAACUAACAUGCUGCAAGUAUAUCUAUAUUUACAGGGUUUCAUAAGGCAAAAUUGACGAGAACUUCAGCAUUAAAGCAUUCCAUAAGUACAGUAAUUUUUAAUCCUUUGAAAUGAAUAUCACUGAAUUUAGUUACCGAACUUUGUUAUUAUUCACAAAAUGUAUAAAAUAGGCGACUCUCUUGAAAACCAAUAUGAAGAAUAGGAAGGAUGAUUGCUUAUAUAUAUAUAAAAGCAACUAUACUAAUCUAAUUGAUGCAUGUCUUUUGUAUGUCGUGUUUAAAUAGGCAUUUAGUCAUUGCAUAGGCCCAAAAAUUAUAAGAAUACAGACUUUUGUGCAUAGGUUUUUUCUUCUUUUUUUUUUUUUAGUGAAAGUACGCCUUGGCAAUUGUAUGACUUUUUGUGCAUGGUUUUUUUUUUUUUUUUACAGACUUUUGUGCAUAGCUUUUUUUUUUUUAAUAGUGAAAAUAGGCCUUGGCAACUGUGUGAUUUUUUAUUAUGCCGCAUCAAAGUCAUCAUUGCAAAUUUGAAAUUCUUGUUGUUGGAAUUCCAAAGUGUUACAUUUCUCUACUCCAUACGGCGGUAUUAAGGCCAAGUUGUUACAAUAUCAAAUGAUGGAACUUGAUGCCUUGAUGGAAAAUCCACCAUCUUAAAGUCCAACUAGUUUUAGAGAGACUCACUUCAAAUGUUUUGAUGGGCCUAGUAUUUUAAUUUGGCACUUGGUAUGUCUUAGUUUAAUUUCCAAAGGUUCAAGUGCUCCACAAUUUAAUCUUCAAGAAAUUUGUGGCGAAAUUUGAGUUUUCUUUUUGUUGAGUCCAUCCAAUUUAGAUUGUGAAUUUUAUGUAGCUUCGAUAUCUUAUCAAGAAAAACCGGUGGGGGUUGCCCAAUCUCGCGAGACCUUAUGUAAUCAUUGCGGUUUCUCUCCAUGUUAAUUUACAAAUCUAAAUACUAAGUCCUUUAAGUAAAUGUCUUCACAUUUGGCCUUUAAAGUAUGUAUAGAUAUAUUGGUAGACAAAUCCACAGUUUGUGUUUAAUAUCCUAUUAAAUUGGUUAUUGAUAGUGAUUUAUUGACAUUAAAAGAAGUCAAGUGAACUAUGGAUAAACAAUUGUCCAAUUAAGGAAAACACGCGUCUAUUUUACACGUGGAAGUAGUUGCUGCCGGUGGAGCCUUUUGGCUGACUAGACAAGAUUGCCCUUUAAUAGUGGCUUGGUUAUAGCUGAAGUUGAUGGUGGGGCCCAAGACUCGGGCCAUAUAUUAGUUUCCCCUUAGUAAAGAGUCGUGGAGAUUUUAGUUGAUGGUGGGUCCCUCAAGGUAGCAUGUCUAAGUAUCUCCACUUCAACCUCGACUUUUCUACUUCGCAUGCAAUAGAGGAGUUAGAUUGGGAGGCUAUGCAAAGAGGCUUUUGGGCUUCUAACUUUCAAGGGUUCUAAAUCUUCAUUAAAGAAUUUUACUCUUGCCUUGAUGCCUUCUCAUUUUAGGCAUGGAAACUAGAGCUGUGAAGAUCUAUGAGAUUAUAAUGAAAUGUUUUUGUUAACUAUAAUAAAUCUCUUCCAACAUUGUAAAGAGGUGGAGCAGACGAAAAUAGCAAUGGAAGGUUGGAUUGUCGAGAAUGACAAUAGUCAAACAAAGAAACGUAAAGAAGUUAAACUUGUUGUAAUAGAUGGGAGUAACAGGCAAUGGCAGGUAGAUGGGAGAUUUCGAGUAACUUUGCAGAAGAAGGGUCUUCCCAAGUUGAAGCAAUGAACUUUUAAGAAGACUAGUUACUUUUUGCCAAAAAUAAAAAAGAGAAGAAAAUAAAGCUGUCCAUUGUAAGUUAUCCUUCAGAAGGAAUAAAACUUGCUCACUAAUCAAAUUAAGUUCCGCAAUCAUUUUCCAAGUAAAGAUUGGACUAUUUAGCAACGACAAUAGUAUAGAGAUUUUUUUCUCUUUUUUUUUUUUAAAAAAAAAAUUCGUUUUUUCCCUUUUGUGGAACUUAAUAAUGCCCCCUCUCUUCUUGGCACACGUAUAUAUUAACAUUUUGGAAGUUCCUAAAUUCGUGAUUUAACUAAAUCACACUUCCAUGAGUGAAUAUUGCAGGUUGUCUUUUCAAAAUUGGAGACAUUAAAUAUCAAGGGCUUGGAUAAUGUCGAGUUUUUGUUUUCCCCAUCCAUGAUUAAAUCUCUCGCACAACUGAGAGAUCUACGAGUAUCUUAUUGCAAGAAGAUGGAGGUGAUCAUUACGAAGGAAGAAGGGUUGUCAUUGGAAAUAUCAAAAACUCUGGCAUUCCCGAUGUUAACUAACUUAAACUUAAAUUGUUUGAAAAGUUUGAUGAGCUUCUCUCGCGAAAAGUGUAAGAUUGAUUUUUUUGUUUUCAUCACUAAAGAUCUUCUUGUGGAUAAAUUCAUCCUUGCAAUACAAAUGGUGACAUUCUUUUCAUCCAUUGAAAAACUUAUGAUAGGUUCAUGAGAAGCUUGGAGUCAGGACUGCAUCAAAUCAUGCUCCACUGCACUCUUCAGUCAAGAGGUACAUGAUUAAUGUUAUGCCAAAAUAUUAUUUAUAUAACAAAAGUAUUAAAUAUGCAAAAGAAAAAGCAUAGCCAAAAUAAGAACUAACUAAAUAACUUACAAAGUGUACCUUGGUUAAAAAUAUUUUAAAGAAAAUGAGUGGUGUACAAACAUAAGUACUUAGAGUUGCCGACAUGUAUGAGUUGCAAUUUUUUUAAUUUUAAUUUCUCUAGAAAUAGUUUCCAUAAAGAUGGUUAAAUAUCUCUUAUCAUACUUGCACAAAGCAUGAACGAGCAAUACAACUGCGAAACAAGAUCUCUAAAAGCUUUUUGAUGUUCAUAGGAAACUCAAAGCUCUUAGCAACCUCGCAUGUAUGGCAUCGACAUUGCACGCAAGCACAUUGAAAGCAAUUUAAGAAACAAUGGAGAGGAAAGUGAUAGUAAUGUUCAAGAAGCUGUAGAUGAAGGGCCUUUAAGAUAGUCACUUGACUUCAUUUGCUCUUAAAAGAUCCCCUUUUUUGCCGUUAAUUGAAGGAAGCUUUAGUCUCCCUUAAUUCCACUAGCAAAAGGUAUUGAGCCCUCUCCGUCGCUAAACUGAGCAAGAAUCUAGGGUCCAGGGCAUCCGAAAUCACUCUUUUAAGUUUUAACAUGAAUUGGAAGACCAAAGUGAUCAUUCAGUGACUUCUCUAAGUGCACUGCAAGUUCAUUUAAUUAUUUCAUCCAUAUUGUAACUUAAAUUACCGUUUCUAAGUGAUUUAACAAAAGCCACGUAUACUAGCUAUUUCAUUCUUGGGUUAGCAAAAAAAAAAGCACCAAUUGUGAUUUGAUUAUUCUGGGAAAUUGACUAAAAUCAAGAGAGGGAGUGAUUUUAUUUAAAUUUGAGAUUAUGAGAGAUAAAUGUGAUUAUAUGAUAGUUCAGGAGCAUAUCCAAAUUACCAUUUUGCCUUGUCAACAAAAUCCGGUCAGAAUUCUCACUUUUUGUUUUGUCUGCAGUAAUUCCAAAAGCCUUCUAGAUCAACAUUUUUUUUUUUUUGUCAAAGAGUCAUCGACAUUUUUGUAUGGACAUUUGUGCAACUUAAGACAGACUCAUUAAUUUCAUGAAUUCGAAAUUUACAUCUUGACAUUCAUCUAUCUUGGAAGUUCAUGAUUAACUCAAUCAUCAAUUCCGUGAGCGAAUAUCGCAGGUUGCAUUUCCUAAAUUGGAGGCAUUAGAAAUCAGUGGCUUGGAUAAUUUUGAGAUGAUAUGGGACAAUAAAGUUGCUGUGGAUUCUUUCCCCAAGCUAAAAACCCUUUGUGUGGUUGAUUGCAAUAAGCUUGUGAGUGUAGUUUGUUCUUUCAUUCUAAGACAGCUCUUGAGCUUGGAAAGAUUGGAUGCAAGAAGAUGUGGUUCGCUUGAAAUUGUUUUUGAACUUCAGACAUUGAAUCGUCUAGAUGGACAUCCUAUUGCUCUUCCAUUAAGAGAACUGACGGUAUCAAGAUUACCAAAGCUAAAGUGCAUAUGGGAUAAGGAAAUCCAUUGUCAAAUAAAUUCCAGUGUCUACGUUCUAUUAGCGUUUCAAGAUGUGAGAGCCUCACCUCUUUGUUUCCAGCCUUAGUAACCAGAUAUCUAAUUCAACUUGAGAAGUUGGCGAUCAAUGAAUGUGGCAUUGUAGAAACCAUCAAGAGUGAAGAAGGACUAUUUCCCAAGUUUGUAUUCCCAAUAUUAACCUCCCUUGAGCUUGAGUGUCUGAGAGAGUUGAAGUGCCUCUACACAAGAACACAUACUUCCCAUUGGCCGGCAUUGAAGACCUUGAAGGUGCAUGGCUGUGACAAAGUGGAGAUACUUGCAUCGCACUCUGAGAAUGAGGUGCAACUUGAUAAACUCCCUCUCUUCUUGAUAGAAAAGGUAUGAUCGAAGAUUACUUCUUUUGCUUUCACAGUGAAUAUUUAAAGUGAUGAUUAGGGUCACAACCAAGCAUCUUAUAUAAGUAGCUCUACGUAGGAAGAUGUAAACUGUAUGACUCACCUUCAAUCUAUAGAAAUAUUUCAACAUUGAAACAUCACAUGUUCUUCAAUUGUUGACUGAACAUUCUUUUCAAAUGUAUGAAAUGCAUUUUUAAUGAUCCCCUUUUAAUAAAGGUUUAGGCUAAUUCCGAGGGUUUAUUUCUCUUCCAAGUGCCACAAAGAUGAAAACACAUGGCAUGUGUCAUGAUCUUAGUAUAGUACAAGUGUCUCAUCUAAUUUAAAUCCUAUCCUGCUAAAAACAGAAAGAUGUGACAUUAUUGUUGACAUUAAUCACUGAAAUUUGUGCACGUGUGACUGUAAUUGAUGCAUAAGUUAUUUUUGCAAGGUAUUUAUCUUUAGAAUCGUGAAUGUAAAGAGUUACAUAAGCUCAAAUAUUUAUACAAGUCAAAUAUACAGAUCAGUGAUAAUGUUUAAUUGAUGUAGGCACAUUUCCUUUCAUUGAAUCACAUGAAACUCAAUAUUUUAUAUAUAUAGUUACCGCGCGCAACAUACAGGCCUUAUAUCCUGAUACAUGAAUGCUCUUUUAACUAAGCUGGCUUUAAAUUCUAAUUUGACUAUUUUCUCAGGGCGCAUUCCCUAAUCUCCAAGAGUUAACGUUGGAUUUAUCGGAACAGAUGGAGAUAUGGCAUGGACAUUUUAAUGAUAGAGAAUUUUUCUGCAAGCUUAGAUUGCUUAAGCUUCGUCAUCUCUCCCAUGAGUCUUCAAUAUCCAUAUGUCGUUUUGUUGAGAGUUCAACCAAUUUGGAAGAGCUAGUUGUAUGUGAAUCUUAUCUAGAAGACCCAAGCAAUAAUGAGGAAGCCAUAGAAGGCACAAUUCAUGACAUGAAAGUAAUAUUACCCUUUUCAAGAUAUAUUCGACAUCUGCAAACUCUAGAUGUGUCACAUUGUGACGAGUUAUCAAAAAUGUUCAGACCGACAAUUGCUGAAAAUUUGGUGACACUCAUUAAAUUGAGGAUAAGUAAUUGUAGGAUAUUGACAGAAGUCAUUAAUGAUGAGAAAGGUGGGGAGGGGUGUAUGGUAGCCUUCAAUCAACUUAAGUCUAUGGAGCUUGAUGGGUUGAUAGGGUUGAGAAGUUUCAGCUGGAUACACUUUGAUGUUCCCGCUCUUGGAAGAUAUCAUUGUGACUAGGUGUCCCAACAUGAAGUUUUUCUCUCAAGGAUCGAUAGGGGCAUCAAAGUUAAAGAGAGUUCAAGUGUCAAAGGAAGUGUGGUUUUGGGCGGGAAAAUUCAACAUCACUAUCCAAAAUAUGUUUGAAGAAAUGGUAUGCACCAAUUACCAAAUUCCAUGCAUUUGGAUGGUUUUGACCACUAAAUGAAUAAUCGCUUUUUGCUAGCUAGAAGUUUACGCUUAACGAUGCAUUUUUUGACAGGGUACGUUUGCUGGAGUAGAGAAAAUGCUGCUGUCUGAGUUCCCAGGGCUGAGUGGAAAAUAGCAUAACAAACUUAGUCCCAUCAAGUUGUCUUGGCAAUUAAAAUCAAUGGUGGUAGAUAAAUCUCCGUUAUUUAUUAACGCUAUUCCAUCCAGAUUGAUGCUUGUCUUAGACAAUUUGGGCUAUUUGCAAGUGUGCAACUAUGAGUUGCUUGAAGAAAUAUUUGAUUUGGAAGGGCUGGAGGUUGUGGAAAGCACUCGAAUACUACCUCAACUAUGGGAAUUGAACUUGGCCAAUCUACCAAAAUUGAGGCGACUGUGGAAUAGAAAUCUUCAAGAAUCAAUGCGCUUUUAUUCUUUGGCUACUCUCAUACUUUAUAAUUGCAAUAACUUGGGACAAGCUUUUACUUCAUCAAUGGCUCAAUGCCUUGCCAGUCUUCAUCAAAUGGAAAUAAAGGAGUGUGGUCAAAUGGAAGAAGUGAUCGUAGAGGAAGAACGGCAGGGAAGUGCAGUGGAGAAGAUUACAUUCUCGAAGCUCCGGCAGAUGAAAUUGGAAUGGUUGCCCAAUUUGACUUGUUUCCUCUCGACAAAAAAUCAUACGCUGGAAUGCUCCAACUUACAAGUGCCGAGCAUUAACCAUUGCCCCAAGAUGAGAAGUUUGACUGGGCAAUCUUGGAUGGAGAAUGACCAUGGCACCCCUGCAUUUUUCACUUCCCAGGUCAGUCUUUCAAACAAAUGCAUCUUUGGCAUUUCAUUUGGAACAUGUUCUCAUAGUACUGGACAAUGCACGGUAUGAUGCAAAUUUUGUGCUUUGUGUGGGUUUAUAUACAUAAUCUUCUAAUAUUUAAUAAUAAGAUUAAAAAUAUUCUAAUCCUCAAUAAAUAUUACUAUUAUAUGUACAUCUCUAUAUUCUAUUAGAAGUGUUAAGUCGUUAUAAGUUCAUAAUUCAUAUCAUGUGCAGUACUUUAGAAUUAAUUAGUGAGGUUUUUAAAAAGGUGAUCACAACAACCAUAUAAAAACAUUAACUUUUUGCAAUUUCAAUUAUAAAGAACUAAAUAGCAAACACAAAAUAGCAUCUAAAAAUGGCAGAAAAAGUAUUAAGUAUUGCCCCUUCAUAUUUACUUGCGUGGAAGCAAAUUAGCGUCGUUCUAUUUAACAUGAAUAAAAGGGAAAAAAACUUCAUAUUUAUAAAAUCCAAUUUCCCAAAUUGCUUAACUAUUACAGCUCAUUAUACCAUAAUCAGUGAGUUGACUUUUUUAUUUCUUAAUAAUCAUCAAUACUUGAGCUAGGUCUUGAUAAUGAGAUAAAUAAAAAUAAAAAGGUCAAUAUGCAUGAAGUGGUUUGCCUUCUCCAUUCGUAAAUCAUUCUCCAUUCGCUAUACUCCAGCAACCUAUCAAAUUACGUACUUGUAUUAUAGAAUAAAUAUUAACUCUAGACUAUUAUAUUUAGUGAUAAUUAGUGUGAUAGUGCACACAAUCUAUGUUAGGCAAGAGAAAAUGUAGAUUACAUUUUCCAGAAAAAGAAAUGGCGAGAAAAAGGAAAAAAUAAAGAGAGAAAAUGACAACUGGAUAAUAAAUAGUAGCAAUUCCGUGGGCGAUUACUGACAUUGCAAGUCUUAUUUCAUAACUAAAUGACAAAAUUUAGUCGAUGUCCAAGCUAAAAUAAAAAUUUGAAAAAUUUAUCAAAUCAACAACACCACCGAAGGGAAAGUAUUAGGUGCAUUAAUUACAUAGCAUAGGAUUCAUAUUAAAUCAUCUGCAGAUCGACGCGUGUCAAUCGAACCAUCAAAAUUUUUGCUCCCCCCUCUCUUCAAAUAACGCCCCGUUACUGGAAAGCUCAACUCUGCUCUUCCUAGUGUGGCUUUUCUCUCUCGCUCUCUUUCCUCUGUGAAGGUGCAUCUCUAUACAUGAACCACACCUCGGCGUUGGCCUCCGUCGGUUGCGGUGCGCUCGCUGAACAACGGAAAAAAAAAACAUAAAAAGGAAGAAAUUAGACGAAGUCUAUUUGAUGUUUUAGCUUCUCUCUCCUUAAGAACUGUUCGCUCUGUCAUUUCGUUUCACCUUCCUCCUCCUCUUCGCGACGAGGGGGAAAAAAGAAAGUGAACCAAGUCUACACAGUCAAGUAACAAUAACUCUUCUUCCUCCUCCUUACCCCCCAUCCUCUACCUUCUUUUUUUGGGGCGAUUGAUAGGGUGAUCCAUCCAAUGGUUGAAUCGGAAGCUUCGGAAUCGCUUCUCUGAAGUAUGCCUCCUCUCUACACGCGUGCAUGUGUGGGUUUUGAGCAAUUACGCAAACUGGAGCUUGUUGCUUUUGGUGGGCCAAUGGGAUCUCCGAUGCGGAAGCGAUUUCAGCAUUGAUUCAGCUGGGGCAUUGAUUCUGGCGAAGAAAAAUUAAAAAAUCUUCUCUUCAGCCCUCCCUUCCUCCUCCUUCGUCCACAGCAGCCCAACCUCCGCCCCUCCUCCGCCGUCGCCCACGGUGGAGUUACCGGCACCUUGAUUAGGAUGACCCUCACUAUGUCUAAGCUGAGCAUGGCCGACUUCCUCUGAUUUGUCCGUCUCAUUGUUCUACAGAUCUCGAAAUUAGGCUGACCCUCACUAUGCUUGCGUUUUUUCUUAUUCUAAUACUUUUGCAUAAUUCUUUCUAUUGUUGCCUGCGAGUAGAAUGUUUAAUUAUGAGGAGUAUCUAUAUAUUUGUUUACUUUUUUAUCGUAACAGUUAUCACUAAUUAUUUAUUUACUUCUAAUGUCAUUUGCAUGUAUAAGUUGUCAUGUAAUAAUAGGUAUCCCCGCACAUUUUGAGGAUAUUUCAAAAACUUAUUGUUACACUGAAUCGAGAAUACUAAUAAAUUUGGGGAAGCAUAAAAAUAGUCAUAUGAUUUUUUGGUAGUGACAGGUUGUGAUAGCGUUAAUUUCAUUUUUGUGUCAAAUAUGCGCUGCCUGUAAUACUAAGUUGCUCCCACAUUGUUAGAUAAUUUCAAAUACUCAUCAAAAUGCUCAAUUAAGAAUAUUAAUAGACUAAGGGAAGUGUGGAAAGUCAUUUUGUUUUUUUGGUUGUGAGAAGUCCUAGUUGCGUUAACUUUAUUGUAACCAAAUGAAAAAUAUCAAUACUUUGCUUUUUAGUGGACAAUCAUAUUGUGGUCAUAACACGGUAAAAAAAGAAAAGAAAAAAAAACACAGUUGAAUUUCUCCAAACAAACGUAUUGUGGUCAUCCGCUUCUUUUUUCAGUUCUUUUUAUUUUUCUUUUAGUCUCCAACACCCGAACAAAACUCCAAAAUCCUCAAGACAAGGCAUCAAUUAAGGAUAAGAAAUUGGUUACCAUUUUUUGUGAGUGGUUGGCCCGCUAGCCCACUGCAAGAUUCUACCACAAAAGUGAAUAAAUAAUAUUUCAAGCAAAGUUAUUAAUGGUCCAAUGUAGAAUUAGUAAGUUGGCCCAACUUGCUAUUCUAUGAGAUCAUAAUAUAUGUUAAUUAUUCCAAUCAUUAUAUUGUCCGUGCCUAUUACAUAUUUAUUUUUUCUAAUACAAAAAUUUUUCUGCACAUAAUAAAGAAAAAACUUGUAAACAGUUGAAGUAAUUAUUAUUUUUAUCCGGUUCACCAUCUAAUUUGCAUGAUGCUCCUCAUUUGUGAACUUUAUUAAUUGAAGAUUCAUAAGUAAUGUUCGCCUAUUACAUAUUUAUUUUCUUUCAAUACAAAAAUUUUUCUGCACAUAAUAAAGAAAAAACUUGUAAACGAUUGAAGUUAUUAUUAUUUUUAUCCGGUUCACCAUCUAAUUUGCAUGACGCUUCUCAUUUGUGAACUUUAUUAAUUGAAGAUUCAUAAGUAAUGUUUCGCAAUUGGUAUUAGUGCUGAAUAAGUAGCGGUGCUCAUAGUAAAUAGAGGAAAUAAUUUCUAUCGCAGGAAGACACAUUUGAUGAGUGUCGGACUUGAGUUGCCAAUCAAUUGUAAGUGAAGAUGCACAAAUCUCACUUGUGCUCCCAUUCCAUGGCUUAUUGAUCCCAACCAUUGAUCUAUUUAAAAAGUUAUUUCUAGAAUUUAUUACUCAAUGCAUCAAUGAUUGAUGAUGAUUAAGGCACCAUAUGGCGAAAAAAUGGGUUAGUAUAUCUCCAUCCUUUCCAUAUAUACAUGGACAUACUUAUAUAAUCAUCUUCCAUGCCCAUGCUAUUAAAAAGCAAAUAAGCAUCAUUGUACAAGAUUUCUUAUGUCUGUACAAAUAAACGCAAUGUCCAUGCAGCUGAUUCACUUUUGCUAAUAAUUUUUUGAUUAUUCUAAAUCUACUAGAGAUGAAAAUGGGAAGUUAAUUUCUUUUAAUUGAUAAGAAAUAGAUGUAGAACCAGCUUAUACCUAUCGCUGAAGCAUCAUUAUAAUGCACCUAUCAGUGCGGCAUUGGAGCCAACAUAAGAAAGAGAGAGGAAUGACAUGUAUGCAUAUCUCGAUUGGAUUGCAAUGUGAAGCACAUGCAUCAAAGCUUCUUUGAACCAUGCUUCAGCUACAUUCAUUCCUUGAACCGAAUAAAUUUAAGAAAUUCUUACCUUAUCUAAUGUUGCAUUAUCAAAAAAUCAGUGCAAGCAACUUUGAUAAUGAUCAAUGCAAACAAAUGUGAAAGUUGGAGAAUCCAAGUAUUCAUCAUGAACUUUCCAAAAAUUAAAGGGAGAAGGUAUUGCUAGUAGUAAAUGUCAAUUGAGGCACUUAAAAUUCAAUGCUCAAUGUACUAUUGAUUAUAAAUGCAUUUAUAAUUUCAUGCUUGUUGCAAUGCAAUAUAAUUUGCCUUAGUCAUUAGUCAAUUUAAAUGAAAGCAUCAACUACUCUCUUUUUUUCACUAACAAGCUCUCGCAUACUCAUGUUUUGUGAGAGUGAGGGAAGUUUAGAAAUUCUUUCUUUGAGGUCAUAACUCAAUGUGAUCAUAUUCAUUAUGACAUUUUUCUCAAUAUGCUAGGUACAAUGUGUCCAGCUUAGGUGGAUUGUUCUCUCCCAUAUGGACAAUUUAAGCAAAAUAUGGAGUGACGGUCCUCAAGAAACUCUCACUUUUGACAAUUUACAGAAAGUGCAAGUUCACAAUUGUGGGAGCCUUGAAAGUGUGUUUCCGCAUUGGGUGGCUACAAGUCUAACCCAACUUAAGGAACUUCAAGUGGAGUCUUGUGGGAUUGAGGAAAUAGUCACUAGUGGGAAUGAGACUCCACAUUCCAAUACUACUCAAGAUCUUUUCCCAGAAUUAACCUCUCUAGUGUUACUGAUAUGCCACAACUUAAGAACUUCUGCACCAACUUGCCCACUUUGAAAUGGCCAUUCUUGAAGGAAUUGCGAGUGACUCACUGUGGUAAAGCAAACAUGAUGUCUUCUGUAGCAUCUAUGAGCAAUUGGGCUCAAAAAGAUUAUCAAUGGGGCCUUUCAGACCAAGAAGCACACUCUUUAUUUGAAAGGGUAUGAUUUCAGCUGCUCUCCCUUAGUUUCUAUUUUGUUCUUUAAAGCACUCAUUGAUCUCAUAUCCACUACAUAAUCAACCCACGUUAUAUUGCUAUAGAAAACAUGAUCUCUCUAAAUUAUUAGUUUGUUCACAACAUUAAAAUAUUUCUAAUAUCUUGAGUAUACUUUUCAUUUGUGGACACCCAUAAGAUAUUUCAUAAAUUAUAAUUACAAAAAUAAUUAUAGAUUUUUGUUGAAGGCACAAUAUAUUCCUAAUCUAGUCUAGUGGUGCUCCUUGGGGAAAUCAAUGAAAAUUUGACAUGAGGUCCACUUCAAUGUUGACACGUGUUGCACAUUUGAACUUUUCUUCUCUAUUUUGUCUUCUAAAAAAUCAAAAAAAUAAAAUAAAAAUCAAUACAAACGUUUAACAAAAAUAAGAUUAGUACCUUAAUGCACUAUUUUCUAUUGUAUUCCUUAAUUGAUCUCAUCUUAUACAUAGUCAUCCUGUUGUAUCACUAUAGACAACCCAAAAUUCCUUACCUAUGAGUUUGAAGACAAUAUAAGAUAUUUUAUUAUAUCUUAGGCACACUUUUAAGUUUAUGGACCCAUAUGUUUCAGUAAUAUCAUAUGUGCAUCCCAUUACAUAAGUUUCCGAAGAUGACUAAUUUUAGUUGACAAGAUAUUUCUAAUAAAAGAUGAAUUUGAUGAGCUUGGAGGGAUCUUGACAAGUUCACUCUAUAAACUUAACCAUACCAACUUCUAUUUGAGACUUUUAAAAGCUUGAGACUUGAAUGUAGGGCUCUUGAGAUAUAAUGAACUUUAAGAAGAUGGCCACCUUCCUUGUGAAUCAUCUUAAUAGGUUUACUUUUUACAGCACAUGAUUUAUUGUCAAAACUUUGCUGAAUUUACUUCUCUUGUUGUAUUGGCAAUUCGACAGGAUUUUCCCAACUUGGAGAAACUUUUUUUAGUCAAUAACAAUAUUCAAAUGAUACAAGAUGGAAAUUUUCCGGAUGACAUGUUUAGCGAGCUAGGAGCACUAACACUGGCAUGCUUUCAUGAUAAAAAGGCCGUCUUUCCUUCCAUAUUCCUCCUAGAGAGAUUUCAGAAUCUACAGAGCCUUGAGGUCUUCUGUAACUCCUUUGAAGAUUUAUUCCCGGACGAAGGGUUUGUUGAAGAAGGGAAACAUCCAAUGCUUGAAAAUUUAAGAGAAUUUAAAUUAAACAAGCUACGCAACUUAAAGUCUGUGUGGAGAGAAGACUCUUUAGUGUCGAAAAUUCUUUAGAGCAUCGAAACAUUAAAGGUUUGGGAUUGUCCUCAUUUGAUGACAAUAUUUCCGACCAUGACAUCCUUCCGGAAGCUGACGGGCUUAGAGGUGAAGAAUUGCGCUAGAUUGGUACAUCUAAUAAUAGCUUCAACGGUCACAAAUUUGGUGCAUUUCAAAAGGAUAACUAUAAUAGAAUGUGAAAGAAUGAAAGAAAUAGUAGCUGACGAUGGAAAUGGAAAAGGAAAAGUGAUUUCUUUUGGGAAUCUUUUGGAUUUGACACUCCAACAUCUACCGAGCUUAGAAUGCUUCUCCUCCAUUCCGAGUUGCAAUUUUACGUUCCCAUCCUUAUGAAGUAUUGGAGUAGAAGAGUGCCCGAAAAUGAAGACAUUUUCUAAGAGUAUGCUAAGCACACCACGACUAAUUUGGGUGAGACUAUUCAGAUACAAGUUGGAUGGGAACUGUGGGGAGGGUAAUGAUCUUAAUACAACCAUACAGAAGUUAUCAGCAUAAACAAACGCAUAGAAUUUGUAAGAUCCAAUUGACGUCAUUCUCUCAUCCAUUUUUAUUUUCUUUUUAUUUAUUUAUUUUUGGCAGUGCCGUAAGUUUUGAAAAAUUUUCUUCUUGUAACUUUUCUGUUAUUGAUUCCGUCAUAUCAGCAUCACCGUCAACCCUAUCGAUCGAUCUCGGCUCAUCCUUCACUAAACAGAAGGAAGCAAAGCAGGGCUCUCCUUCUCCUUCCUGACGCCAGAGGCUCUCUCCAUCUUUCUUCUUCCUCCUCGGUGGAGCAAAACUGGGGGGAACCUCUGCUGCCUUCACCGAGGACGGAGCGAAAAUGAAGCAUCAGGAAUUGCCAGGACUGCGAGACUGCGAGAAGCGAAGCUGCACUUAGCGGAGCGGAGCCAAGUAGAUUCAGUCGUCCGCUCACUUCAUCAAAGCAGAAGAAGAUCACACUCUCUCUCCGCGUUUGCAUCCGACAAAUCGUAAGUUCACGUUUCUUCCGAUUUUGGUGUCUUAUUGCGUGUGAAUUAGGUUGAAGCCGGAAGUUGGUUUCGUAGAGACCUUCCUCAAUCCUCGCCUCCUUCUUCUAUGGCUAGGGCCCUUUUCUUCAACCUAGCAAUUUUAUUGCCCCUAAAUCCACAUCUUCUGUGCUUUCCUCGCGAGCAUUGGCGAGAGAAACGCGUCUGCGUAGGACAUCUCUGCAUGUUUGAGCUCCCAUCGAUGGAGAUGAUAUAGGGAGAGAUAUCUCUCGAGCAUCAUGAAACUUGAAAAUAUUCAGAGAGAAUUCCAUGCCUUGUCAAAAAUAUGAGGGGGUCACUUUUACGCCUUGUUCUCAAUGUACUCCAGACUGCUCAUCCUCAUGAGAAUUUCUUGUGGUUUGACGUGUCUUUGUUUCUGCUUGCGUAACUCUCUUUCGCAUUGUUCUUUUCAAAUUCUAGAAUAAAUUUUAACAAGCCCUUUUACUUUGUCUUGAUUGGUUACGAGAUGCUGCAACGAUAAAAUUUGUUUCCAAUUUAUGCUAAAUAUUUUCAUAGCAAGUCAAACUGAUGAAGUGUGCUUAAAUUGCCUCUUCACAGAACUGUCCCUCUCGGUGCUUUGCUUGCCAUCCUCUUGUGGUCCAAUCCAGGUACAGUUGAGGCGCCGUCGUUGUCUCGCGUUUCUUUUAUGUAGAGCAAUAACAUGGUUUUAGCUUCAGUUUUCAUUCGGUUCCUUUCAAAUUUAAUUCGUACCUAUUCUGCUUCUGCAUUCUGCAUGUCUGGUCAAUGGGAGGGAACUCCCGGUGUUCAUCUUUUUUGUUGGGGGAAUGGUUAUUGGAAAAAGCGAAGGGUGUCUUCGAGCUUCUACCAUUGAGAAGGAUAAGGUUGUGUUUUUAGAUGUGCAUCCAUUACACAAGGUUUUCGCGGCUUGCGGUACUUGUUAUGAUAAGCUUUUGGAUAGUGGAUGCAUCUAGAGUUAGGUGGUCCUAUUGAUCAAUCGUUCGCCCUUUUUGAAGUCGAUGCAACUAGGAUGGUCAUGUAAGGAGUGUGCUUCGUUUCAUUGGCUAUAAAAGAAGAUGUCAAUGCGAGUAGAACAAUGUCGACAGUCUUUUUGACGCCUUGUUCUCCAUAAACUCCGGACUGCUCAUCAUCAUGAGAAUUUGGAGGGGUGACUUGCGGUUUAACAUAUCUUGUUUCUACAUUCCUAACUCUCUUUCUGUCUUUCUCUUCAAAUUCUAGAACAGUUUCUAAGAAGCUCUUGUUUUUAUCUUGAUUGAUUACUAAUGAUGUGGGGGAUACUUUUGACUUCUGAUCUAUGCUGAAUAUUUUCAUGGCAAGUGAAAUUUAAGUUGCCGUUUUUCAAGUACUAGGAGGACCAAACAGUUAGCGGAUUAAGGCAUCCUGAGCUGGUUUUUUUAUGGUCCCACUCACCCAAGGCCUCUCACUGUUUUUAAAUCGGCUGAUAACUUUCCCAAUGGAGUACCCUUUUUCGAGGUGGUGAUGAGGCCCUCUUAUGUUAAGCAUGGCUUGGUAUGAUCCCACGCUUAUUGACUCAGACUGGCAAUGUCCGAAAAUCAAAUAUAUCGAUGCUUUUUAGAUCUUUGCUUAUAAUCUAGUGUAUUUCCAAGUUUACUUCAUUGUAUAGUAUACCACACGAUACAUUAUUUCCUUGAAGUGUCUGCAUUUCCAAGUUUACUUCAUUGUGUAGUAUACCACAUGAUACAUUAUUUCCUUGAAGUGUCCGUGGGUGGUUGGAGGUUCGAAAAGAUAACAAUCGUCUUCUUCUUCUUGUUGGAUAGAUGUUGUUGGAAAAGCAAUUGCUGAGGCGUCUUAAGAAUAGAAUCCAAGUUCUCUAAUAUGGAGCAAUCGGACAAUGUUAUUCAAUGCUGUAAAUUUAGAAUAUAUAUGUAAAUCACACCAGGAGACUAGUUGAUAUGGACAAGCAAAUUGCAAAGAAUUGUUGCUGCCUCCAUGACUAAAGAGAAAGACCUGAUAGAUAAGGGGAUGGCUUGUUAUGAUUCUGAAAUUUCAUUGUAGAUCUAAUGAUUGAUAAUUUUGUUUUCAAAUGGGAGAUACUAUUGUACUUCGUUAUAUUAAUCAAAUUUAGGGGGGAAAAGAUGAUUUUACUUUGUCAAAUUGAACCAACGGUUUGAUAAAAACCUUAUUUGAGCUGCACUUGAAAGAAUCAAAUAACUUAGGUUUAAAUUUUCAAGUCUAUCGAUGAUCCAGUGAUCAAUGUAUUUGCUUUUUCCCCUGUGAUUGUGAUUCGUGUGUCUGAAAUUGAUAUGUUUUAAAUAUAUAUAGGAUCUGGAAGGUUUCUUCUGAAUGUAUACCCUUUUGCAUUCUCGGAGCAUAGAUUUGACCUUGACUUUGGAUUGAUGGCUUUCGUUAUAUGGUUAUUGUCUAUUAAACUCCUGAAACUAGCAAGUAAUGCCUUAAACUCACGACAUGUACGAUUUGAUUCUCUCAUUAGGGUAUGCUUAUGUCUUGGUCUGUUCUUCACUAUAUGUUGGUUUUUCAACCAUGUAGAUGGGCAGUGUGCUCCUGUUCAAUCCAUCGCGUGACAUAUUCAGGACAUUAAGCAAAUUGCCACUCUCGGGUAUUUGGAUAGGUCAUGGAUGGUGAAGGUAAGGAGUUGUAGAUGAGAAUUUUUUUUUUUUUUUUUUUUUUUUUGGGGUGGGUGGGGGGCAGGGGUUUCUUUUUCACUGGUUGGCCCACAUUUGGAAGAGAAAGUCAUCUGUAUGUAGAAACUCAUUGAUAGGGAUGAUUUUGUGUUCAGAGUCUAUACAUAUUUACUAGUGCUGGUUAGGACUUGACUUACAUUGAUUGAGAUGAAAUCUGGAAUUGUCACUUUUGCUGGUCCAAAGGAAUUCAGUAUUCCAAAUAAUAACCCCUUUAUAUAGUCUUGAGGAAUCAAGGAAGGGUACUUCUAUGCCGAUUGGGUUUUAUGAAGUUGAUCAUAAUCCAUAUGCACACUCAUUAAUGCCACAUUCCAAAUCUGAAUAAACCGAAAAGCAUGUGCUUCAAGAUGUCCUUUUUGGUUUAUGCAUUCUUGUUAUGUUGUUCUUCGUUUUGAAUUUGAAAUCAGGACUCAUAGGCUUAUUAAGAUUAUGGGUUUUAUUUUUUCCACAGGGAAUACCAAAAAGGUCCAAGAGGACGCUUUUGAGAGAAUGGUGCAAUUAUUUGGCCUGUGGAAUUGGAAAAAAUGUGAUGAGAUGAUUUGGCUAGCAACGGGUUGGAAUGAAUUUGCAGAGCAUUACUCUAUCUAUGAGGGCCAAUUUUUGGUCUUCUAAUCUGAAGGGGACUCCAUUUUCCAUGUCACCAUAAUUGAUGAAAUAAUGUCCGAGAUAGAAUAUCCAUCAAUCAAUGUCAAUGUGAGGAACCGAGCCUCAGCAAUUGUGGAAUUGUCUUGCUGAAAGUGGAAGAUGCCUUCGAUUGCUGUGAUGUUUCAGUCAAGCUUGAAGUCUAGGGAGAUGAAUUGCAUUCAGCCAAGUGUCCUCAGUCUUGUAUGGAAAUGGAAUUUGUUCAGGUUUGCAAAGUUCAUGGCGGUUCCUAUGCAUAUUCAUCAGUAGAGUUUGGGGAGGGACAGAAAUUCGAACUGCUCAUCACAAGAUUUUCCAGGUGUGAAUCUUAAUUUAUAAGCUAAUUCUCCCCUUGACUGUGUUGUUCUUGUGUUUGAUUCAAAUACUGUACAGGAGCUGUCCAUGUCGUUAGGCUAAGAGAAACUGCACUAGAGUUAAUGCUACGAGAAACUGUGUUAGAGCUAAUUCAUUUUCUUAGUGUUUCUCUGUCUCUAGAUCUCCCCUGUGUGCAUAUGUAUGUGUUGGGACUAAAUGUGCCGGCGAUUGCCGUGAUGUUUUGGUUGAGCUUGAAAUCUUGGGGGAUGAACUGCAUUCAGCCAAGUGUCCUUAGCUUUGUAUGCCAAUGAAACUUGAUCAGGUUUGCAAAGUUCAUCACAGUUCCCAUGCACAUUCGUUACCAGAAAGUUUGGGGAGGGACAGAAGUUCAAAUUGCUCAUCAUGAGAUUUUCCGGGUGUGAAUCUGAAUAUAUUAGUAAAUUCUGCCCUCGAUGUGUUGUUCUUGUGUUUGAUUCGAAUUCCAUCAGGAACUCUCCACAUUGUUAGGCUAAGAGAAAUUGUGUUGAAGCUAAUUCACUCUCGUAGUGUUUCUCUGUCUAUAGUUCUCCCGUGAAUAUGCAUGUGUUAGGGGAUCUCAUAAAUAAUGGAAACAAGCUAAGAAUCGUAUUGGUGUGCAUAUAGGCCUUGGGAAGCUAGACCAUUAGUAAGACUCAGAUUGAUUCAUUUAGGGUUGCUGGGUUGGCAGAUACGAGUUUUACAUAACAAGAAUAAGAUACAAAAGCAAAAGCUUUCUUCAUGUUCUGUUUGUGACUACUGCAGGUAAGCUGAAAAAGUGGCGCUUAUGCAGAGCUCUCGAACCAGCCAGCAAAUUUAUACUCGAUUAUCCUUUCUCUGAAAUUGCGGUGAGGUUAAUACAUCUGAAGAAAAACAAUGUGGUAAGAUCCUUGUAAUAAUGACGACUCUUGGAUUUAAAUCACAUAAAGCAACCUCAUACUGUCUUCCUCAGAAAUCCUUGGUUGUUUUCUUCUUUGUAAUGACAAAAUUGCGCAAUUUUUACUUGAGCAGAGAGUUCCUGGUUCAUUCCCAAAGACACACGUUAAGAAAAGCCUGCAGACCAUGGCUCUCAUAUUUCAAGAUAAAUCAUGGCCGUUGAAGCUCAUCAGCCACGAGCAUUAUGGAAAGUCAUCUGCCUGCACGAGAGAAACUUCUCUGAAGGUGGAAGAUGUGUGUGUGUGUUCAAGCUUUAUUGAAAGGGACAAAUAUCGGGUUCAGAGUAUCCAUCUUCAGAACCACUGAUAAGACUUGGGUGUAUAAUAAUACCAUGCAAUACGAUAAAGCAAAGGAAGCAUCGCCUUAGCUCACUUUUGGUGAGAAUAGAACUUACAGAAUUGCUAGGCUGAAUUUUGCUUCCGGUUCAGCAAAAUGGAUGAAAGCAUGAGUUUUGUUCCAAUGGAUGGAAUGGUCUUGAACGUGUACGAUACCUUUCCUUGAUCCUGGACUUAGUGAUCACCAUGUGGGCAAGAGUCGUGAGUUGGAGGGAGCUGAUAACUAAUCUGUAACUUCCAUUUCUAGAGAUGAUCUUUCAAAUUUGGUGCUUCUUUGAUGUUUCCGGUGGCUCAACCUGACCUUUGAAAUUGUCAAUGGUAGUAACGAUAAUUUUACAAGCUCCGGUGAACUUACAUCAGAUUCUUUUCGUCGUCUCUUUUCGAUUUUCUGAAGAUUUCGUGAUCAGUCUUUUCAUAUGUAAGUUUGUUAGUUUCUUCUCAUGUGAAGGGCUUUCAGAAUUUUUUUUAUUUCUAUUUUUUCAUAUAAACUGCAUGUUGAUAUGCAUGACAAAGCAAAUAUGCUGGCAUCUUUGCGUCACUGCAGCACGACUCUUCCGGAGGCUCUCUCUCGACACAGCAUCCGAGCCUCCAAUAGUGGCUUUUCGUCUUAGAAUCGGCAACAGCUUGGUGCUUUCGGACUCGCUCUCGCUGCCAGAUAAAGCUCUUCAAUUCUCUCUCUCUCUCUCUUCCUUGCAAGAGCUCAAUACCUCCUCCAAAGUCCAAAGUGCAACCGACGGCAAUGGAAAUUCGGGAGACGACAAGAGGAUGGGGGAAAACAAAAGCGAAACAUCCUGGAGAUGGGACGUCCCGGCAAUUGUGACUGUUGAUCAAGGAAACUACUCCGUGGUCAAGUUUCGCUGUCGUGGCUGCAAGGCGACUGGUAUCUUCGAAUCGGUAGCCACACUCUUUGUGCUUCCGUCGGUGCUGGAAGCAACAAUCGUCAGAGAACUCAAUCUCGAUGAAUCGUUGGUGGGUGCUCCAUUAACGGUUGGACUCUCUCCAGAUUUUCUCCGACUAAAUUUUUUUUGCAUCUUCUCUCUCUCUGGCUCUGGAUUCCCCUGAUUCAUCUCCACCAAUCCAGAUCAUCCCCACGGUGAAGCACACCAUCAGAUUCCAUAUUCGAGUCAUGGCCACUCUGAUUCGAGUCGUCGCUUUUCCUGUCCUUACCCAUGUCUGUCGCUGGGCCAUCUCAGGCUCACGCGGCCAUCACCGCCGAACCAUCAUCAGGGCCGUUUCAUGUCCGAUUUAAGUUCCAAGUCAAAUUCCGAUUCACUCCAUAAUACGUUCUGUUGACUCUUGCUUCGUUCUGUUCCACUCCCACUUCAUCGCCGUCUUUCAAUUCCAUCGUUUCGCCCAUCUAUGCCGCGUGCAAAGGGGAUGCUGAGUGGUGUGUUCACUGUUUACAAGAGCUUUAUCUGAUUGCCAAGGCUGAGGUUGGAUGGAUGAUCAUCUGGAUACGAUCCACCGAUUCGAAGGAUGAGAUUCUUCGGGUUUAGCUCUCGGCUCCCCCGCCGGUCCGGCCUCGCUUCAUCAACCACAACAGCCGAGGCCAAUCUGGGUAGUCAUCAUCAUCCGAGACGAUAUGCCAAGCGUGAAGAUUGGCGACGGUGAGCACGAAGAGAAAACAACGAAGAACAAAAAGGAGCGAAGCAGCGGAUGGAGAUGAUUUGGAUUUUGCGUGGGGAUUGUGGGGAAAACGGGACAAACGAGGUGAAGCCGAUGGUGGUUCUUUGGAUGAGAAGGAAAUAAAGUGUUGAAAAAAAAGAAAAAAAAAAAAGAGACGAAGGGAAAAAAUAGAGUGCCCACGAGAAAUCGAUCAAAAGGAAGACUUGCAGAAGAGAUGUAAUUCGUCAUUCCAUCGAGCACCUUCCUUGCAAACUCGAUCCCUCCUCCACAGUGCAACCAACGGCAAUGGAUCUUUGGAAGACGGCGAGAAAGAAUAGGAUAAAAACGAAUGGAAACAGAUAUCAACAGACGAAGUCAAAGCAUGUCGAAAUUAAUUCUAGAGUCAAAUCGAAGAUGAAAUGACAUGGUGAUAGGAACGACCGUCGAUCUGACAUAUAUUAUCAUCGCCUGAAUGUCAGCAAGGAACGGGCUAUCCAUGGAUAUUUCUUAUGGUGCGAUCUUCGUUCCUCCGUCUGUUGUUACAGAAUCGUUUCACUUUCUCUGUCUCUCUAAGCGCAAUUCAACGAACACCUUCUGCUCAGAGGACGCAGCACAUUCAAUGACCAGGAAACUCCGUGUGUCAAGUUCUUCGCCAUGCAUCGUUUUCUCUACGUCCAUCUUCAUUCUUCACCAAGUCUUCCUCCAUCAGGGUCGUUUCCUAUCCGAUUGAACUUCCGAGCCCAGUUUCGAUUCAUUCUAGAAUACGUUUUGUCGAUUCUUGCUUCGUUCUCUUCUCUCCCACUUCAUCGCCGCCUUUCGGAUUACAAAUGCAGUCGCUCGCGUCCUUCGUUUCGCCCGUCUAGGCCGCGCACAAAGGGGAUGUCGGGCUGGUGUAUAGGAUCCACUGAUUUGAAGGAUGAGAUUCUUCGGGUUCACUAGCGGCCCUCCUGCCGGUCCGAGAAGCCCGUUGAAAGGAAGACUUGCACAAAAGAUGGAAUUCCUUGAGAGGAAGAUUCAUCCCACAACUGAGCCAUCAUUUUCAUUUUCUUUUCCUUAGAAAAAGGCAUCAAAAACUCCAAACGACGCCAUUACCGCGUCUCUUCGCUUCACAUACCUUUGUCGGAUCUCUCCCUCCAUCUCGAUGCACUCCCUCGCUCAGUGAAUUCCGAGUCGCUCCACCAUCACCCUCACCGUCUACUGCUGCCUUGAAACCGAGUUGCACUCACCUAUUUCCAGUGCGAGCCUCGUGAUUGAUUCCGUCCCUCGCCGUCUUUAGAAACUUUCGGUGAUAAUUUUUUUUUUCCUUCUUCCGGUUUAAAUCGCGUUUUCGUAUUGUGGAUUCUUACGUGUUUUGACAGAGGCUUCAAUCUGGUGGCCUCGAGCAAUGUUUAAUGCUCGUCAUUUUGCUCAUCAAUGGAGUUCGUGUCAGAUUUUUUUUUUUCCUUUUUUCCUUGUUUCCAAUCGUGAAUCCGAGACCACUUGGAAACGAGCGAAGAUUGAACUGAAAACGUCGUGAGAAAUUGCCACAGCGAACAAGAGUUGUGCAGAGUUAAGCUCGGUCAAACAAUGGUUCCGUUUUCCUCUGUUUUUUGGCAUCCUAUCCUAUAGUUACUUCUGGAUUUAGUUGUGGUGCAAGGGUGACUUACUAGCCAUUCCUGAUCAGUCCUUCGGUUAAUGCUUUUCUCUAAAUCUCGACUUGAGGAAACCUCGGAACAUAAGUUUUUGCACUUCCUCAAAUAAUUUCAGUAGUUUGUCUCAAUAUUUUCCGUGCUCAGCUAGCUUCACAUUCUAUAUGGAAUCCAUCUACAAUGUAAUAAUCUCUUCUACUAUAUGUGAGAAUACCCUAGAGUUGUGUAAUGCGGUCGAUGGUACGAAAAGUGCUAGGUAUAAACAAUCGGUCUACCAACUUGGUGUGCAAAUGAGAUUUUUCCCAUCAUGUAGUCUUUUUGUACAAUCAAGUUACUAAACUUUGAUUUCAAUUGCCUGAUGCACUAACAUUAUUUUUCCCCCUAUCCAAUCAAUGCAUUAUGAAGACUUUUCAAACAAUUUUUCUACGCAUUAUUGACGUGGUGUCUUACAUAUCUGAUUGGAAAUGCUAUUACAACGACAUGAUGCCAUAUGGGUCUCAAUUAAGAAAAAAGCCAAAAACAAAAAGUUUAAAAAAAGAGAGGGUUACGUGGCCCUUGUGUUACGAGGGGAGGUUCUCAAGGCGUAAGCCGAUCAAGAGGAAGCUAAAGUGAUCAUAAGUAUCUAAAUCCUUUUUUAUCCCCAUUAGAUUUUUAAAGAUUUCUUUAAUUGAGUCCAUAAUUACUAUUUUCAUUUCAAUAAGUGAUUUUAGAGUCAUGAAAAAUCUAGUUGCUAGAAGCAAGCCAAACCAACACAAUGGUAAUUUCGUCACAUAUUUUUACCAACACAAUCGUAAUUUCAUCACAUAUUUUUACGCUCAAGGGCAUUGGUUUAUUUACUAAAAUAAUCAUUACUUAUUGAAGUUUGCCUCCACUAAGAAAAAUCUCUAGAUGCAUCCAUGGAUCAACCAUAAUUUGGUCGGGUUUCGAUUAAGUUACAAUUUCUGAAGUUCAUUCCGCAAUUGAAAUGAGAAUUUAAUGAUUGAUUGCAAAAAUGCGCUAUAUAAUUCAGUCAUCACAAUUGAUUUACCCUAAAUAAGUAGGUCUUAUAUUUUGAAGGUCAGUCUUAGUGCGUUUAAUAUUGUUCUUUAAGUAAGUAAUAGUAAUAUUUGUGUUCUUUUGGAUAUAUAACGCAAUUCCAACACAAGUCCACACUUUAACUUCUGGCCUAGCCUCAUCCGAUCAAACUUUCGCAAAAUUCCCAUCAAUCAAUCUCCUUUUCCUCUUCAACCGAGAGGCCAUUCGUAGCCACAAUCACCGCCUUCUCCCCAUCUUCAGUUGAAUGAAAACCUGCUGAAUGAGCGUCAUGCGAUCUUUUGCGGCCAUUUUGGCUCAGUCUUUGAAAGUUGAGCUGAAAACUUUUAGGGAAUAAAUAUCUGAAAUCAUUUGAUAUAGGACGACACACUCUGCUUCUGCUUUGGAAUCGUAGGUUAGUGUUAGUUUUUGAAUUUGUAUGUCAGAGAGAUGAGCUAGUCACGUAUCCAUCUUCAACUGUUGAAGUUUCUGCUGUAGGCAAAGGUGAAAUCAAGACUUGAUUAUGUGCAAGUGUUCUGCCUGGGUUUUCUCAUGUGAAAUCUAGGGAAACCAAACAACCUCUAAGCUGUGAUUUCUCCUAUUAUAGGUCUAGGAGAAAAUAGAAGAAAUGAUAGCGUAAAAUAUAUAUAUUUUUUCCUUUCGGGCGUUCCGAGAAAUUACUCAGAAGAGCUCUAUCUUUUGACCGGUGGUAAAAAAUCUGCCGUUUUAACCUGUGCGCAAUCCCAGAUUUUUAACUAGUACCAAUAUACAGGAUGUGGUGGCUUCUCAAAGGUGUUGUAGCACUUCUUUGUGUUCUCAUUUUGACAUCUAUCAAGCUAAAGUAGAAUGUGAUGAAUGGAUAUUCACUAGCGUAUCUACAGUUUUCUUUUUCUUUCUUUCUUUCUUUCUAUAACAUUUCAAACUCAUUCGUUUAUGAUUGUUUUCUGCAAUUAUGUUUGUCUCCCAGUUUCUGAUUAAUGUCUCUUUUUAUUUUAAAUGGACUGCUGUGAACGGACUCUUUUUGUUUUCUCUUCCUAUUUUGGCUGGAUCGAAAAGUCUUCUACUGUGUUGAUACAGCUGUAGUGUCGCAUGCUCCAAUAUUUUCGGACUUGCUGAACGGUAGUUCUUCAAUUUAUAGCGUCACCCCACUUCUUGCAUUGUAUCAAAUUAGGUGCUUUGAUGGUGGGUAUCUACUAUUCAUAACUGUCAAUUUAGUAAACAUCAAUUUUGUCACAAGAUGCGUACUAUGUAUGCUAGUGCUUCAUUCUCUCUUUCUUCGGUUCUAGUAGGUAUGGGUGGCUGCUACUAUUGGUGCCUUUUACUUUGCAUAAACAAAAGGGAUACACGCUUACUUACUUCGAUUAACUCCCACCUGAAGUAUCCUUCUCCCUCCACACUCCGACCUCGUUCUUUGUUUAUCUUCCUAUUUAUACCAGUUUCUCAAUUAAGAGUAUUUGAAACUAAGCAAGAAUAGACUUGUGGUGACUCUUGAUGGUGAUAUUUUGUCUAAUCCAUGUCGUACCACAUCAUUAGUACGCUUAGUACUUCGUCAUGAAGCAACCGAAAACAGCAUAUAAAAGGGACAUCCUUAUUAAAGAAGGAACCACAAGGACACUUCAAGGCCAGUAUCGCUAGUGCCAGCACAGUAGAAGGAAGAGAACUAUAGAAGGUAUAUCUAGGAAAUGUUCCAAUAUUCAAUGAGGUAAACCCAACAUAGCUAAGAAGUUCACCUAGACUGCAAACCUAGAACAUCUAAAAAGCAAUGAAUGAUGUACGUAAUCUAGCCUUUGUAGUAUGUAGCGUUCAGCAGGAAAGCUAUGUCUAGAAAUGAGAAGCCCGUAGAAAACUACUUUAAUGAACAUGCCUCAGAUGGACAGCAAAGCUGAAUGAUUGCUUAGUUGAGCAGAACAUGCCUAUGUGAUCUAAUAAAUUGCACAAUACCAUGUUAGGAGGGUAAAGAACCCAUGCAUGAACAGAAGUUAUAUGCCCUAUACACUUAAAACAUUUAGUGGACCGGUGAACCUCCCCGUUUGUCAUGAUUCUGAUCUUUUUUUCUUUUUUUUAAUAUGAUCUGCGUGUGGAAUGAGCUACGAAACAAUUCUUGUUCAAUUGAUCUUAUUGAUGAAUUAUCCGAUACUUCGGUUUGGCAGCAAUCCUGAUGCAAAAUCCUGCUGCAAUAUCAUCACCAUUUAAAAGAAAGGAAAAUGAUAUAAACAUAAUGGAUUGAAUCUAGCAUCAAUCGAAAGUCAAUCAACAAAUGUCCAAUUCCAUGACCUCAAUUUCACCUCAGAAGCAGCUAAGAAAACUUACGGGAAGAGGAGGGAGGAGCUAUGCGGUGAAAAGAGGAGGAACAGCUUGCUGUAGGAACUACAGUGGCAUUGCCGUGGUGGUACUCAAUCCCCAGGUACAUUGGAGGUCGCACUUCCACCCUGUUCUUUGCUUCAUUUUUCUUUCAAUUUAUAUCAGUUUCUCAAGUAAGAGUAUUUGACACUGAGCAAGAACAGACCUGUGAGCAUGAACAGAAUGAUAGCCCAUGGGGUGGUCACUCUUGCUGGCGAUAUUUGUAUAAUCCACGUCAUACCUACAUUGUUAGUACACUCAUUACUUCCUCAUGAAGCAGUCAAAAAGCUACAUAUGAAAGAGACUUCCUUAAAAUAUAAAAGAAACCACAAGGGCACUUUGAGGCCGGUAUCAUUAUGCCUGCAAAGCAAAAGGAAGAGAAUUAUGGAGGAUAUAUCUAGGAAAUGCUGCAAUAUUAGAUGAGGUAAACCCAACGUGGCUAAGAACUCACCCAAACUGCAAACCUAGAAAAUCUGAGAAGCCAUGGAGGAUACAUAACCAAGCCUCCGUAAUAUGUAGCGUUCAGCAGGAAAGCUACGCCUAGAAAUGAGAGAAUUUGCUUUGAGGAUUGGAAGCACAUAGAAAAGUGCUUUUCCAGAUGUGCCUCGGAUGGACAUCAAGUUGAAUGAUUAGCUUAGUUGAACACCCCUCUGUGAUUUGAUUCCAAUCAAACUAGUCAAAACACAUUAAUAACUUCCACAAUGCAAUGUUAGGAGGGUAAAGAACUCAUGCAUGCACAGGAGAUAGAUGUUCAAUGCAUACAUUUAAAACGUUUAGUGGACCUUGUGAACCACCCCGUUUGUCAUGAUUUUGAUCUGACUACAUCAGCAAUCGAACACACAUUAACAUAUAAGUAAACAGGAUUACAUGAUACAACCUCUUGGUUGAAGUGAUUCAUGUAGAACCAAAACAUACCCUCCAAGUUCUCAGUCUGUUCCUGUUUGUAAUGCCUAGCAUGGCAAUCAUGAAAAUGGUGACUACAUUCCCACCAAACACCACAAUUGCGGACAGCGUUAAGGAGAAGCCAAUCCAAGAAUAGUGAAACUGCCAUACUACUCCAUUUGAACCAGAAAAGACAAGGUAUCAAAUUUAAAGGAUAUAUAUUACUAAAGCAAUCGAAAAAUCUAUUUCCAUCCUACACUUGAAAAGCCACAAACGGAGCUGCUCAAUCAAAAUCCCCUAAAACAACAGAUGCUCCAUUAACUAGUUAACGAACGAAUGAAACUACUUAAACAUUAAUCAUCAUAUUACUUAUUUCCAUAGAGAAUGGGCCAUAGGGACGAGAGAGAAGUGUGCAGUGAAAGCUUGUUUAAGUGGAGUCCUGUGAUCAUUCUUUUUCUCUACAGUUGUAAUGGAACUUCGCACUUGUGGAUAUAUAUUAAAACCAGUAAGUGUGAGAGAUAGCUCGAUGAUCACCGAGUUGAAAUAAAAGGCCUUAACCAAAAAUUUGAAAGGUGAGAGCAUCACGUGAUCCGUUCUAAAUUUGGCAUCAAAAGUCAUUGCAUCUGACACAUAUCUAAAGAUACAGAAAUUACAUGCCGAGAAAAGAUUCAUUGAUGAAAAUAUGUAGAUAGAAGCCCCGAUCAAGACAAUGGCAAAAGAUCAGAAACACCACAAGCGCAAGGCGAAAGUGAUUUGUCAAAACCACUAUGGUUUGCGAGUAAAGCGAUCGGAAUGAGCAACAGAACAAUUCUCAUUCAACCGAUCUCACCGGAAGAGUUUUCCGAUACUCCGAUUUGGCAACAACCCCAAUGCGGAAACCUGCUGCGAUAUCAUCACCAAUUAAAAGAUGCAAAGGAAAAAAAAAUGAUAUCAAUAUAACGGACUGAAUCUAGCCAUCAUCGAAAUUCAAUCAAAAAACGUCAAAUUCCAAGAUCUCAAUUUCGCCUCAGAAGCAACUAAAAAAACCUACGGGAAGGGGAAGGGGCAGGAGCCGCAUGGUGUAAAAAGGAGGAACGGCCCACCGUAGGGACUACGGUGGUGAUGCCGUGGUGGCUCUCAAUCCUCGGAUACAUCGGAGAUCAGAUAUCCCAACGACGGUGAUGGCUUGGUGUGAAACGGAGGAGAGGAAGAAAUGGAGGAGUUUCCAAGAAGUGCAACAGAAGGGACCGGAAAACAUGAAAUUGAAAAGGAAAAAAGUAAUCCUGAUUCAUUUGGGAAUUUUUUAAAUUUUUUUUUACCCAAUAACAAAAUUUCCUCAAUUUAAAUCGCUAGAAAAUGCCGAUUGUAGUGAACAUUUGUCCGGUUGACGAGUUUAAAUUCUUAUUUAAAAUGAAAUCCAUUUUAAACUCAUUGUUAGAAAAAAAAAAUUAUCUCAUUUUAGAUUUUUAUUUGAAAUUUUUCUUAAAUUAUGUAAUGGCUAUUUUAGCGAUAAAUAAGUCCUCAAACAUGAAAAUGAAAAGGGUGAGGGGGUUCUGGUGGUGGUCCCCAAUAUGCUGAUGUUAGGAAGCUUGACAAUAUAAAAAUGCAGGAGCUGGACUUCAAAGAUUUUCAUAAAGGUUUGUUGGGCGAAAAUUAUUCAUCUUAUUGUCUAUCAACAUGCGGUGAAAACCUUUACCAAAAAAAAAAAAAAAAACAUGCGGUGAAAAUCUCCGUACUUUUUUUUUUCUUGAUUUUAAGCUUCCCUGGCAAUGGAGGAGCCGGUUGCACAAAGACUCGUGGACCUCGACUUGGAAAAGCUUUUGGACUAUUAUCAAAGAAAAAAUUGUUGGAUGAUGAUUAUUGACCUUUCAUUAUUUCCAUUUUGAAGAGUUUUGAUAUUCUAUAUGCUUAUUUAUCCUAUAUUCUUCUUCUUUACAAACGAAAUUGUCAGCAUGAAAUGACGAUUCAUUACAAAAGAUAUUUACCUGUAAUAAUUCUUUCUUUUAAUCAAUAUGAGAACUAAUAAGAUCCAUCCGUGUGAUCUCAAAUCCAACAAGAUUCCUUUUUUUUUUUUUGGGCACAUCAUCUCCAUCAAAAUUGAUGAGAUUUUAUUACUCAUUGUUAAGUUGCAAAGGUGGUAAUUUAACAUGUGUACAGCGGAGAGAUUAUUGUUUACUAAUUUAUUCGUGUAAUCUCCCACAUUUAAGUUUAUUAACCAAAUCGAUCCAUUACGAAAUAUGCAUGUUGGACUAGGUUGGGCUUUUUGAGGAUAACUUAUUUCCUAAAUCUCUCCAUUUGACAUCAAACCUAGUGAAAGGGCGUAAAAGGACAGAUAGAGCAUCCAUGCCUAUAAUCAAAUCCAGUGAACACGAAUCUAGCAACCUAAUGAGUCCAUCCAUUAUUUGUGUAAAGUUAAGACAUUGUAAGGAGAGGCCCGAGUUAUAUAUUGAAAAAGUAUCAACGUCAAGAAUGUGAAAAAUCCUCGAAGCUCAUUUCAUUAUAGUUCAAAGUAUCGAAACUCCAUACAACUACGGAAAUUUAUUAUAGGAAAAAAAAUACUCGGCAUUUCUAUUGGGCUUCAACUUGUCUGACAAAGCCCAGGCUGUCGGAGGGCCCGAAUAUAUACCAAGCCUAUUUUUCUGCCCAAGGCGUAGUUUCGAAUCUCGGUCCCAGCCCAAGCACGAAACUGAUCCAUACGGUCUAGCCCUCAACAUAAGGUAAGUUGAGGUCGUUCGUAAAGCAUGCUCGUUUGCGGGCGUGAAUUGACAAUGCAAUCCGAAGGAGAAAUUGGUCCAAAAGCGAGACUUGCCCUACUUGAUAAGCAAGCUUCGCACCCCCUAUAAUUACAUAAGUAUCGUUGCAGAGGAAUGGUGCCUUAACUUUAACACAUUUUGGCUCUCUUUCUCAUUUCACACCCCUAUAAAUACACUUAUUCUUUUCAAUAAAAAAAAAGAUUAUACUUACUUAACCUCUCUAUCUUGCAAUUAUUGCAUAUUAGUGAUCACUUCAUGUUAACAUUGCCAUUUUUUUUUCUUUUUUAUUUGUUAAAAAAGAUUCAAAUUGCAAAAUACACUUACUCUUUACUAUAAUAAAUUAAGCUUCCUAAACCCCCACGAUUGUAAUAGUUGAUUGGGGUGUCAGGGAUCUCCGAUUUGAGAAUUAGAGAUUGCUUGUUUGAAUCACAAAUACUGUAUGCAAGUUAUUCUGAGUUAUAGCCACCUAUACAGGUCAUAGCUUUAAGCUCAACCUAUUCAACUUGUAGUAUUUUUGUAAUGGGCUUUAAGUAGAAGAGUCUCCCUGCCCACGCCCAUGGAUUAUUAAAAAAAUAAAAAUAAAAACAUACUCUAGGAGAAUACUAAUAUAAUAUAGCAAUUUUUUUAUACGCUCUUCUUCCUCAUAAACUAGGUAAUCAACUUGGUUACAAGGAGAACGUCCCUUGGGACUUAAUAAAUCAUAUAUAUAUACACACACUUAUUUAUUUUCAUAUACAUACUUAUUUAUUUUCGAUUAGAUAUCAGUCAUCACCUUUUUGAAUAGGCAUAUUAAAUAUAUGAAUUUAUGAGCAAUUUGACAUGGUGUUCCAAUAAAUGAGGUUGGCAAGAAAAUUAAGCAACUUCAAGUAUACCUUUUGAACUGAGCCUUUUUUUUUUCACUUAUAGCGAUCAUUAUGAGAGCUUCCUAUCAAUAGAUCCAUGAAGAUUUGAAAGAUAAUACAUGGAAAGUCAAGACUAAUUUUCAAUUAAUGGUCAACAUUAAUUAGAUAAGGGGGUCUAAGUUAGCCCAAGUCUAACCUGUCAACAAGUAGUUCAAUAUCAAAAACUGCAAAUCAAUAUAUAAAUUAACGACAAGGUCACUUUAGAACUGUGAAUCGAAUGAUAUUAUGAUUACCAUCACUAAAAACAUAUCAAACACUCUGUAAUUUAUGACAUGAAUCAAAAUCUUAAUAUAGUAAAUAGGAAAAUUACCGGCUAAGCAGUUGAAUCAAUAGGAUAGGGCCACACAGAAGCACACGAGUGCAUACUAAAAUUCGGAUUUGACGAAUUUGUUCCUUCCAAAACUCAAGCAAAAAGGAAAACGAAGAAAAGAUAAAGAACCUUUACAGACAAAAAAAGCACAAUCAAUGCUUUGGAAUUUUGAUAAUGCUUGUUCCUUACCUACGGAAUGUUUCUGGCACUUUAAUACAAACCGUUCGAUUGAUAUUACUAAUUCUCAACCGUCGAUUAUCAGCUUUUCCAAUUAAAGGUUGCUGUGUUUCGACGCUUCCGUUCCUUCACCACUUCUUUGGGUGGGUCCGUUAAUUUGUCUUUUGACUUCUUUUUUUAAAAGUACUUAUUCUUUCGUCCACUUGGUAAGAUUCUAAGCGUAAUUCAUCGAAGGCAUCUUGAUAUCAAGCACACGAAUACUAUCUAUAUCUUUUCUCGUGUUCUCGGGUAUUGAUAAGUUGAUGUGGUUAGUGGACAAGAAGGUCUAGAUAAGUUUGUAGUCAUUUUAUAGAGCGGAAUCUACUCCUUGAAGAUAUGAGUACUCGGUAUUCAUUUCCAACUUUUCCGCUUUUGAAAAGUAAAAGAGUGAUAAAGGGCAAUGGGUGUCAACAAUACCCCGGGCAUUACCAUGGUCUAAAACUAUGGUAAGGAGGAGCUUCCAAACUUUACCGUUGGAACCAAAACCCCAUAUAUGUAAGAAGUCAUUUUCUCACUUCCUUGUUUCAGUUUACAUUUGUAAAUGAGACCACAUUCGAGUGAGCAAAGUCUAUUUUUGUUGGUUUGGGGCGAAAAAUUCUCUUAAGGUUUCCGGGCUUUGCACUUGAGUAAUUUUGACAUCAAUAUUGCAAUCAUAAUAUAUGUAGCACGGGCACUCUCCGAAAGUCUUUGUGUCGUGUCCAACACUCCGACACGCGGUCAACGAGUGUCGAAAAAUCCGACAUGUGGUCAACUCUCUCCGACACGCGAGUCCAGAAUUCUGACACACGAUUCCAACACGCACGGGUCAAUUUUAAAAAUUUCUAAUACUUGAGGGGUCAAAAUAUAAAUAUACACAAAAGAAGUAAUAAAAUUGCUAUAAAUAUACACGCAUGGGUCAAUUUUUCUUUUUAGUUUUGUUUUUUUAUAAUUGUUUUAGUUUUUUUAAAAGUCUUUUACUAUGAAAGAAGUAAUAAAAAAUGCUAUAUAUGAUAAAUAAAUAAAUUUAAAAAUAUCAUUUCAGCAUUUUUCUUUAAACAAUAUUUUUUUCCUCUAAGUUUUAUGUAUUAUUGUAACAAAUUAAAAUAAUGAAUGAUAUUAUUUAAUAUUUUUCGUGUAAAUUAAUUCUAGGCUAUUAUUAUUAUUAUUAUUAUUUAUGUAUUUAUAUAUAAAAAUAUAUUUAAUAUAUAACAUGUCGGAACGUGUCGAAAUUCUCCAUUUUUAAGAAAUGAUGUGUCGGCGUAUCGUAUAAUGUCAUGUCGUGUCGCGUGUCGCGUGUCGUGUGUUCGUGUCGGUGCUAUAUAGAUCGUAACAAUCAAUUGGAAGAAAACGAUUAUUAUGAUCAUGGCAUUGGAAAAAGAAUAUCAAGCAUUGUCUAAUUUCUGACGUGAAUUGAAGUUUCAACAUGGUAAAAAGGAAAACUUACCGCUGAAGUACUUGAAUCAAAAGGACGGGGCCUUGAAGAAAAGCACACAAGUGAAUAAGAAGUUUUGGAUCUGAUAAUCGUUCAUUAUGCAGCUCAAAGCAAAAAGGAGAAAAAAGAAAAAGAAAAAGUAAAGAGCCUCAACAUUCCAAGUUCUUACUUUACGGUCUUUUCUUAUGACAUCCUAUAAAAGUUAUUAUUUCCAAGAAAGCAGCCAAACAUUAUCACCAGAAUAAGAUGAUUGGACCAUUCAUGCAAAAAAUGGGUUCGAUAUGUAUUCUUUUGUCCGAUAAAGCUCUGUCAUUGGAAAAGAAAAAAAGCAUUGCAUGUUGCUCACGAAUAAUUUAACUAGACUUUGGAUAAUGGGGUGUCCCCACUCCCCACUCCCACUCCACUUCUACCAAAGAUGUUUCAUAAGAAAAGCUAAAAAGAUGAAAGCGUCAAUUAUUCGAUAAUGACUUGGCACAAGGAGCACCACACACGAGAGACUUUGGCUAUAUAAUGUGGAUUUGAUUAUUAUACUUGUUCUUUCUACUUUUAUGAUUGAAACAUUACGUAAAGAAUGAUUCGGCAUUUUAAUACCAAAUCUCAGCUGUUGAUUGUCGACUUUUCCAGCAAAAAGAGUAGCUGUGUUUCAACGCUACCCUUCCUUCAUCCACUUUUCUAGUGGCCCCGUCGAUUUGUCCUGGAUGCUUCCCUGAGAAUUGCUUCAUUGAACCGAAAGCAAAAAUUCACGAGGCUAUAAAAGAAAUAUUUCUCUAGUGAGCCUUCCAUUCCAUCAGAACCUUUGAAAAAUAGUUAAGAAAAUCUUCUAAAUUAACUAUACAUAUAGACAAACACACAUUUACGCUCCCAAUUUAGCUUAAAUCACAUCUUUCAUGUAAGCUGACCAAAAUGUUCUCCACACAUAAGUGUACACUUAAGCAUUAAUAGACCCGCCUUUUAUUUAAAAAGAAUAUAUUUGCCUUUUUCAUUUUCUCUCAAAUCUAUUGUCUUGCGUCUUUUCUUAUCUAUUGUAGACUCUUGAUAAGAGAUUUUGAUAUGAAUCCUCUCACUUACUCUUCUUAUUUCAGAAUUUUUUUUAUACAAGAAUCUAUCUUAAGAGCAUCUUCAGCCUAUGAAUCACCAACAUCAAUAAUAUCCAUAUAAAUAUUUAUAGAACCAUCCAUAUUAGUCAUAACUUUCAGAAAAAUGAUUCUUUUUAAAAAAGUUAAAAAUUAUUUUUCAAAGUAUGAUAAAGUAUGAAUGCUUGGAUUAGAAAUUCCGUGAUUGGGUACAGAUACUCUAACGUUGGUUUCCCAGCCCUUGACAGCGGGAUCGAGUCUAUCGAGGCCAGGUUCUAGACCUUAAUGCCCAUGCCUAGGUCGUUGACUCUUGAGUCCAAAUCUAUUGAGGCGAGGCUCGCGAUUUCUGUGCAUUCUGCCUUGGUAUAUGUUGAAUAUGUAGGUGUUAUAUACAUUUCAAAUUCAAAUUCACGCAAGCGAGCGCAUGCAAAUAUCUAUGAAAAUGUCUACUAUCAUGAGGAAGAAUAAAGUUGCCCUUUAAUGAAUUUUCUCAAGUAUUUUGCAAGUUCCGAGGGUCGACUCGUGCUUUCUUUCUGCCUCUGCCUUGGUAUAUGGUCCACAUGAUAAAUUGACAUGAUGGCAGACUAAGCAAAGUGACAUGUCACGUGUUCUCUUUCGUCAAACGGUACAAUAAUUGCUAUUCUACGUCAUGUCACGUGAAUGGCUUAAGUCGAAUCGUUUGUUUACUUUUUAAUAGCUGAUAAUCAUCUCUUUCUUUCUCCAUUCGAUCGCUAUUCCACGCUCCCCUUCAUCCAUUUUUGGCGCUCGAAUCUCUUCGCCAUCGUUCGUCUCUCGCUCUGUUUCGCUCUUUCUUCCCCUCGGCACACCCAUUCUUCCUCAUCCUCUUCCUGCUCUUCCUCCUCUUCAGUAUCUGCUGCUCUUUUUCAUCGUUCGAUUGCCUAUUCUACGCUCCCCUUCCUUCGUCCUUCUUUGGCACUCGAAUCUCUUCGCCUUGUUCGUCUCGCGCUCUGUUUCGCUCUUUCUUCUCCUCGGCACACCCAUUCUUCCUCAUCCUCUUCCUCCUGUCUUCCUCCUUUUUCUGUGCUCAAAUCUCUUGGCUUUGCUCGUCUCUUGCUCUGUUUCGCUCUUUCUUCUCGUCGGCUCAACCAUUCUUCUUCCUCCUCCUCCUCCUCCUCCUCCGCUUCCUCUUUAGUUUCUGCUGCUCCUUUUCAUCAUUCUCCCUCUCCGUCUCUCUUUUUUCUCGCUCUUUCUUUCUCUGAAAAAAAAAAUCAAAGAAAAAUGUCGGCAGAUUCUGUCGUUGGUAUUGGAUGGGAUGUCUUGAAGCGCUAUGUAAUUGUUCCCAUCGAACGUGGAUUCGGAUACGUGAUCUCCUCCAAGAGAUUCGCGAACCGUCUUCGGGGAGAAGUCCAGAAUCUGAAGAACGAGGUUCAGAGGGUCGAGGUUCUUGCGGAACAGGCUAGAAGCAAUGUUCGGAAAUUCAACGAUGUCUUCACGGCGUGGGAGGCAAAUGCUGGCAAGGCCUUGGAGGAGGCGCGAGAGCUGUUGGACGAGUUCGAAAAGGCGACCAAGACUUGCUGCUACGGGACUCUUCCCGACCCCAGAUCUCGCUACCAGUUCAGCAGGAAGGCCGAGGACAAGAGCGAGAUCAUUAAUCAACUCAGUCAAAAAUGCAACAGAUUCAACGGAUUGGACGAUAUCUCCUUCAUCGAUCCUGCUUUCAGGAAUGUCGCUGCCCCGAAUCCGGCCAGGAGAGAAGGCAAAGAUGUUGUUCACUCGACCACUGCAACAGCCUCUGCUUCUUUUGUGUCAACGUCAAUGAAGCUUAGGGACGGUGGCGUCUUUGAAUCCAGAGCUUUGAUGAUACGGAACAUCAUGGACGCUCUUGCUGAUAACGGCAAUAGCGUGGUUGGGAUUUACGGGAUGGGUGGGGUUGGCAAGUCCACUCUUUUGGCGGAUACCGAAAAAAUAAUAAGGGAAGAGAAGUCCUUCGAUCUGGUUGCUCAGGCCGACGUGUCCGAACAUCAAGACAUCAAGAGGAUUCAAGAAGAGAUUGCACACAAGUUGGGCCUAAGUGACCUAAAGAAUGAAGAGUAUGUCAGCGUGCGAGCGGAACUUCUGCACGGGAAGUUGAAAGUCGAGGAGAGCAACGAAAAGACGGUCCUCAUAAUACUAGACAACCUGUGGAAGGGGCUCGACUUGAAAUCGGUCGGCAUUCCUUGUGGACCUGACAACAAAGUCAUGGGAUGCAAGUUGUUGUUGACGUCGAGAGAUCGCGACGUUUUGCGAAGGGAUAUGGGCUGUGACAAGGACUUCCACCUUGGUGGGCUGAAGGAGGAAGAGGCAAAAACAUUGUUUGAGAGGAUGGUUGGAGACAAAGUUCACGACGAUGAGUUCAAACCUUGGGUGGAAGUAACACUCGACAAAUGUGCAGGUGUGCCUUUCUUAAUCAUUGCAGUGGCAAAGCGUUUUAAAGACGCCGGUUUAUCUGAAUGGAAGGAUACUUUGAAAAAAAUCGAGAAGUUUAAAGAUAACAAAAUCAAUGACUUGAUAAAUCAGAUGUUGAAAUGGAGUUAUGAUAGAUUAGAAGAGGAUGAGAAGUCAUUAUUACAACUUUGUGUCGUUUAUGGUAUCUCCACGCCUUCUCUUGAAAAUUUGGUGAGGUAUGGUCUCGGUAUGGGGUUAUUUAAGGAAGUUAGCAGCAUAGAAGACGCUAGAGAUAGGUUGAGCUCACAGAUUCGAACUCUUCAAGCCUCCUCCCUUUUGUUAGACAGUGAAGAUGUUGAUGGUUUCAAGAUACAUGACUUGGUUCGUGAGUUUGUUGCCUCUGUUGCAUCAAAAGAUCACCCUCUUCUCGUGUUGACAGUUAAAGAUAAGUCGAUAACAGAGUUGCUGAAGGACAAGCUUAAAAGUUGUAGAGCGGUAUGCUUUCCACACAUUGACAUGAAGGAGUUUCCUAAAGAAUUAGAUUGCCCCGAAUUACGCAUCUUUUUGCUUUUCACCAACAAUGAAUCUUUUGAGGUUCCAGAUUCAUAUUUCAACUCUAUGGAGAAACUCAUGGUCUUAACUCUUACUAGCACACAUCUCAUUCGUUCGCCAAAGCCAUUUCAGUUAUUAGAGAACUUACAUACUCUAUGUCUUGAGUAUUGUUCGCUAGAGGAUGUGGCCAUUCUUGGCAAGCUAAAAGGAUUACAAAUCCUCAGCAUUGUGGACUCUGAAAUUCAGCGAUUGCCGAAAGAAAUUGGGCAACUAGUAGAGCUAAGGUUGUUAGACUUGAGCCGUUGUUCACAACUUGAGGUAAUUGAACCGGGUGUGCUUGGAAGCUUGAUAAAAUUGGAGGAGUUGUAUAUGAUGAAUAGCUUUGCUCAAUGGAAUGCUGCGGAGCUGCCAACUCCACCAACUAAUGCAAGUCUUGUUGAGUUGAAUAACAUGAAGAAACUGUGCACUUUGUAUAUAUACAUUCCCAAUCCGAGUGUGCUCCCAAAGGACCUAAAUGUCGAGAAAUUAACCAAGUACGAAAUCCGAAUAGGUUAUGCAUGUCACCAAAGCGAUUUCGAAGGAUCGAGGACGUUAGAACUGAAUUUGAAUCGAACAAGCAAUAUUCUUCAGAAAGAAUGCAUACAAAAUAUCUUAGGCAAAACUGACAAUCUAUUUUUAGAUGGGUUGGACGGAAUUGAGCAAAGUAUUUGCGCAUUAUCCGAAAAAGGUUUUCCAAGAUUAAAGCAUCUACAGGUCGAGGAUAGUCCCUCUAUUCAUUACAUCAACCAAUCAUCUCAUACGUAUUUUAAGAGGUUGGAGUCGUUGAUUCUCAAUGAUCUCCUCAACGUGGAGAAGUUAUGCCACAACCAUAUCUACUAUAAGUCCUUCAAUGCAUUAAAGGUAGUACGAGUCAAAAGGUGUCACAAGAUGGAAGUUCUAUUUCCUCUUUCAUCACUAAGAGAACUUCCCUAUCUAGAAGAGAUCGAAGUUAUCAAUUGCAAGUCAAUACAAUGGAUUGUAGAAGCCGAUGAUUGUGGCAAUGUCGAGUUGUGUAAUUUGCAUGUAUUGAGCUUGUCUAACUUGCCAAUUUUCAAGAACUUUUUCAAUGUUGGGUCAACUCCUUUGAGUAGUAAGUCAAACGACCAAGUUGGCACUCAAAAUGCAUUCUUCAGUGGACAACAGGUAGGUUCUAUCAAAAUAAUUUACGCAAAUUAUGAUGCUUAUUUAUUUUUGUUAUUUUCAAUUUAUUUUUCCUAACUACCUUAUUUGUUCAUGUCUUCUCUGUAAUUAGAUAAAUCAAUUUUCCAUUUCUCUUAAUUGUGUAGAAAUCCAAGCAAUUAUAUGAAAUCCAUGUAAAUUUAGUUUGUGAUAAGUUUUGAGUUAUUUUCGACUUACGUGCUGCAAGUGUAUCUAUAUUAAUAGGGUUUAGUAAAGUAAAAUUGAAGGGAAUUUUGGCAUUAAAGUAAUUUCAUAAGUAAAGUAAUUUAUAAUCUUUCCAAAUGGAUUCCACUGAAUUUGGUUAUCAAAUCUUUGUUAUUAUCCUCCAAAUGUAUAAUACAAGCGACUCUUAAAAUCCAACACAAAGAAUGGGAAGGAGGGCCGGGUUUUAAAAUAAAAGCAACUGUGCUAAUAUUAUUGAUGCACUGUUUAAAUAAGCACUUAGUAAUUGCAUAGACCCCAUAGCUAUAAGAGUACACUAUUUUGUGCAUAGGUUUCUUGUAGUGAAUGUAGGCGUUGGCAAAUGUAUGAUUUUUAUUGUGUCACAACAAAGUUGUCAUUGCAAAUUUGGAAUUCUUGCUGUUGGAGUUCCAAAGUGAUCUUUACCAUUUCUCUAGUCCAUACGACAAAAUUAAGGCCAAGUUGUUACAAUAUAAAAUAAUGGAACUUGAUGCCUUGAUGGAAAAUUUACUAUCUUUUACGGGCCUUGUAUUUCGUUUUGGCUACUUAGUAUGUCAUAGUUUAAUUUCCGAAGCUUCAAGUGCUCCACAAUUUAAUCUUCAAAAAAAAUUUGGUGAAAUUUUGAGUUUUCUUUUUGCUGAGUCCCAUCCAAUUUGAAUUUUAACUUUUAUGUAACUCCAAUAGUUUAUCGGGACAAAUCUACAGGUUGCAUUAAAUAUCCUGUUAAAUUAAUUAUUGAUAUUGAUUUACUAACUUUAAAGAGAAGUUAGUAAGCAAAGGAUAAACAUUUGCCCACGUAUGCAAAGUGCGCGGCUACUUUAUACGGGGAAAGUUGCUGUCAGUGGAGCCUGUAGGCUGAUUAGAUAAAAUUGCCCUUUUAUAGCGGUGAUAUUAUCACUGAAGUUGGUGGUGGGGUCCAAGACUCACGUAAUAUAUAAGUUUUCCCAUCAGUAAAAGAUCUCAUUUUUUUCCCUGAUCGAAGGAACCUUUGCUCUCUGAAUUGCACGAGGAAAAGGUACCUGAGCCCUCUCCGUCGCCAAACUAAGCAGGUCCAGGGCUCCGGGAAUCAUCCCUUUUAGAUUUUACAUGAAUUGCAAGACCAAAGUGAUCAAUUCAGUGACUUCUCUAGGUGUACGGCAAUUUCAUUGAAGAAUUUCGUCCAUGUUGUAACUUAUAUAACCGUCUCUAAGUGAUUUAACAAAAGCUAUGUAUGCUAACCCAUUUCAUUCUUGGGCUAGCAAAAAAAGCAUAAAUUGUGAUUUGUUUAUUCUAGGAAAUUAACUAAAUUCAAGAGAGGGAGAGAUUUUAUUCAAAUUUGGGAUUAUGAGAGACUACUGUAAUUAUAUGAUAGUUGCAUGAGCACAUUUAAAUUACCAUAUUGCCAUUGUCAACAGAAUGUGGACAGUAUUCCUACUUUUUGUUUUGUUUCCCGUAAUUCCAAUAGCCUCCUCGUCUUGGAGUCGUUGACAUUAGUAUAUAGAUUUCUUUACUAACUUUUUUGACUUUAUUCAUUUUUCCCUUUCGCGCAACUUAAGACAGAAUCACCAAUUUCAUGAAGUUGUAAUUUUCAUCUUGGCACCCAUCUAUAUUUACAUCUUAGAAAUUCAUGAUUAACUCAUUCACCAAUUUCGUGAGUGAAUAUCGCAGGUUGCAUUUCCUAACUUGGAGACAUUAUAUAUCACUAACUUGAAUAAUAUCGAGAUGAUAUGGGACAAUCAAGUUGUUGCAGAAUCUUUCACCAAGCUCAAGUCACUUUGCGUGGAUGAAUGCAAUAAGCUUGUGAACAUUGUUCAUUCUUUCAUUCUAAGACGGCUCUUGAGCCUAGAAAGAUUGAAUGUAAAAGCAUGUGGUUCACUUGAAGUUGUUUUUGAAUUUUGGCCACUGAAACAUCUAGAUGGACAUCCUAUUGCUCUUCCAUUAAAAAAGCUGACAACAUCAGCAUUAUCAAAGCUAAAGCGUGUAUGGGAUAAGGAACUCCACUGUCAAGCUAAAUUCCAAUGUCUACAUUCAAUUAGUGUUUCUAAAUGUGAGAGCCUCACCUCUCUGUUUCCAACUUCAAUAGCCAAAGAUCUCAUGCAACUUGAGGAGUUAAAGAUCAAUGAAUGUGGCAUUGCGGAAAUCAUCGAGAAUGAAGAAGGACCAAUUCCCAAGUUUGUAUUCCCCAUGUUAACCUCCCUCGAUCUUAUGUUUCUAAGAAAGUUGAAGUGCCUCUACACUGGAUUACAUACUUCCCAUUGGCCGGCAUUGAAGAGCUUGAACGUGCAUGGAUGUGACAAAGUGGAGAUACUUGCAUCGCACCUUGAGAAUGAGAUGCCACUUGAUAAACAGCCUCUCUUCUUGAUAGAAAAGGUAUGACCCAAGAUUACUUCUUUUGCUUUGAUGGUGAAUAUUUGAAGUGAUGAUUAAGGUCACAACCAAGCAUCUCAUACAAGUAGCUCUACAUAGAAGAUAGACACUAUACGACUCACCUUCAAUCUAUGAAAAUAUUUCAACAUCGAAACAUCACAUGUUCUUCAAGUGCUAAUUGAACAUUCUUGUUAGAUGUAUCCAAUGCAUUUUUGUUGGUCCACUUUUAAUAAAGGUUUAGGCUAAUUCCAAUAGUUUAGCUCUCUCCUAAGUGCCAUGAAGAUGAAAACAUGUGGCACAUGUUGUGAUCUUAGCAGGGUACAAAUGUGUUGUCCAACUUGAAUCCUUUAAAGAUUACUAAUGUUUUGCUAAAAACAGAAAGAUGUGACAUUAUUGUUGACAUUAAUCACUGAAGUUGGUGCAACUAUAAUUGAUGCACAAGUUAUUUUACAAGGGAUUUAUCUUUAGAAUCAUGAAUGUAAGGCGUAACUUAAGCUCAAAUAUGGAUACAAGUUGAAUAUAAAAGUAAUUCAUAAUGUUUAUUUGAUGUAGGCACAUUUCUUUUUAUUGAAUCACAAGAGACUCAACAUUUCAUAAAUGUAAUUAUUGCGCACAACAUGCAGGACUUAUAUUAUAAUACAUGAAUGCUAUUUUAACCAAUCUGGCUUUAAAUUCCGAUUUGACUAUGUUCUCAGGACGCAUUCCCUAAUCUCCAAGAGUUAAAAUUGGACUUAUCAGAACGGAUGGAGAUAUGGCAUGGGCAUUUUCCUGAUGGAGAAUUCUUCAACAAGCUUAGAUUUCUUAAGUUGCGUCAUCUCUCCCAGGAGUCUUCAAUAUCAACAUGUCGUUUCGUUGAGAGUUUAACCAAUUUGGAUGAGCUAAUUGUAUGUGAAUCUUACCUAGAAGACCUAAACAGCAAUGAGGAAGCCAUAGAAGGCACAAGUCAUGAGCUAAAAGUAAUAUUACCUUUUCCAAGAUAUAUUCGACAUCUACAGACUCUAGAUGUGUCACAUUGUGACGGGUUAUCAAAACUGUUCACACCGACAAUUGCUAAAAAUUUGGUGGCACUCACAAAAUUGAAGAUAAGUAAUUGUAGAAUAUUGACAGAAGUCAUUAAUGAUGAGAAAGGUGGGGAGGGGCAUGUGGUGGCUUUCAAUCGAUUGAAGUAUAUGGAACUUGAUGGGUUGACAAGGUUGAGGAGUUUCAGCUCAAGUGGAUACACUUUGAUGUUCCCGCUCUUGGAAGAUAUCAUCGUGACUAGGUGUCCCAACAUGAAGUUUUUCUCUCAAGGACCAAUAGAGACAUCAAAGUUAAAGAGAGUUCAAGUAACAAAGGAAAAGUGGUUUUGGGCAGGAAACCUCAACAUCACCAUCCAAAAUAUGUUUGAAGAAAUGGUAUGCACUAGUUACCAAAUUCCAUGUAUUUGGAUGGUUUUGACCACUAACUUAAUAAUCACUUUUUGCUAGCUAGAAGUUUACGCUUAACAUUGCAUUUUUUUUUUUUGACAGGGCACGUUUGUUGGAGUAGAGAAAAUGCUGCUAUCUGACUUCCCCUGGCUGAUUGGAAAAUGGCACAGCGAACUUAAUCCCAUCAAGUCGUAUUGGCAAUUAAAAUCAAUGGUGGUAGAUAAAUGUUCAUCAUUUGUUAAUGCUAUUCCAUCCAGAUUGAUGCUUGUCCUAGACAAUCUAGACUAUUUGCAAGUGCGCGACUGCAAGUUGCUUGAAGAAAUAUUUGAUUUAGAAGGGCUGGAGGUUGUGGAAAGCACUCGAAUACUACCUCAGCUACAGAAAUUGGACUUAGUCAAUCUACCAAAAUUAGGGCGACUGUGGAACAGAGAUCUUCAAGAAUCAAUAUGUUUCGAUUCUCUAGAUACUCUCAUCCUUUACAAUUGCAGUAACUUGGGACAUGCUUUUACUUCAUCAAUGGCUCAGUGCCUUGCCAAUCUUUGUUUGAUGGAAAUAAAGGAGUGUGGUCAAAUGGAAGAAGUGAUCGUAGAGGAAGAAGGGCAGAGAAGCGCAGUGGAAAAGAUUACAUUCCCGAAGCUCUUGAUGAUGAAAUUGGAAUGGUUGCCCAAUUUGACUUGUUUCCUUUCAGGAAAAAAUCAUAUGCUAGAAUGCCCUGAAUUAGAAGUGAUGAUAAUUGCCCAUUGCCCUAAGAUGGAAAGUUUGAUUAGGCAAUCUCAUAUGGAGGAUGACCACGGCACCCCUUCAUUUUUCACUUCCCAGGUCAGUCUUUCAAACAAAUACGUCUUUGGUGUUUCAUUUUUCACUUCCCAAGUCGCCCCUUCAUAUUUAUUUGUGUGGAAGCAAACUAGCGUCGUUCUAUUAAACAUGAAUAAAAGGGAAAAAAAAAACUUUAUAGUCGUAAAAGCCAAUUUCACAAAUUGCUUAACUAUUAUAGCUCAUUAUACCAUAAUUAGUGGAGCCAACUUUUUUAUUUCUUAAUAUUCACCGAUGCUUGAGCUAAGUCUUGAUAAAAGGAAAAAAAAGGUCAAUAUGCCUGAAGUGGUUAGCCUUCCUUGUUCGUAAAUCAUAUUUGAAUUGCUAUGCUCCAACAACCUAUCAAAUUAUGCACCUAUAUUGUACAAUAAAUAUUAAUUUUGGAUUAUUAUAUUGAGUGAUAAUUAGUGUGAUACCGUGCACAAUCUAUAUUUGGCAAAAGAAAAUGCAUAUUACUUUUUCCAGAAAAAAGAAACGGCUAAAAAAAGGAAAAAAAAUGAAAGAGAAAAAAUGACAGCUGGAUAAUCCAAGGGCGGUUGCCAACAUUGCAAGUCUUAUUUCAAAACUAGAUGACAAUAUUUAGUCAAUGUCCUAGCUAAAAUAAAUUUUUUAAAAAUCGGAAUAAAUUAUCCAACCAACAACACCACCCAAGGGAAAAUAUUAGGUGCAUUAAAUACACUGCCUAGGAUUCGUAUUGAAUCAUCCGCAGACUGACACGUGACAAUGCCGGACCCACUUGUCAGUUGAACCGUUAAAAUUUUUGCUCCCCCUUUCUCUUCAAUAACGGCCCAUCACUUGAAAGCACUACUCUCCUCUUCCUGGUAUGGCUCUGCUCCCUCUCUCUCUUUCCUCUGCGAAGGUGCAUCUCUAUACUUGAACCACACCACCACCUUGGCCUCCAUCAAUUGCUGUGCGCUCACCGGACAGGAAAAAAAACAGAAAAAGGAAAAAAUUAGACAAAGUCUAUUUGGGGUUUUAGACUUCUCCCCCCUUAAGAAUUGUUCUCUCUCAGCCAUUUCAGUUCACCUUGAUCUUCCUUUUUGCAACGAGGAAAAGAAAAAAGUGAACCAAAUCUACAGAGUCAAGUAAUAGUAACUCUUCUUUCUUCCCCUCGCCCCCCUUCCUCUACUUUCUUUCUUUGGGCCGAUUGAUUGGGUGGUCCGUCCAGUGGUUGAAUCGGAAGCUUCGGAAUCGCUUCUCUGAAGCUCGCCUCCUCUCUGCACGCGUGCAUGCGUGGGUUCCGAGCGAUUACGCGAACUGGAGCUUGUUGGUUAUGGUGGAUCGAGGUGGAUCUCCGAUGCGGAAGCGAUUUCAGCGUCGAUUCGGUCGGGGCGUUGAUUCCGGCGAAGAAAAAUUAAAAAAAAUCUUCUCUUCAGCCCUCUCUUCCUCCUCCUUCGUCCACAGCUGCCCGACCUUCGCUCCUCCUCCGCCGUCGCCAACGGCGAAGUCACCAGCGCCUUAAUUAGGCUGACCCUUGCUAUGUCCAAGCCGAGCAUGGCCGUCUUCCUCUGUUUUGUCCGCCUCAUCGUUCUACAGAUCUUGAAAUCUAGCCGUCCAUAGCGACGGAGUUGCAGAUCUGGAAAUCGACCACCGUCGCUCGUAGCCAUGGACGAGCCGCUGUCGCUGUAGCCAUGGUUGCAGAUCUGGAAGUCCCGUCGCGAGUAAUGACGGCUUAUGGACUACCAUUGUCCCCUUCGUCGACGCCCACGGUCGGCUCGUGGUCGGCCCCAUCCAUGGCCGAGCCACCCCUCCAUCGUCACAACUGCUUGUGGUCGUUGCCCGUCCUGAUCUGGACUGGAGUUGUGCCUCCAGAUCUGGUUUCGUCCAUGGACGCAAGCCUAGCUCGUCCAUGGCUAGCGAGGAGGCUCCCCCAAAGAUCUAGCGACCACUGCUUGUCCAUGGCCAUGAGCCUUGACGGCGAGUUUGAGAUCUUGACGGCUAUGGAUUGCGAGAUCAAACGAAAGAAAAAACAGAGAAACAGAUGUCAGGGAAGAAUGGCCAUGGAUGAGAGGCCGGAGCUUGAACGCAGCCAUGGACGAGCGGCGUCAUGAACGGGCAGACCACAAAGACAACGGAGAGGGUUGGACGCCAAGCAAUAGUCGCCUUGGACGCGGCGCCGGGAACUCCGCCGGUGGCGACGGCGGAGGGAGGCGGGAAGGUUGGGCUCAAUGUGGAUGGAGAUGGAGAUGGAGAAGGAAAGUGAGGUGGAUUGAGAUUUUUAAUAUUUAGUCAAUGUCCUGGCUACAUAAAAAAUUAAAAAUAAUAGGAAUUGAUCAUCCAGUCAACACUUUCAUUCCGUCUCAUGAAGUUCUCCUCAUGUGAAGACUAAACGCAAUAAAUGACAACCUCCUCCGCCACUUCUCUUUUUUGGGUCGAAUCCUCAGGCACUUGAAAAUGCGCGAUAUCGACCCAAAUUUGAUUGUUUUGACCUUUUUUUUUUAUUACAGAUUCCAUGCAAGUUUUGUUUUGUUUUUUUUUUUCCUGUCGGAGGAAUUUUUUUUUUUUUUACUCAAAAUUCUGCGCAAUUCUUUCUAUUGUUUUAUGUGAGUAGAAUGUUUAAUUAUAACAAGUAUCUACACAUUUGUUUACUUUUUAAUUGUAAGAAUUAUCACUAAUUAUUUAUUUAUACUGUCAUUUGCAUGUAUAAGUUAUAUUUUAAUACCAAGCCCCGCAUUCUAAGAAUAUUUCAAAAAGUCAUUAUAACACUCAAUCAACAAUACUAAUAAAUUUGGGAAAGUAUGAAAAUAGUCAUCUAAUCUUUUGGUAGUGAUAAGUUGUAAUAGCGUUAAUUUCAUUUUAAUAUCAAAUAUGAGCUGUCAUAUACUAAUUGAUAGAUUUAAGGAAGUGUGGAAAGUCAAAUCUUUUUUUUUUUUUUGGUGACAGGUCAUAAUUGCAUUAAUUAUAUUGUAACCAAAUGAAAAAUAUCAAUACUUACUUUUCAAUGAAUAAUUCAUUGGAGGUCAUGAUGUAGUAAAAAAAAAAAUCUUGAUUUUCUCCGUACAAACAAAAUGCGAUCAGCGGGUGCACACCCACUUUUUGUCAAGGGGUGGAUCACUCGGUACACUGCAAGGUUCUAUUUUAUUUUUCCACCUCAAAUUUGAAUAAAUAUUAUUUCAAGGAUGUUAUUAAUGGUCCAAUGUAAAACUAGUAAAUUGACCCAACUUGUUUUUGCUGAGAUCAUAACAUUAUGUUAUUUAUUCAAGUCGUUAUGUUGCCCAUGCCUAUUAAGAAAUUAUUUUCUUUCAAUACAAAAAUUUUCCAUGCAUAAAAAAGAAAAAGGUUGUGAACAAUUGAAGUUAUUAUAUAUUUUUUUUUUAUAUCCGGUUCGCCAUAUAAAUUUCAUGACUCUUCUCUGCAGUGAAUUGUAUUAAUUUGAAGAUUCAUAAGUACUGUUCGCAAUUUAGUAUGAAUAAUUAGCAGUGCUCAUGGUAAAUAGAGGAAAUAAUGUUGAGCCAAGCAUUAGUUUCAUCCAUUCCUUAUUCAAUACAUACACUGCUUAAGUUCUUCGCACCCACUAUUCAUAUCAUUAGUUGACUAGCUCAUCAUCACCAUGCCCUUGCUUUUUCUCUAGUUGUUAUGCAUGUUCACCUUGAAGCAAACAAAUCUAAAACAUAACCGAUCUUUGCCAACUAACAUAACGGAAAUUUUCAGCUUGUAUCACUGAAUCUAAAUGUUGCUAUUUUCAAUAGUUCUAUCGGACUGCCUAGCAAGCUCCCUAAACCUUUUGCCAGUCUUCGUGCUUAUUCAUUACAAAAAUACAACUUGUCAUGCCUCCAUGGAACCAACAUUGUUUUGCGGGAUUCAUAUUUUGUUCUUCUUCGUCUUUGUCCUCAUUUAAUUGCAUAGAGAAACAGUUGAGUGAGCUAUCAUUGAUGUUUAGUCAACGGCUCCAUUCAUGCAUUAGCAUAAAUAGGAGGUCUCUCAUUUCUCUCUCUUUCAAUUUUGCAUUGUAGGUUUUCUUAUGCUUUAGAUGCUCUUGCAUCCAACUGGAAAUAACGCCUCUCUCUCUCCCUGUGAUUUUGACAUAAGAGCUAUUAUAAAAAAAAAAUAAAAAAUGAGGACUUAGGAGGAGGGGGAUUAGGAUGAAGUUGAAAGGUACAGAACCAGUCUUAGCAACCAUUUGAAUGAACCCAAGUUCCAUGUGCAUAAGGUCUAUCAGCCUAAUUCCCGGACUUUUAAGUUAUCGCUAUGAUUUGCCGAGUAAUUAAGAAAAGUCAACAUUGUCUGGUCACUCCAAAAUCUUAUAAAUGCAUUUAUAAUUUCAUGUUUGUUGCAAUGCAUUAUCUCUAGCCUUAGUCUUAAAUCAACUUGUAUAAAUGCAUCAAUCAACCCCUCUCUAUUUAUGUCACUAAUGAGAUCUUGACUUCUCAUGAGUUGUGAGAAUGAGGGAAGUCUGGAAAUUUCUUCUUUAAAGUCAUAACUCAAUGCAAUCACAUUCAUUGUGUCAUUUUUUUUUCUCAAUAUGGCAGGUACAAUUUCCUCAACUUAUGUGGAUGGAUCUUUCCCACAUGGGCAAUUUAAGCAAAAUAUGGACUGACGGUCCUCUAGAAACUCAGACUUUUGAUUGCUUACGGGUAGUGAAGGUUCUUAGUUGUAAGAGCCUUGAAAAUUUGUUUCCAUAUUGGGUGGCUACAAGUUUAACCCAACUUGGAAAACUUCAAGUGGAGUGUUGUGAGAUUGAGGAAAUAGUCGCUAGUGGGGAUGACACUCCAUGCUCCAAUACUACUCAAGAUCUUUUCCCAAAACUAACCUCUCUGGUGUUACAUGACAUGCCACGACUCAAGAGCUUUUGUCCUAACUUGCCUUUGAAUUUGCCAUUAUUGAAGGCAUUACGAGUGACUCAUUGUGAAAAACUGAGCAUGUUAUCCUUUGUGGCAUCCAUGAACAGAUGGGCUCAAAGAGAUGAUCAACAAGACCUUUCAGAUCAAGAAGCACACUCUUCAUUUGAGAGGGUAUGAUUAUAGUUGCUCUCCCUUAGUUUCUACUUUGUUCUUUAAAGCAGUCACUAAUAUCAUAUUCAUUGCAUAUCAUGUCGCGUUAUGAUGUUAUAGAAAACAUGAUCUCCCCUACCUAUUAGUUUGUCGACAACAUUAAGAUAUUUCUAAUAUCUUACGUACACUUCCAUUUGUGGACAUGCAUAAGAUAUUCCAUUACCUGGAGUUACAAAAAAAAUUACAGUAUUCUAUUGAUAACAUAAUAUAUUCCUAAUCUAACCUAAUGGUGCUCUUGGGCGACAUCAAUAAGGAUUUGCCAAGAGGUCCUCUCCAUUAUUGACACGUGUUGCACACUUGAACUUUUCUUCUCUAUUUCAUUUUCUACAAACUCUAAAAAAAUCAAUUCAAACAAUUUUUUUUAUAACAAAAAUAACAUUAGUACCUUAGUGCACUAUUUUCUACUGUAUUUUUUAAUACACUAGUCGUCGUGUUAUCCUGUUAUAAUACUAUAGAAAACUAGAAUCCCUUUCCUAUAAGUUUGCAGACAACAUAAGAUAUUUCUUAUAUCUUAAGCAUACUUCUGAAUUUAUGGACCCCAUAUGUUUUAGUGACAUCUUGAGUGCAUCCCGUUACAUAAGAUUCCAAAGAAGAUAAAUUUUUGUCAACAAGAUAAGAUAUUCCUUACAAAAGAUGAAUUUAGUGAGUGCAGGGAUCUUGAAUUUAGAUUCACUCUAUCCACUUGACCAGACCAACCUCUACAUGAGACUUUUAAAAGCUUGAGUCUUGAACACAAGGUUCUUGAGAUAUAAUGAACUUUAAGAAUAUGACCACCUUCCAUGCGAAUCAUCUUAAUAGGUUUACCUUUUACAGCACAUGAUUUAUUGUCGAAACUUUGUUGAAUUUACUUCUCUUGUUGUAUUGGCAAUUCGACAGGACUUUCCCAACUUGGAGAGACUUUUAUUAGUCGAUAACAAUAUUCAGAUGAUACAAGAUGGAAAUUUUUCGGAUGACAUGUUUAGCAAGCUAAAAGCACUAACACUAGCAUGCUUUCAUGAUAAAAAGGCCGCAUUUCCUUCCAUAUUCCUCCUAGAGAGAUUUCAGAAUUUACAAAGCCUUGAAGUCUUCUGCAGCUCCUUGGAAGAUUUAUUCCCGAAUGAAGGGCUUGUUGAAGAAAGGAAACAUCUGGUGCUUGAAAAUUUAAGAGAACUUAAGUUGAACAAGCUACACAACUUAGAGUGUGUGUGGAGAGAAGACUCUUUAGUGUCGAAAAUUCUUCAGAGCAUCAAAACAUUUGAGGUUUGGGAUUGUCCCAGUUUGACAACAAUAUUUCCAACCGAGACAUCCUUCCAGAAUCUGACAAAUUUACUGGUGAAGAAUUGCUCUGGAUUGGAACAUCUAGUAACGACUUCAGUAGUCACAAAUUUGGUACAUCUCACUUAUAUGGCUAUAAUAGGAUGUGAAAGAAUGAAAGAAGUAGUGGCCAACGAUGGAAAUAGAGAAGGAAAAGUGAUUUCUUUUGAAAAGCUAAGUGCGUUGACACUUGAACAUCUGCCAAACUUAGAAUGCUUCUCUUCCAUCCCAAGUUGCAUCUUUAGGUUCCCAUUCUUAUGGUAUAUUAAAGUAGAAGAGUGUCCAAAAAUGAAGAACUUUUCUAAGGGUACACUAAGUACGCCAGAACUAGAUGAUGUGUCACUGUUCAGAUACAAGUGGGAAGGGAAUUGGGAGAAGGGUGAUGAUCUCAAUACAACCAUACAUAAGUUAGCAGCAUAAAUCAAUGCACAUAGAAUUGGUAAGAUCCAAUUGAUCUCAUUCUCUCAUCCAUUUUUUUUUUCCUUUAGUCUUUCGGCAGCGCCGCAACUUUUUAAAAUUUUUCUUUUUGUGACUUUUCUAUUAUUGAUUUCGUCAAAUCAACAUCACCGUCAACCCUAUCGAUGGAUCUCGGCUCAUCCUUAACUGAACAGUAGGAAGCAAAGCGGGUCUCUCCUUCUCCUUCUCCUUCUUGACGCCAAAGGCUCUUUCUCCAUCUUUCUUCUUCUUCUUCCUCCGUGGAGCGAAACUGGGGGAAGCCUCUGCUGCCUUCACAAAGGACGGAGCAAAAAUGAAGCAUCAGGAAUUGCCAGGACUGCGAGAAGCGAAGCUGCAAUUAGCGGAGCGGAGCCAAGUAGAUUCAACCAGACGCUGUCGUUGUCGCCGUCAUCACCGCCGGAGGUGGCACAACCGAGUCUGGACAGUCAGUCGUCCACUCACUUCAUCAAAGAAGAAGAAGAUCACACUCUCUCUCCGCAUCUGUAUCCGACAAAUCGUAAGUUCAUGUUUCUUCCGAUUUUGGUGUAUUAUUGUGCGUGAAUUAGGGCUCUCUUCUUCAAAUUCGUUCCACAUUCGAGUCUAAAAACAGGAGUUACUCAAACAAGCAAUAUAUUGCCCUUAAAUCUACAUCUUCUGUGCUUCCCUCCCGAGCAUUGGCGAGAUUUCUGCGUGUUUGACCUCUCAUAGAUGGAGAUGAUAUAUUGUGUUCAAUGUCUCAUGUUGAAAUUUCUUUGGGUAGAGAUAUCUCUGUAACAUUGGGUACAAAUUCUAUCAGGAAAAAGGGAGAAAUCAUGGAACUUGAAAAUAUUCCGAGAAUUUUAUGCGUUGUCAAAAAUCUGAAAAGUCACUUUUACGCCUUGAUCGUAAUAUAGUCUGGACUGUCUGAGAAAUCACUUGUAAUCUUGAUUGGUUAAGUGAUGCUGGAAGGAUAAAAUUUAUCUCCAAUUUAUGCUAAAAUCUUCUCAUAGCAAGUCAAACUAAUGAAGUGUACUUAAAACUGUCUCUAAAGUUGUCGUUUUUUAAGUACAGGCAGGUCCAAACAUUCAAGCAGAUUGAGGCAUCCUGAGCUGGUUUAUUAUGGUCCCAUUCACCCAAGGCCUCUCACUGCUCUUACAUCGGCCAACAAAUUUCAAACGGCGCAUCCCUUUUUCAAAGGUUGUGAUGAGGCCCUCUUAUGUUUAGUUUGGCUUGGUAUGAUCCCACGCUUCGCAUGUCUGAAAAUCAAACAUAUGGAUGCUGUUUACAUCUUUGCUUAUACUAUAUUUUAUAACCAAGUUGACUUAAUGUAGUAAACCACAUGACAUGUUAUUUUCCUUGAACUGUUCAUGGGUAUAUGCUUAAAACCAGGUAUAUAUCUUAACAAUGAAGUAGUUGAAGUGGGGAAAAGAAUGAAAGGACAGUUAUUAGGACAUUAGCUGGUGGUCGAGGUUCGAAAAGCAGACAGUUGUCUCCUUUUAUGUGGAUAGAUGUUUUGGAAAGCAAUUGUUGAGGCAAGUGUCAAGAAUUAGAAUCCAAGUACUCUUAUAUGGAGAAAUUUGACAAUGAUAUUUAAUGUUGUAAAAGUAGAAUAUGUAUGUAAAUCACACAAGGAGACUAGUUGAUACGCACAAGCAUAUUGCAAAGAAUGUUGCUCCCCCUGUGACUAAAGGGAAAGACCUGAAAGAUAAAGGGUUGGCUAGUUAUGAUUCUGAAGUUUCAUUGUAGAUCUUGAUGACUCAUAAUAUUAAUGUCAAACAGGAGAUAAUGUUUUAUUCUGUUACAUUAAUAAGAUAUUUGAGAAAAAAAGAUGAGUUUACUUUGUCAAAUUGAAUUAGUAGUUUGAUAAAAUUUGAGCUGCAGUUGAAAGAAUGGAACAGCUUAGAUUAAAUUUUCACUUCCAUCAAUGUUCUGGUCAUUGAUGUCUUUGCCUUUUCCCCUGCACUUGUGGUCUAUGUGGCUGAAAUUCAUGGUCUCAAAUAUAUAUAUAGGACAGGGAAGGCUUUUUCUGGUUAUGUACCCUAUUGCACUCCAGGAGCAUAUAUCUUGACACUUGACUUUGGGUUGCAAGUUGAGAUUGUUUACUAGCAUUAUAUGGUUUAUUGUCAAUUGAAACUACUGAAACUAGCAACUACCACCUUAAAUUCAUGCUGUGUGAUUAGAUUCUCUCAUUAGUGUAUGCUUAUGUUUUGGUCUUUCUUCACCAUAAUUUGGUUGCAAAUGGGGACACUGCUCCUGUUCAAUUCAUCAGGCAACAUAAUCAGGAAAACAAGAAAAUUGCAACUCUUAGAAUAUUCAGACAUGUCGUGGACAUUUAAAGCUCAGGAGCCGUGGAUGUGGACGGGGGGCUUUUUUUUUUUCUGCUGGUUGGCCCACAUUUGCUAGAGAAGCUCAUCUGCAUGUGCUAGAUGUUGUGUGUUUGAGCUCAUUAAUGGGGAAGAUGUGUGUUCAAAGUCUACAUUUCCACUAGAGCUGGUAAGGACUUGGUUUACAUUGAUUGAAAUGAACUCUGGAAGUGUCACUUUGGCUCAUCCGAAAUAAAUCCUGUAUUCAUAGUUAUAUCUCCUUUGGUUAGCCUUGGUGAAUCAAUGAAGUAUACUUCUUCCAUUCCCAUUGUGUUUGUGAGGUUUGCAAUAAUCCAGAUGCUCACUCAUUAAUGUAGCAUCCCAAAUCUAAAUGAACCUAAAAAGAUGGGAUUCAAGAUUAGAGCGAAAGUUAAAACCUGAAAUGCUCAUCAUGAGAAUUCAGAGGUGUGACUUGUUGGUUUCUAAGUUAUGCUUAUGUGUACAACCUCACAUUAUUUUCCUUAGUCUCUCUCCAAACUUGUGAAAUUCUCCUAAUAAUCUUUUUGUAUAUUGAUUUGGUGGCAUUAUGAUUUAGGAGUUGCUAAGUGUAGUAAUCAGUUGUGUCUAACAUGAAGAACAUGUAGACGUUAGUACCAUGAUCACAGGGACUGAUGUGUAGAUCAUUGUAACUCAAUACAAGGUUGACAGUCGUACCUAUGAGAAUUCUCCUUUUUCUUUUGUGCAUAUCGAACCAAACAGUCUAAAUGUCAAGUAGCCCUCCUGAGCAAGUUUUGCAUGGUUCCACAUGUCCGUGGCCUCCCAUUGCUCUUGGAAAAACUAGAGAAUUUGAAUUGGAGGAUCCACUUUUGAAAUUGGUGAUGUGGCCACUUUUAUUAAGAAGAGAACUGCAGUAAGGGCCUAUGUCCUUUCAUAAUUGGCAUAUCUCAACCAUGAUGCCAUCUACAUCUUGCCCUAUAGUCUAAUGUUUUCACAUGUUGUUUUGGUUUUUACUGUAGAUGUUAUUUUCUUUGAAAUGUUUAUGGUUUUAUGAGUAAAAUUGGGGCAGUUUUGAUUUUGAAUUUUUAUUUAUUUAUUAUGGAUUCAGAAGAUUACAGAUUCUUAAAUAAUAGAUUGUACUUUCUCAUUAAUCAGGUCUAAAGAAGAUUGCUUUUAUUCAUAGAGUAAGAGGAUUGGUGGACAUGAUCAGUGUUAGCAACUCCUGAAGCGUUACCAUGACGAUUCAAAAAUUGUGUACAUUAUUGUAGAGUCUAUGAGCACUGUAUUGAGACACUUUAACUUCAAACUGCAGGUUGGAAUUGAAGACUUCUAUCAGCCAGUUAACACUGUUAAUAGAAUUUCCUGAAACUAGUAAAUACUAGCGUAUAUUAACAUUUUGUUUGCCUUUUCUCUCUAUUGUUUGUUUGUAUUUAAUCUUUUCCUCAUCAUGCUACAUUGGCAGAGUGUUCCUUGUGAAUUCAUAAAGAAGUACAUUCAGAAGAACCAGCAAAUCACUACUCUUAGGUAUCUGAACAAAUCACGGCUGGUGCAGCUCAAGACCUAUCAACACCAUUAUCCAACAUCUCUGUGGUUGCCUCAUGUUGGUGAGUGAAGCUUAUAAAGGGAUGUCUGCAUGCUUGAGCUCUCAUUGAUAUGGACGAUUUUCUGGUCAAAAUCUCCAUCGCCAAUUAUGCUUGUAAGGACCUCAUUUAGGUUGAUUGAGGUGAACAUUGGAAGCGUCACUUGAGGCUGUAUAUUAGUGAAGCAAUUUCUACCUCAUAUAUUCAGUUGCAACAAAUCAAUUGAAAGUGAACUUGCUUUUGGCUUUGCUUCUCUUUCUUGACCUACUUACAAUCUUAUCAGAAUUCUCUUUUUUCUUUUGUCUAGGUCAGAAUAGAUAAGUCAUGAAUGUCCAGUGAGCCCUCCUGAGCAAGUUUUUUCAUGAUUCCAAGUGUCCAAGGCCCCUCACUGCCCUUAAGGAAGCUAGAGAAUUCAAAUGGGAGUAUCCCUUUUUCAAACAAUGAUGUGGCCAUCUUUUCUUAAGAAAGAAGUGGCGGUAAGGCCCAAAUCUCCAUUCAUAAUUGGCAUAUCUCAAUUAGGCAUGCCACCUAUUCUAUAUAUAUGCGCCCCACCAUGCAAUUUUUUCCCACUUUAAAUUGGUUUUUAUAGAAACACAGGAUUAUGUUAUCUUCCUCAAAGUGAUCAUGGCUAUAUUUUUUAAACAGGCAUCUUAACAACCGAGUAAAGGGACUAGGGAAAAACAAUGAGUCGGGACAGUAAUCAGGAAAUAACCCAGUGACAGGUGGGUGCAGAGACAAGAUCAGAGGCUUGACAAAGGCAAUAACAACCAUAAGUUAGGAAUUUAAUGGUUUUUGAUUGAAGUAUAAAUUCCUCCCAAAGAUGACUACUUAGUACUUUCUCUUGCUUCCUAGGCUGGGGAAUAAGAGGCGACACGAAAUGUCCAGCUUAAGCCAUAGCUACUGCAACAGGCCUAGGCUUGGCAUGACUGAGUUCACUGCAAUAGCAUGGCAACACUAGUCGGGUGUUGCUCCCUAGCAACAAAUGGUUUACAAGAGCUACUAUUGCAAGCAGGUUCAAACUUGUGGUCGGAAAUGAAGGGAAGGUAGUGCGGCCUAGACCUCAAAAAUUAGUGCCACCAACUCGAUAGUAUAAAAAGAAGAAAAGAAGAUCACUUCUUUUUGGCCAGGCAGAAGAAGAUCACUUACUUUUUGUGUAUAUGUGUCCAUUUAGGACCCGAUGUGCAGCUUUUCAUGUUUGCUCGAUGCAUAUCACAAUGCAAGAUUGGUGACUCAGAUAUUCACCAAAUUCAACAUGUCUCUAUAUUGAUUACAUGUAUUUAAUGUAGAGUCUAAGAGCACAGGAUUAUGAUAUUCUGAUUUCAGAUUGCAAGUUGUGAUUCAAGGCCAUUUCAUCAAGCCUUUUAGACUGCUAAUAUGGACUUUGGAAACUAACAACUACUAGCAUAGAUGUACGUCUUGUUUGCCUUUUCGCUUUGGUGUAUGCUUACAUUCCUAUGUCUUAUCAUAUAGUGGCUGGUCAAAUGUCUUCAUGGCCAGAGCGUUCCUUAUAAAUUCAUAAAUACAUGCAUUCAAGAAAACCAGCAAAUUGUGGUUCUUGGGUACUCGGACACAUUGUGGCCGGUGACCAUCAGGACCUAUUGAUGCUGUAGCGAACUUCUGUGAUGGUUGGUCCAAGUUUGUGAGCCAAACUUGUCUUGAGUGAAGGGGAUGUCUGCGUGUUUGAGCUCAAUGAGAGGGACGAUGUUUAGGUUGAACUGGGAUUUACAUUGGAAGCCACUUUAGGCCUUAUACUAGUUGAAAGCAAUUUCUGCCAUUAUUCUAUUGUGAUGAAACGAGAUAAAAGUGCACUUAUAUUUGUAACCGUGCUCUUUUUUUUUUUUUGGUUACGAUCUUAUCAUUUCUAGGCCUGCACACAUUUCCUACUUUGGGUAUCUCUGUUGAGCUUGUCGCGCUUUUAUCAUUGCCUUUUUGGAAAGGAUCUCUGGUUCAGCACUCGCCUUGGUUCUAGGUUACUGAACUUGGUCUUUGUAUUACAAAAGAAAGUCAAAAGUGACCUGUUUUAGUUCUAGAAGGGAUAUGGAAAUUUAUACAACAUACCAUCACUCAUGGUCACCUGAUAGUUUUCAAAUAUGGGAGAGACAGACUCUAUACUCAUGUAAUUAUAUUUGAUAAAAGUGCUUAUAUAGAUACAUUAUCUCCAAGCAGUGAUGAAAUUGAAAACCCAGAGAGUGAAUUCCAUAUAAAUCUUGCCCUAUGGUCCAUUGUUUUCCCAAAUUGUUGUGGUUAUUCAUCGGAAUCACAUGGAUGUUAUUUUCCCUUAAGUGUUAAUGGCUAUAUGUGUAAAAUUUUGGUUUUGAAAUUUCAUUUUGUUAAUUUAUGGAUUCAUAAGAUUACCAAUUUUAAAACAAAAGAUUGUAUUUUUUUUUUAAUACUAAUCAGGGGUAAAGAACAUCACUAUUAUUCAUAGGCUAAGAGGAUGUGGUUCAAAAUAGUGUACACUACUGUAGGGUCUAUGAGCACUGUCCUAAGACAUUUUGACUUUAGAUUGCUGGUUGAGGAUCAGUUAAGACUAUUGAUUGACUAUUGAUUGAAACUCCUGAAGCUAAUAAAUACAAGCAUUUACUUACAUUUUGUUUGCCUUUUCUCUUUAUUGUUCGUUUGUAUUUAUUCUUUUCCUCGUCAUAUAUUGGUUCACAAAUAUCUACCUCGGCAAGAGUGUUCCUUUCGAAUUUAUAAAGAGAUACAUUUAUAAGAACCAGCAAAUUGUGACUUAAGUAUUUAGACAAAUCACGGUUGGUCCAGCUCAAGACAUCUGUUAUUCGGCAAACCUCUCUAGUGGUUGGCCCACGUUUGUGAGCUAUGUAACACCGACACGCAACACGCGAUACGACACGACACGACACGCCUACACAUCAUUUCUUAAAAAUAGAGAAUUUCGACACGUUCCGACAUGUUAUAUAUUAAAUAUAUUUUUAUAUAUAAAUAUAAAUAAUAAUAAUAAUAAUAAUAAUAAUAAUAAUAAUAAUAAUAAUAAUAAUAAUAAUAAUAGUAAUAGUAGUAAUAAUAAUAAUAAUAAUAAUAAUAAUAAUAAUAAUAAUAAUAAUAAUAAUAAUAAUAAUAAUAAUAGCCUAGAAUUAAUUUACAAGAAAAACAUUAAAUAAUAUCAUUCAUUAUUUUAAUUUGUUACAAUAAUACAUAAAACUUAGAGAAAAAAACAUUGUUUAAAGAAAAAUGCUGAAAUGAUAUUUUUAAAUGUAUUUAUUUAUCAUAUAGAGCAUUUUUUUUAUUACUUCUUUCACAGUAAAAGACUUUUAAAAAAAACUAAAACAAUUAUAAAAAAACAAAAUUGAAAAAAAAAAAUUGAUCCCGUGCGUGUAUAUUUAUAGCAAUUUCAUUACUUCUUUUAUUACUUAUUUUGUGUAUAUUUAUAUUUUGACCUCUCAAGUAUUAGAAAUUUUUAAAAUUGACCCCGUGCGUGUCGGAAUCGCGUGUCGGAAUUCUGGACUUGCGUGUCGGAGCGUGUCGGAGAGAGUUGACCACGUGUCGGAUUUUUCGACACUCAUUAACUGCGUGUCGGAGCUUGUCGGGACGUGUCGGAGCGUGUCAGACACGACACGAAGGCUUCCAGAAAGUGUCCGUGCUACAUAGUUUGUGAGAGAAGAUAGUCUGAAUGAAGGGGUUUCCUUGUGUUUGAACUCUUUGAUAGUGACAAUUUUAUGUUCAAAGUCUCCAUCUCAAUGCUGCUAGUAAGAACCUCACUUACUUUUGGAUUUGCCUCUCCUAUUUGAUCCAGUUACAGUCUUUACCAGGAUCAUCUUUUUCUUUUGGGCAGGUCAAGAAAAACAGUGUAAAUGUCCAAGAAGCCUUCCUGCGCAACAUUUUCAUGGUUCCAAGUGCCCAAGGCCUCUCACUGCUCGUGAGAAAGCUAGGGAAUUCAAAUUGAAGUAUCCUUUUUUUGACUACUUGGUGCUUUCUACGGCUGCCUAAGCUUGGGAAGAAGAGGUGACGCAAUAUGUCUAGCUUAAAUACUGCAUCAUGCCUAGGCUUGGCAUGAUUGAGCUCAUUGCAACAGCAACACCAGUCGGAUACUGUUCCCUUUGCAACAACUGUUUCAACUAGGCUAAGGCAUUCGUUAAAGUGACCAUAAAAAAGCAAACUGUUGGGUGAAGCUCCCCGGUGAGCAUGUAACUUGAAAUUAAAACGAAUUCCCAUGGGUCCCAUAUGAUCUCUCGAGGUUUUGAUUGUUCUGGGUGUAGUGAUCUAAUAGUCAUUCAAGCACGAAAUUCUUACAACCGAUCUAAUCCUCUUUGAGUAUGGAAAAUCAUUCAAAUAAACCUAACCUUUGUUUCAUAUGUGGUUCCCAAAAUAUCUUGGGAAGAAUUUUAGCAUCAAGGAUAAAUGCACUAACUUUGGUAUCAAUAAUUGCGAUGACCUGGAUAGGCAUAUUGUACUUAGUGGGUAUGAUAUGUAUGGGUAGAUAUGAAUAUAGUUCAUUUGAGUAUUUUCUUCGAAAGUACACUUUUCUCAACUUUUAUGAGUAUCACAAAAUUUAAGUGUAAGUUCAUUCUCUCAUCUUAUUCUUUCAUGAAUUUUUACUUUUGCAUUGAUCUUCACGAGAGCAAUCACUUUAAUAGAAGAAUGAGAUAUUAAAUCUAGUGGGCGAAUUGUUUUUAAUUAAACUUGGAAUGUGAAAUUUGUUUUUUAUAACCCCUCUCGAUUGCCUAGUGACUCCAAACCACUCUACGAGACUUCCCCAAAUGUAUAAUAUCCAAUAAUGAAAUAAAGACAAAGAAAUUGACGAAAUAAUUGGCUUCUCGCAUAAAAAUAUGCAGAGUAAAUAAAAAAUAAAUAUGAUGAAAUUAUAAACUCUCACAUUUUCUAAAUAGUGAAAUUUGUCAUGCUUUCGAUAAAAAAAAAAAAAAACAAAAGUUUGUCAUGCAAUUCAAGUUACGAAAGCGCAUUGCUCUUCAGAAAAGCUUCUAAACUUACAUAUAUUCUGAUAAUUUGAUGAGAACAAUAUACCCUUUUUUUGUUAUCAAGGAGUAGAAAAGGAAAAGAAAAGACAAGAAAGCAAGAGAAUAAAAAUAAAAAGAAAUUACUCUUUGCCAUGCCAAAUCUAACCUAAUGGUGAACAAGGGUCAACACGAUACAACCUCUCUUAUAUAACCACAAGAUUCUCAUAUGCUCUCCUCUAUUCAUUACUUGUCAACAUUUGCGGACUUGAUACAGUAUAUCGGAUCCUUUUCCCUAAAGAUGGACUUGCGGUGUCAUCAAAAUAUGAAGGAAUCAAUCAAUCACUCAAUGCAUUCAUAUUGCUCUUAUCUAAUUCUACAGUCAAAAAGCUAAAAUUGUGCACCGAGCAUGCACAACUCUUUAAUUUGACCACAAGCGAAAUCCAUGCAAGUAGUGCAAUCUGAUUGUGCCAGCCUGAUGGCACACGCUCUUGGACCGAAGCAUUUGGCAUUGCCGUAUGAAGCACUGAUGUAGUAGUUGAAUCCUCGGGUUGCAGUGUUGGACCUCAAAUCGGUCAUGACUUGAUCCAAAGCUUGUGCAUAAUCGUCUGAAUACUGCAUACCGUUGUAUAUCUUGUAGGUAAGUGUCAUGUCCGGGUCACUUUUUAUGAGACUUGGACCCUAUAGAAGCCCCAUGAACAUAAGUGGGAGUGUAUGUGAUGUGGACAAGGCCAUCCUAGCGCCCUUUUUCCUCCCUUUCGGCUCUCUUUGGUUUCCUAUAGAGAAAUACAAAAUUGCGUUUGGCUAUGAAAAGGGUUCGUCUCCGUAAGGCACCCUGUCAUUUAUUCGUUGUUCGUAGGCAAAGUCAGCCCCAAUUUUAGUCAUUUAUAAUGUCACAUGGAUUGUUUUUUUGACAACUUCCACAACUGUUUCUAUGUAUUAUUCACCCAUUAGUGUAUUAUGUUGUUGCCGUCUUUGCAAAUCCUAAUCUCAUAAUCUUCUCCCUCUCUCUCUCACUAUGCAUUAAAAAUUUAAAAUUAGGAUUCUCCAAGUUUACAAAAUAAAUUCACAUUAUCAUAAAUGACCCACUUCACUUAUUUUUGUCCUCUUUCUCCUCUUACUUUGCACACGUGUCUGCCUCACAUACGAAUCUUGAAUAUAUUUAUGUAUGUAAUGCUGUAAACUUUAGGUCAUGUAAUUAUUGGAGUUCAUGAUAGUUAUAUAGCCCAAAUAACAUCAUACUUCUGCUGCUGCUAAUACUACUACUCGAAGUGUAUCAAAAAAGGAAAUAGAAAAGGAAGAGCGAAAACUGGAUCGAACCACCCAUACUGGCCUGAUAGUUUUGGGCUCAAAUAGUUGGGCAGGCCCACUAGGCCCGAUCAUAGAUCAUAUGGUAUACAUAUAUAUGGCCUCUUUAUGUCAAUUCCCUUUCACACCUGUUGAAGGCUUGACUUCUCUCAUUCUCCCGUCUCUCACACUGGUCGAGAUCCAGCUACCGUCGUCCCACCAUCAUCAAGCCCCAUUUAUGCAGCCAUCACGCCCCACCACUCACCAUAUCUCCUCCCUCCAAUAUUUCCCACUCACUCUCUCAUUCCCUCUUACGCUUGCUUGCGUCUUGGUCUUCCUUAUGCUCCCUCACUCUCUAGCGGUAGAGAACAGGUUCUUACAAGCCUGUUUUGAUGUCUUAAGGCUUUUGAUUUUCGUACAUGCUAUUUGAAAAUUUUAUUUUAAAUUUUUAAAUGAUAGAUAGUCCCUCUUUAAAAAGAUGCAAUUACCUUUUUAUUAUUUUUGUUUCACAAUUUAUUAGUUACAAUUAGAUCGUGGAGAGCAGUGGAGAGGGCCAUAAUUGACGAUUUUCAUUUUUUAAGUACAAAAUGACAAAAAUCGCCCCUGAAUUCGUUUAAAAUUUUAUUGGAGUUAUUAUGAUAAUUGGACUUUUGAGGUAAUUUAGAUUGAGAGACAUAAGAUGAACCUCCCCCUUAAAGAAUUUACAAAUUUGUUUACGUUUUUACAAAUCAUACUCUUUGAUAUCCUCAUAUUUAAAUAAGAAUUUAUGUAAAAUAGCUGACUAGUGUUAGCACAAAAUAUGAUCCCUCAUCGAGCUAAUCGAGUUGGGAAAAUUAUUACUUACACCCGGUGCAUACUCUAUUCAUGAAUUGUUUGAGCUUGGGUUGAUGAUUUUUCGAGAACUAAUAUCUAGUCAAACUCUAACUUGAGCUACUCAAGUAUCUUACAAAUUGAAAGCUCGAGUUCGCCAAUAUUCAGUUUGAUAAAUUUUGUAAACAUACUUUCAAAAUUUUGAUUGUUACGUAAUUAUACAUAGACAUCCUCAUCCAACACACAAGUAUAUCUAGUGUAUCGACUUUUCGUUCGAAUCAAGCUCCAACAUAAGGAUGAAGUUAAUACUUGGUCAAGCUCAAAUCAAACAUUGAGUAAGGAGGUGAGCCGAUUUCAAGUUUGACACUGUAGCAGCUUGAUUAGAGACCUCUAAGCCCCAACUGUGUUGACAUCCAAUUCGAUUGAUAGAAGUCGACGUGUCUGUUAAUGGAAUUGAGAAUUCUGACAUGCAAAAUUCGAGUGCAAGGUUAUUACCGAGAAAUCUCAUUACUCAAGUGUAGUCAUGAUCUUCAUCACGCAAGUUUUAGCCCCCCAAUAAUUUUCAGUCCCUAUAUUAACCGAUAGCUCAUAUGAUAAAGGUAAGUGAAUACUAAUAAAUGUUGGAAAUCUUCAAAAGUCACAUUUCCUAAGUCCUAGCUAUAAACUCAUAGGGACGUAGCUUGGCUUUGAAAAUCCUUGCUGUAACUUUUCUCCGACAUAAUAGCACCCUAGUUCUAUGUAUUUGGUAUGUUUACUAAAAAAUGGGCCUUUACCACAAUUUUUUUUGCCAAAAAUAUACUUUCAAUUUCGAAUAACUAUUUGACAAUGAAAAAAUUCCUCAACCCAUGAUAAAUUUUUAAUACCAAACAUCCUCUUUUCUAUUUUUGCAUAAAUUAAAUCGGAGUUUACAUACAGAUAUCUUCGACAAUUUCAACUUUUUUGGAUUAAUAGGGAAAUCACUAGUCUACGUCAUGUCAUUCCCUUUUCCAAUAUGUACUCUCUAUUGUUUAAAGAAAAGUUUCACCUUUUAUCUUCCUUAACUUAAAUUUUUAAGAAAUAAUUUUUCAAACUUCCUAGGUUUAUAAUUGAAAAUUUUACCUAAUUUUAUCUCCAUUUAUCAAUAUAUCAUCAGCAUAAAUUAAAAAAUAACCAUAAAUGAAUUUUCUCUCCUCAAAGUAAACAGGGCAUAAUUUAAAAAAUCAACAAUUGUUAACAUCUGAGAAAUUAAAAGGGGAUGAUGAAGAAGAAGGAGAAGAUCCGUUAGGUUUUCCAGUUCUUGUGUUUCCAGCUUUCGGUCACUCUCUGCUUCUUCUCGAUUUCACUCUCUCUCCCCUCGAGCCAAGCUGCACCGCCGUAUCGCGGCCUCCGACCACCGUCGUCGCCGUCGCCGUAUCAUCCACGCCGCCAGGCCACCUUGGCGUUCGGCAGCAGCGCCGCCCCUCUCUCUGCCUCCUCCAAAACACCCUCCCCGAAACCCUAGCUCCCUCGCUUCGGUUCUCCGGGAUUGCUCGAAGAUGGACGAGGACCAGGAGAUGGAGAGGUUCGGGAUGGACAACGAUUACGACGACGGGCAGUGGAUCGACGGGGAGUUCUACUACCGGCGCCAAAGGAGAAGCGCGCCCAGACCAAGGACGACGUGCUCUACGGCGUCUUCGCGUCGGGGGACUCCGAUUCGGACUACGACGACUCCUCCAAGAGGAAGCGGAGGAAGAACAGGGACCUCCAUGGUAAGGCCGAUCUGUCGAAGCCCAUGAAUUUCGUGUCCACCGGCAUGGUCAUGCCGAACAGAGAGAUUGAUGAGAACUCGAAGACGGAGAAUGAGGAUGACGAGUCCGCUGACGUGGAUGAGGAUAGGCCGGGCUUGGGGAUGGUGCUGGGGUGGGUUUGGGGUUCAAGAAGCGAGACGAUGGUUUUGAUGAGAACGGCGAGGAGAAGGAUGGUUUCUUGCCGACGGCAUUUGGGCGGAAGAUCAAAGAGGGAGCGGAGAGGAGGAGAGAGCAAUCGAAAUUGGAGAAGAAAGCGGAGAGGAGGAGAGAGCAAUCGAAAUUGGAGAAGAAAGCGCAACAAGGUAAGAGGGGUUCUUAUGAAUCGGGAAACGUAUCAGCAGGGGGGAUUGUGACACCCAUUGAAGCAAAGUUGCGUCCUAAGAAUAUGGGUAUGGGUUUCAACGACUACAAAAGAAAUUAGAAUAUGGGUAUGGGUUUCAACGACUACAAAAGAAAUUCCUGCAAAGGCGCCUGUUGCCUCGUUGGAGCCAGAGGAAAAGAAGCCAUCACCUGAUGUGCCCGGUCAGGAGAAGCUUUGGUCUAAGCAAGUGAAGAAGGCGAUGCUGAAAAACAAAGCAAAAUAUAUUACAUCAGAAGAGCUGUUGGCGAAGAAGUAGGAUCAGGGUGUUGAAGUUGUGCAAGAGGUACUCGACAUGCGUGGACCUCUAAGGUUAGGGUGCUAGCUAACUUGGAGAAUCUGAACGUGGAAGAGAAGGCGAGGGAGAGCGAUGUUCCUAUGCCCAAGCUCCGGCAUGAUGUAAGGUCGAUUGUGGACCUGGCUGAGUUGGAUAUUCAGUAGAUCAUUACGGACCUGAGGAAUGAGAAGGAGAAGUUGCAAGCUGAGGCAGAACACCAGAAGAAACAACUAAAUUACGUGGAGAUAAUGAAUACACUAGACCGGAUUGAGGAGCAAAAGUCGAUGGGAACAUUGACGUUAGACUCGCUAGCCAAGUCUUUUGGUGACAUGCUAAGAAGGUUUCCUGAUGAUUAUAAACUUUGCAACUUAUCCUGCAUUGCUUGCUCAUUUGCACUCCCUCUGUUUAUCAGAGUAUUUCAGGGAUGGGAUCCUCUUCGGAAUCCCUCACAUGGGUUGGAAGUUGUUUCACGGUGGAAAUCUCUAUUGCAAGGACAGGAAUGUCUUGAUAUAUGGGAUUUGAGAUCCCCCUGAUACCCAGUUGGUUACAGAAUUUGUCUUGCCUGCUGUGUGAAUAUCAGGCAUUGACACUUGGGAGGCAGGGAAUCCGAAGCCAAUGCUUCGAUUUCUUGAAGAUUUUGUGAUCAGUCUUCUCGCAUGUGGGCGCAAAUUCAAGUUUGUCAGUUUCUUCUCAAGUGAAGAGCAUUUGGAAUUCAUUUAUUUCUGUUUUCAUAUUAACUGAAUGUUGAUAUUAAUGACAAAAGCAAGUAUGCUGGCAUCUUUGCGUCGCUGUGGCAUGACUCUUCUGCAGUCUCUCUCUCUCUCUCUCUCUCGACAAACACAGCAGCCGAGCCUCCGGCAGUGGCUUUUCGUCUUAGAAUCAGCAACAUCCCGGCGCUCUUGAACUCGAACUUGCUCUCCCCGCUGGAUAAAGCUCGCUGAUUUUCUCUUUCUAUCUCUCUUCCUUGCUAGAGCUCGAUACCUCCUCCAAAGUGCAAUCAACGGCAAUGGAAAAUUGGGAGAUGGCGAGAGGAUGGGAGAAAAUAAAAGCAAAACGGAAAUCAAACAGACGAAAUUUGGAAUGAAUUGAAGACAAUUCUAGAGUUCAAUCGGAGAUGGAACGUCCCGGUAUUUGUUGACUGUUGAUUGAGGAAACUCCGUGGUCAAGUUCCGCUGCCACGGCAGCGAGGCGAGCGGCAUCUUCAAACCGGUAGCGACGCUUUUUGUGCUUCGAUCAGCGCUGGAAGCGACAAUCGUCAGAGAGCUCAGUCUCGAUGAAUCGUUGGUGGGUACUCCUUUCGCGGUUGGAUUCUCUCUCUCCAGAUUUUCUCCGACCAGAUGUUCUUUUGCAUCUUUUCUCUCUCUCGAUUUGGAUUCUCCAUAUUCAUCUCUACCAAUUCAGAUCUAUCUCGGUUCAGAUUCCUACAGUGAACGACACCAUCAGAUUCCACAUUUUGAGUCGUGGCCACACUAAUUCCACUCUGAUUCUUGUCGUCGCUUUCCUGUCCUUGCACAUGUCUGGACCAGAUCUAUAUGUGGCCGGGCCAUCUCGAGCUCAUGCUGCCAUCGCCGCCAAACCAUCAUCAAGGGUGUUUCAUAUCCAAUUGAACUUCCGAGUUAAAAUUUUGAUUCACUCCAAAAUAUGUUCUGUCGAUUCUUGCUGCUUUCUGUUCGCUCCCACUUCAUCGCCAUCUUUCAAAUUCCUUUGUUUUGCCCAUCUACGCCUCGCCCAAAGGGAAUGCGGGUUGGUGUUCACUGCUCAAAAGAGCUUUAUCCGAUUGCUAAGGCUGAGGUUGGAUGGAUCAUCAUCAUCUGGACAGGAUCUGCCGAUUCGAAGGAUGAGAUUCUUCGGGUUCACUCCCGGCACUCCUGCCGGUCCGAGGUCGUUUCAUCAACCAACCGCAACAGAGGGCAAUCUGAGUCAUCAAAAUCAUCCGAAAAGAUACGCCAAGCAUGAAGAUUGGCGGUGGUGAGCACGGAGAGAAAACAAGGAAGAAUAAAAAGUCGCGAAGCGAAGCGACGCAGUGGAUGGAGAUGAUUCGGAUUUUGCGUGGGGACUGGGGAAAACGGGGCAAACAAGGUGAAGCCGGCGGUGGUUCUUUGGAUGAGAAGGAAGUAAAGUGUUGAAAUUUUAUAAAUAAAUAAAAAAGAAAUAAAAGACGAAAGGAAAAUAUAGAGAGCCCAUAAGAAAUCGGUCAAAAGGAAGACUUGCACGAAAAAUGAAAUUCGUCAUUAUAUCGAGCACCUUCAUUGCAAACUCGAUCCCUCCUCCACAGUGCAAUCGACAGCAAAGGGAAUUCGGAAGACGGCGAGAUAAUUGGAGAAAAACGAAAUGAAAUAGAUAUCGAUAGACGUAGUCAUUAUGUAUCGAAAUUAAUUCUAGAGUCGAAUCGGAGAUGAAAUUACCUGGUGGUGAGUACGAAUAUUGACCUGACAGAUAUCAUCAUUGUCCGAAUGUCAGCGAGGAACCGGCUUUCCGUGGAUAUUUCUUAUGGGUCGAUCUUCCUACCUCCGCUUUUUGUUACAGAAUCGUCUCACUCUCUAUUUCUCUUUGGGGCAACUCAACGAACACCUUCCCUAUGUCCAUCGUCAUUUUUCAGCAAGUCUUCCUCCAUCAGGGUCGUUUCCUAUCCGAUUGAACUUCCGAGUCCAAUUUCGAUUCAUUCCAGUAUACGUUCUGUCGAUUCUUGCUUUCCUUCAUCUCCGCCUUUCGGAUUCCAAAUGCCGUUGCUCGCGUCCUUCGUUUCGUCUCUCUAUGCCGCACACAAUGGGGAUGUCUGGCUGGUAGAUAGGAUCUGCCGAUUCGAAGGAUGAGAUUCUUUGGGUUCACUCUCGGCCCUCCCGCCGCUUCAAGAAGCAGCAAGACUUGCACAAAAGAUGGAAUUCUUGAGAGGAAGAUUCAUCCCAUAACUCAGCCAUCAUUUUCUUUUUCUUUUCCUUAGAAAAAGGCAUCAAAAACUCCAAACGACGCCAUCAAGGACGCCCAUUGCAUCUCUUCGCUUCAAGUACCUUUAUUGGAUCUCUCCCUCCAUCCCGACGCGCUCCCCGGCUCAGUGAGUUCCGAGUCGCUCCACCAUCACCCUCGCUAUCUACUCGCCUCGUGAUCGAUUCCGUCGCUCGCUGUCUUUAGAAACUUCGGUGAUCCUCUCUCUCUCUCUCUCUCUCUCUCUUUUCCUGUCCUUCUUCCGGUUCGAAUCAUGCAUUCGUUUUGUGGAUUCUUAGGUGUUUUGACUGUGGAUUCUUAGGUGUUUUGACGGAGGUUUGAAUCUGGUGUCCUUGAGUGAUUUUUAAUGCUAUUGUCGUUUUGCUCAUCAAUGGAGUUCAUGUCGGAUUUUUUUUUUUCUUUUUUCCUUGUUUCGGACCGUGAAUCCGAGACCACUUGGAAACGAGCGAUGAUUGAACUGAAAACGUCCUGAGAAAUCGCCGCAGUGAGCGAAAGUUGUGCAGAGUUAAGCUCGGUCGAACAGUGGUUCGGUUUUCCUCAAUUUUUUGGCAUUAUAUAGUCACUUCUGGAUUCAGUUGUGGUGCGAGGGUGACUCGCUAGCCGUUCCUGAUCGGUCCUUCGGUUAACGCUUUUCUCUGUAUCGAUUUCCGAGCGGCUUGGGACUUGGAGAUGGGAGUAGCACCGAUGAGUUAUAACAUGGAAGAGGGGACGCUGGAGAUCGGCAUGGGUGAGCUUUCGGCCCUCUCCGCUUUCCAAAAUUUUUUUUUUUUGGAGCUACGGACAAUAAAAAUCUGCUGGGAUGCUUAAACCUCGUAAUUAAGUUUUGUCUGUAUUGUGGGGAGUAGCUUUGUCUCCUUGUUCGUGGCUUAUUAUGUCUUUCGCCAUCUAAAUUUCACCGUGCUUGGAAUCAGAACUUUAGUCAUAGGAUAUUGUUGUUUUCUAGGCUUUCCAUAUAGCUUUCUCGUUUCUGAAAAGUUUAUGCUGCCCCUGUUAUGACAACGGUUAAUACAUUUAUUACUUAGAUCUACACAAUCUCUAUCAUUUCAUAUAUAUUGGCUGAGAGGUGAGGAAUGAUUUAGCUCUUGUCCGAGUCAAAUGUUUAGCAUGCCUUAGUCGCUGGGUCUUAGUUAUCAGUUGUUCAGACAAUUGCUUUGCUGCUUGCAGAGGAUAGGACCGUCUCUGGUGUUGCUGGGCCGUUGGUUACACUCGACAAAGUCAAGGUAAAUUUCACUGGUUUUAAUUUUAUGAGGUUCAGUGGACUCCUAUACUAACAUGUUGGCUUAAUUUUAUUGUAUAUCAGGGACCAAAGUAUCAAGAGAUAGUAAAUAUCCGCUUGGGUGAUGGAACGACUAGACGUGGGCAAGUCCUUGAAGUUGAUGGAGAGAAAGUUGCUGUGCAGGUUCAGUCUCAGUUGCCAGCCUCUUCUUUUUUCCUUUAGCUCUCUUGAUACUGCAUUUUUGUUGUUUGGACUACAAUACUUGGGUCAACUUUGCGUGCAAUACUUUUCAGCUGAUGACCCAGUGAAUUCUCUGUCAUUCAUUGCAAGCAUUAGAAAAAGCAGAACAUGAAGAGUAUUAUCUUAGGUAUAUGUGAUGAAAUGUGAGAACACCAUAUGGGAUGAUAAUUGAAAUGUGAUUGAAUUUCUUGAGAACAAUGUUAAGAGUCUAAUUAGCAUUCCGUUUAGUCAAUUAUAGAUCCUCUCUGCUCUCGAGUGAUGGAAGUCUAGUCAUGUUGUGGGUUAUUUUGGCUCUGCAAAAGGCUAAUAAUCUUUCCUAUAUGUCUCUAAUUGUUGUCAAACUUCUGUAGGUUCUGUUAUUCACUAGUUUCUCUGUCAAUAAAAUUUAGAUAUGAGUAUUCUACUCAUGCUUGUGUGAUCGGUGGUUGUUCAUCUUAGACUUCCAGUACGUAAAGCUUUCUGGUCAUCCAUGUUUCACUCUCUUGUUGCUAGGUUUAUGAAGGUACUUCUGGGAUUGAAAACAAAUACACCACUGUGCAAUUCAUUGGCGAAGUAAUUAUGCAUGCUGUUUGUUUUUGUUUUCCUAAUAAAACAAUGUUUCAUCAUUCUGUAGAAAGAAAGAGUUAGAUUUGUUUUUUUCCAUAUUUGGGAACUAAAUGCUCCUACAUGUUGGCAACAAGAUUUCACUUGUACCAUGAGAAAUAAUUUGGCAUAUGUCUUGGCCUUGGCCUCAUGAAAGGCUGUCAAAAGUGCAUUGUUUUCCUACCUUUACAAAUCUCUUCAGCUGUGUCAGCAUUUACUCUCUUUAAUCUUGGAUAAAUAAAAGAACCUUUAGAAAUUUAUUGUGGAGUUAUCACAUUUUUCUUUUAAUGCAGGUUCUGAAAACACUUGUGUCCUUGGAUACGCUUGGGUUCAUAUUUAAUGGUUCUAGAAAGCCCAUUGAUAAUGGCUCUCCAAUUCUGCCAGAGACUGACCAAAAAAAAUAAAUUCUGCCAGAGGCUUACCUGGAUAUUUCUGGUGAGUUGUCAUUGUGAUAGUAAUUUUGAUUGGCCAUGAAUCCAUUUAUACUCCAUGGCACCUAUGACAAUCCCAAGAACUUUCUUGCGGUGUCUUAUAUAAUAGAUAAACUUCCUCUUUUUUAGGAAGUUCUAUAAAUCCCAGCGAAAGAACCUACCUGGAAGAGAUGAUACAAACAGAAAUUUCCUCCAUUGAUGUAACGAAUUCCAUAGCUCGUGGACAAAAGAUCCCACCUUUCUUUACUGCUGGUCUUCCUCAUAACAAAAUAGCUACUCUGAUUUCCGCUAGGCUAGUCUUGUGAAGCGAUUGGAGAAGGCUGAUGGUAUUACCAAGAUAUAUGUUGCAUCUUUGUUGUAUACCAAUGUUAUAAUACCCUGCUCUAUGAGUUUUAUUGCCUCGAUAAUUUAAGGAACUACCAUUAGUUUUACAGAAUUUUCCUACGGUUUUGGAGUGCAGGUUCAGAAUUCACCUACACUGUAUUUUAUCCUUUGACUAACUAGCUCCACUAUUAUAUGCUAGACUCCUCAAUUGCUAAAUGCAUUCUUUGUGAAAAAAAUUUAUUUUAUUUUAUUUGUUGAUUUUUUGAGAAUUCGAUGUUAUGAGUCUUCAUCUUUCUAUUCCAAACACUCUCUUUCAAUAUCAUUUAUGAAAAUGUGCUGCAAAUUUAUGUAGGAUGACGAAGAGGACAAUUUUGCCAACAAUGUUGCCAUAGUAUUUGCUGCUAUGGGAGUGUACAUGGAAACUGCACAAUAUCUCAAACGUGACUUGGAGGAAAAUGGAUCAAUGGAGAGAGUGGUCCUUUUUCCUUAAUCUGGUAAUAUCUAAUGAGCUAAUAGUUAAUUGUCUCGCAGAUUGUUUCUUUCUGGCAAUUUUUGCAAGUUCGUAGAUUCUGUUCGUGACAUAUAUCCUUGCUGAUUAAAGGGUUGUACGGAUGCCUGUAUUUCAUUUUACGAAGUUUGCUAUUUUCUUUAGGCCAAUGAUCCAACUGUUGAAUGCAUCAUCACUCCAUGAGUGGCGGUCACAACUGCUGAAUAUCUGGCUUAAGAAUGUGACACAUCUAUAGUGAUUUUUUAUUUUAUUUUAUUUUUAUUUUUUUGUGAUGUCAGAAUCUCAAAAUUAUAUACAAUAUGGAUGAGGAUAGGCGGGGCUUGGGGGUCUUGGGAAGAACCAGCAGGGGAUUGUGACACCCAUCGAAGCAAAGUUGUGUCCUAAGAAUAUGGGUAUGGGUUUCAACGACUACCAAAGAAACCCCUGCAAAGGCGCCUGCUGCCUCGUUGGAGCUAGAGGAAAAGAAGCCAUCACCUGAUGUGCCUGGUAAGGAGAAGCUUUUGUCUAAGCAAGCGAACAAGACGAUGCUGAAAAACAAAGCGAAACACAUUACAGCAGAAGAGCUGUUGGCGAAGAAGCAGGAACAGGGUGUUGAAGUUGUGCAAAACGUACAUAACAUGAGUGGACCUCAGGUUAGGGUAUUAGCAAGCCUGGAGAAUUUGAACGUGGAAGAGAAGGUGAGGGAGAGUGAUGUUCCUAUGUGCGAGCUCCAGCACAAUAUAAGGUCGAUUAUGGACCUAGUUGAGUUGGAUAUUCAGAAGAUCGAUAGGGACCUGAGGAAUGAGAAGGAGAAAGCUCUGAGCUUGCAAGAGGAAAACAGAAGCUGCAAGCUGAGGCAGAACUCCAGAAGAAACAACUGAAUAAUCUAGCAACUAAAUUGUGCACAUGGAACAGCGGAAGCACAAUCACGGUAGAGUCUGAUUCCGUUAGUUUGUACCCCACCUGAUGAUGCCAAAUUGCACUGAGUUAGCAGCAUGCGAUUGGGGAGGGGUGACCCAUAGUGUCGGAGGUGUGCGAGAACAUAGCUACAUCCGAGGGAUCAUUGACAACUGUGGACAUCGAGUCGAGGCUCGGCUCGGCUCGGCUCUACGUCGGUCGAAGAGAGUGAUUUUGGUAUCGGCAGAGUGAAGAUUGGCGGUUAGGUGGGGGAUGUUGAGCUUGGAAGUAGCGGAUUGAGCCCGUCGGUUUCCUUCUUGCAGUGUCAAUAGGAGCUUCGGUUCUGAGUCGGGAAAGGUAGAACUCGAGCACCUUAGCUGUGUAGAAGGGAUUGAGCGGAGCUGCGGUGGCUCAGCAAUGGAUUACCGCUGGAAACAGGAUCACAAACUGCAAAACGAACACAUUUUCCAAUAAGAAAACUAUCACACCAGUCCCUGCGGAUUGUCAACGUUUAAUUUCAUUAAAACCAUCCAUCUCCUUUUGAGAAACGUUGACUUUGUUUUACGAUGAAUCGGUGCUUGUACGUCCCAGAAAACAACCCUUGGACCCGACAGAAAAUUCUCUUCAUGCUUUCCCCAUUUCAAUUUGUUCCUGUUCAAUUUGCACCACGCGCUCGCAGAAAUUUCAUGCCUCAGAUGCAAUUUUUUUUCAGUAGAAAUCGAUGCCAUUUCCGUCUAUCUGUUCUCGUAGUACUGUAAAACUCCAAGAAACAUCUACCUCUUUCUUUUCCAAGCUAUUUCCCAGUCCAUGUUUCGCAAGUCAUUGAUCUCAUCAUUAGAAAUUCAUCGUCGCCGCAAUCUUCCAGAUAUUGUGUUCUCGAAUUUAAACGGCAUCAUCCGUACUCACGAACAGACCGAGAUGACACAGACAUACCUUGAUGUUGUUGAGGAAAGUGAGCGUGACGGUGUCGGUGUGAGGCAGUGAUGAGCGCGGUGGUGCGGUUGACAAGCUCUUGCAGCUGCAUGUGCGUUAGGUCGAGCUCCUCGCAGGGGGAGACGGCUCUCUUGUUGGGGAAAUCCGACGUUGCCUUCUUCAAUAGGUCCGUGAGCGUAAGUUCUCCCAUCACUAACCACAGGGAACGAAUCGACGGGAAUUGGCUUCAGCCGAAAUCGAUCCCCUAGCUCUUGCAGCUGCAUGUGCGUUAGGUCGAGCUCCUCGCAGGGGGAGACGGCUCUCUUGUUGGGGAAAUCCGACGUUGCCUUCUUCAAUAGGUCCGUGAGCGUAAGUUCUCCCAUCACUAACCACAGGGAACGAAUCGACGGGAAUUGGCUUCAGCCGAAAUCGAUCCCCUAUCGAACUGAAGAGGGGCACGACAAUCGCUUGGCAAGAUGAGAAUGAAGGAUCGACAAGAAUAGGAAUUCGCACGAAGGAGAAUGGGGGAAACUGGAGCGUUCGAUGACGGAGGAGGAGGAGGAGGAGGAGGGAGGAGGGUUGCGUAUGCAUAUGGGAUGGAGAUGAGACCAGAGGGAGGGAGGGAAGUUGGCACCAUUGAGGUGGCUCGUUUAAGGUGGCGACUGAGACUUAACGGAUCAAAGGCUGGAACUAGUCUCACUAAUGUCUUUGCGAGAAAAUAUUCAAUAAACUAAUGAUAGCCACGUCAUCAAUACAUUUGUCGAUUCAGUGGAUGACAAAUGGCACUAUGGGGCCUGCUCUAUCAGCAAGUCUGCAAGUCCAUUCUGGACGACAAAACAAAUGUCGUCCAAAUUUGAGAUAAGAAAUGAAAACCACAGCAUCAGAAAAGGUCAUCGCCAAAGGAUUAAAAUCCAUUCCAAGUUUGGGGCAAUGGCGAUUCUGACGCUCUAUUCUUUGCAUGCGCACAUGCAGAUCUCGCGCUCCUUUACAACAGAUUACACAUUCAAAACUCGAUUCUGUUCAUACAGAACACUUUUAACUCAAACCAGAGAGAUCAGCAUGCCAUGAGACAGCAAUUUUCAGGUCAUUAUUCGAGCAUACGAGACGAGAAUCAUAACACCAUUUGACAAAUGAGCAUCCUAUUCCGACAAAGUCGGCCAUAAUAAGGCUUCGAUAAGUUGAGAACAAAUCUAAGUUAUGUAAUAUGAUUUUGUGGUUCGAGGAUUGAAUCGAAUUUACAUACUGAUCUAGUUCGAGCAUUUCACCGAACACCUGAUACGCAUUUUGAUCAAGGAGUUCAUACGCAAAUACAAACCGACGAUUUACUUUCAGAUCCUCACAACAACAGUACGAGUCCGAGUUUUUAAUUGAGCUUCAAUCUCAACUGAUUUACUCACAAACAUUAUUACCUAAAGCUCACGGGCUCUGUUUCGUUCAUAAGCGACAGAAAUAGAGUGUGUGGAAUUUAGCUUGAUGACAUUUAAGUUUUUGACCUCGGACUAUGAUAAUAUCACUAACAAAGCUCCUGGUGGUGUCGACGUCGAUGAUCGGGGCCGGCAAAAGCAGAACAACCAAGGUUCGUGAACUUGCGAGCGUCCUGACCAGAAAACAGAGCAGAACAAGAGUUGGCCUUGCUACAGUGAAAACGGCGAUAGGAGCAACUACGGUGGCAGCUAACACUGUCUGGAGGAUGACGGAGAAGGAGAACCGAUGAAGAAGCCUCUAGAAUUCCUGAGAAAGAGAAUUGCUUCGUCAGCUUCAGCGUAUGCGUUCUGUUGUGUUAUCGCUGAACUUGUGGCGGCCGUCCAUGGUGGUCGACGGUGGCUGUUUUGGUGAUUGGAGACGGCAACGAUAGAUUUCUGGUGUCGAUUAGCAAGAGAAAUUGUCUAGGCCAAGGCUUAAUCUGAUGGGCUUGGUGUGAUCUGGGCUACGCUUGUGCAUCAGGCCCAACAGAUCGACCAGGCCCUUUCAAUUUUGAGUUGGAGCUCCUUUUUUAUUUCUUUUUUUAUUUAUCUUUACAAAAAGCAUAUUCAACUUGCCGGCAAAGGAAUAACUGCACAUUCUGAUAUUUGGACGCAUGAUAGUUUCUUCGUUCACCGCCGAACCAUAUAUUUUCGUUCAUAGGCUCAUCGACAUUUAGUUGAAUAUCCUUGUGCGCCUGGACUUUCUUCAUUCCCGUGACCGGCACUUGAUCUUUUUCUACUCUUACCCCCAUGAAUUGAGAUAAACACUGAAAGCAUCGCUUUAUGCCUCAUAUUAGUUCAAACCAAUAUGCCACAUGUCAUUUUGUCUUUGUUCUCUUUUUAGAGCUAGUUGCAAUCUUAUCAUUUUUAGAUUUUCAGUAAAUCUAAUAAGUUGCUGUGAUGUUAUGAAUUGCUGUGAUCGCUCUUGUGACUCUGCCAUUGAAGAAUGCAAUUCUACUCUUGAAAGUUCGAGAUUGUGAAUCCGUUCUCCAAACAUACGUCAAGCCAAGCCCAUGAUUGAUAGCCAUGAAACUCAAGUGCAAGCUCAUUCUUGAUGAUGAUCUUGAAUAAUUGCACCUAUUGCAUCAAGACCGUCAACCGCAAUUUAUGUUAAAACAUAUCUGUAAACUUGAGGUUAUUUGUCUUAUCUCGACUAAUUGGGUGAUUGCGACAAUUAUCACUUUUAGAAUACAAACCAAUAAUUCACUUUCAGAUCAUCAUGACAAUAACAGUACAGGUCCGAGUUGUUAAUCGAGUUUCAACGGCAAUUGAUUUAGUAACAAACAUUAGUAGUUGAAGCUCACCGGCUCUGUUUCAUUCAUAAGCGGCAGAAACAGAGUGUGUGGAAUUUACCUUGAUUAGAGUGAAUUUUUGACCUCGGUCAGUGACCAAAUCAGAGAAAAAGUUCCCGAAGGCAAUGACAUCGAUGAUCGAGGUCAGUGAAGGGGGAACGACCAAGGGUCCUUGCACUUUCGGGCGUCCUAACCGGAAAAUAGAGCAGAACGAAAGGGGGCCUUGCUGCAACAAACCUGGCGAUGGCAGAGCUACAGUGGUGGCCACUGGCUAACGGUGUCUGGAGGACGAUGGAGAAGGGAAAACCGAUGAAGAAGCCUCUAGAAUGCCUAUAUGUGAUGCGUGCAAAGAUGAAACUGAUUCUGUAGAGAGAGAGAGAGAGAGAGAGAGAGAGAGAGAGAGAGAGAGAGAGAGGAGGGGGGGGGGGGGGAUUCCGUCGAUAUCUAGAGAUGAAUUCAUCACAAGCCUCCAUUCCCUUCUUCCUUUACGAGCUCGUGCAAAGAUAUUGGUUGUAUUUUACGUUUGGCUAAAUGGAUUAUAUGACACCAUUAUCAAGAUUAGCAUUUUCAUCACAUCACGCCUCAUUUCAUCUUGAGUCGAGGUUCUUUUUUUUUGGAUAUUCAUUCUAUCUAGACUAGCCUCUUUGUAAAAUUCGGUACAUCGUGCCGCAUUUAUUUCAAUCAAUCUCUUGGUUGCAGUAAAGAUUAAUUUGCCCAUUUUGCUCAUCCCUCUCCCAUCAGAGAUUGAUACAUGAUCUUAAACCCCCUGAAACUCUCUCACAAAGUUAAUUUCGCCGACGUGCUCGCAAUUUGAAAAAGACAUCGAAAAAAUGAAGACAAAAAAUUAGAGGUCCCCCACUUCAUAUCUGCCUUACAAAUGUUCCCUAGAAGGAUACAAAAGGAGAUAGAUUACUCCAUUAUUGAACAUAAUUGCAAUUUAUGCAAUUAUGUCCUUUGAUUUGUUGGAUUCGUAUAAUUCAACUAUGUCCUUUAAUUUGUUGGAUUUGUGCAAUUCAUAAUCUUUUUUCCUGUUUGCAUCUCUUCCUUAUGUAGCAUAUUCACAAAUGAUUCAAUUAUUGACUUGAACAUCUCCUUAUAUUCCAACAAAUCAAUUAUCAUAUUCACAUGAUUCUGGGUUCUCAUCAUAUUGAAAAACAACAAUGCAACAAAAGAGAAAGUGAAUACUUUACAUCUCGUCUAUUUUCUUUUUGUCCUUUCUGUUGGCCUCUGAAUGCGUAUUGUACUACGUAUUACAUAAUUUCACUGCGGUUGUGUCCUACGUACAUAUAUAUGCGCCUUUCAUUAAAAAAAGUGCGCUGGUCGGCUUCGCUGGUCGGCUUCCCUUCAUUGAGGCUUCUAAUUUUCAAUUGACAGCAAAGCGAAAAUGGCAACGGCAAGGACCUAACAAUUGUGUAUGGGCUUGUGCUUGAUGUGGUCUGGCGCGAAUGGGUUGACCGGCCAAGGUUUACUCCCAUGGGCUUCGAAUGGUCUGGGCCGCACUUGUGGAUUAGACCCAACAGACCGGACCUGGCUCUUUCGAUUAUGACUCAAUUGGAGCUUUUUUCAUUACUUUUUUUUUUGUUGGUGCUGGAGGAACCGACUUGCAGCCGAUAGUCGUGCCGUAAACCCCCAGGUGACACUUAAGCAGGUUUUUUCAUUACUUUCUUCCUCUUUUUUUCCCUCUUUUUAGUUCUCUUUUUUAUUUGGGUUUUUAUUUAUUUUUAAACAUUUUUAUAUCAUAUUUUUCUUUUUCUUUUUACCAUAACGCGUUUUUGACUUGCCGGCAAAAAUUCAAGUGUCAAUAGGGACAACAUUCCAUCAUCUCACCAAUGAAUUACUUUACCCCGAACUCUACUACAAUCCUUUAUUUACGCAAUACUGCGAUGUCAUUCAAUGAAAUAAUAGUCCUUGUACCUAACUCUACAAUCCUUGAGUUGAAUUUGAGCGCCAAUAACGUCCCUGAACUUGUGCUUAAGUUGAUUUUCUAGCAAUGCAUAGCCUGGGUGUUGAAGUAUACCAUUGCAUGCUCUAUUGGUGCAAAACGAUGUAGUGGAUUCAAUAUAUACAUGGUAUAGCAAGUGUAUUCAUGACUCGUCGUCUUAGCACUCAAGAUUUAGGAUGAUGUUCACUAUAGUUGCAUAUGGACCCAACGGGAAAUACUAUUGCCUACUAUAGAUUAUCUUCGACAUGGUCGUGUAGUGUUUACCGCACAACUUAUUGUGGUGCGUAAGAGGAAAGAGCUAGUGAUACAUACAAUUCCUUGAAAUGCCAUCAUGAUAUUCUUAUAGGUGCUCCAACUGCUACCUUUUUACAAGAAACAAGAUACAGGAUGCGGUGGCUCCUCAAAGAAGGUGUCAUAGCAUGUUCUCAUCUUGACAUCUAUCAAGCUAAAGUAGAACAUGAAUGGAGAUUCGCUAGCAUUCUUUUUCUUUCUAUAUCAUUUUAAAAUCCUUCAUUUUUUUUUAUUUAUUGUUUUCUGUGAUUAUGUUUGUCUCCUUGUUUCUGAUCAAUGUCUCUUUAAAUGUUACUUGAACUGCCCAGGACGAACUCUUUUUGUUUUCUCUUCCUAUUUGGCUGGAUAAAAAUGCUGUCUUCUACCGUGUUGAUACAUCUACCAUGUUGAUACAGCCGCGGUCUUCAAUUUUUAGUGUCACUUCACUUCUUGCAUUGUAUCAAAUUAAGCGCUUUGUUGGUGGGUAUCUACUAUUCAUACCUAUCAUUUUAGUAAAUGUUAAUUUUGUUGCAACACGCGGACUGUAUGUGCUAGUACUUCAAUCUCUCUUUAUUUCGUUCUCGUAUGUGUGGAUGGCUGCUGGUUUUGGUGCCUUUAUCUUUGCAUAGACAGAAGUUAUACACAUUUACUUCGAUUAGAUCCCACCCGAAGUAUCCUUCUCCCUCCGCACUCCCACCCCCUUCUUUGCUUUUCUUCCUAUUUAUAUCAGUUUCUCUAUUGAGAGUAUUUGAAACUAACAGAGAACAGACCUUAGAGCACGAAGAAGUGAUAGCCCUUGGGGUGGUCACUCUUUCUGGUGAUAUUUGCCUAAUCCACUUCAUACCUACAUUGUUAGUACACUCAGUACUUCCUCUUGGAGAAGUCAAAAAACUGCAUAUAAAAAAGACAUACUUAAAAUAUACAACAAAGCAUAAGGAAGAGAACUAUAAAAGGCAUAUCUAGGAAAUGUUGCAAUAUUCAAUGAGGUAAAACCAACAUAGCUAAGAAGCUCACCUAGACUACAAGCCUAGAACAUCUGACAAGCCAUGAAUGAUCUGUAACCAAGCCUCCAUAAUAUGAAGCUUUCAGCAGGAAAGCAAUAUAUAGAAAUGAGAGACUUUGCUCCAAGCAUUGGAAGCACAUAAAAGACUGCUUUUUCAAACAUGCAUUGGAUGGCCAGCAAAGCUAAAUGAUAAGCUUUUCUUAGUAGAACAUGCUUCUACAAUUCGAUUCUGAUCAAAAGUGAUCAAAACACAUUUAUAACUUCCACAAUGCAAUGUUAGGAGGAUAAAGAACUCGUGCAUGUACAAGAGUUAGAUCUCCAAUGCACACACUUAAAAUUUUAGCAGAUUGGUGAACCUCCCUAUUUGUCAUAAUUCUAAUAUGACUACAUCAGUAGCCGAGCACAGAUCAACAUAUUAGUAACUAGCAUUAUAUGAUACAACCUCUUGGUUGAAGUGAUUCAUGGAGAACCAAAACAUACCCUCCAAGUUCUCGAUUUGUUCCUGUUUGUAAUGCCUAGCAUGGCAAUCAUGAACUCGUGACUACAUUCCCACCAAAUGCCAAAACUAAGGACACCGUUAAGAAGAAGCCAAUCCAAGAAAAGUGGAACUACCAUACUAUUCCAUUUGAACCAGAAAAGACAAGGUACUGAAUUUUGAAGGAUAUAUAACAAACUCGGACAAUCUAUUUCAAUCCUACACUUGAAAAGCCGCAAACAGAGAUGUUCAAUCAAAAUCUACUAAUACAAUAGAUGCUCCAUUAACUAGUUAAAUAACGAAUGAAACUACAUGAACAUUACUAAUCAAAUUAUUACCUUCCACAAAGAUUGGACCAAAAAUGGGGCACAGGGAUGAAGAGAAGUGUGAACUUGGUCAUUAUUUUUCUCUAUAGUGAAACAGAGCACUUUUGGAUAUAUAUUAAGGCUAGUAAGUGUGGGAGCCAACUCAAUGAUCGCCAAGUCAAACUAGAAAGGGCUUAACUAUAAAUUUGAAAGGCAAAAGCAUCACAUGAUUGGCCCUAAAGCUAGCUCCAAAAGUGAUUGCAUCACUUAAAUUUCUAAAUAUACAAAAUUUACAUAUCAAGAAAUGAUGAGAAAAUAUGUAGCUAGAAGGACAGAUCAAUACAAUGAGACACAAGCUGGUUAAAAGCUAGAAAGUGAAAAUCCUAAGAGAUUUCAUUUCGACUAUGGAUAUGAUACGUUCCUUGGUGGGUAGCAUAAUAGUUCAAGAGUUACAGAUUCCGCAUCAAAUUGAAUAAUAUAAUCCAGCCCUAUACAUAAGAUUAAGAAUCACUAUGGCUCGCGUGUGAAGCCACUGGAAUGAGCUACAAAACGAUUCUUAUUCAACUGAUCUAAUUUGAUACUUCGGUUUCGCAGCAACCCUAAUGUCAAAUCAUGUGGCAACGUUUCGUAGCAACCCUAAUGUCAAAUCAUGUGGCAACCUCAUCACCACUUAAAAGAAGAGAAGGAAAAAAAAAUGAUAAAUGCAUUGAAUUUAGCAUCGAUCAAAAGUGAAUCGACAAAUGUCAAAUUCCAAGACCUCAAUCUUGCAUCAUAAGCAGCUUAAGAAAAACUUACAGUACUUCAUUCUCUCUUUCCAUGGUUCUUGUAUGCGUGGGUGGCUGCUACUAUUGGUGCGUUUUUUCUUUGCAUGAACAAAAGUGAUGCACCCUCCUUUAUUUCGUUAGCUCCCACCCAAUGUAUCAUUCUCCUUGUGGAAUCCCACCCCGUUCUUUGCUUUUCUUCCUAUUUAUAUCAGUUUCUAAUUUAAGAGUAUUUGAAACUGAGCAAGAAUAGACUUUUGAGCAUGAAGAAAAUCAUAGCCCUUGGGGUGGUCACUCUUGCUGGUGAUAUUUGUAUAAUCCUCGUCAUACCUACAUUGUUAGUAUUCUCAGUACUUCCUCAAGAAGCAAUCAAAAAACUACACAUGAAAGAGACAUCCUUAAAAUAUAGAAGAAACCACAAUGGCACUUCAAGGCCAGUAUCAUUACGCCUGCAAAGCAGAAGGAAGAGAACUACAGAAGACAUAUCUAGGAAAUGCAGCAUUAUUGAAUGAGGUAAAACCAACAUAGCUAAGCAACUCACCUAGACUGCAAACCGAGAAAAUCUGAAAAGCCAUGAAGGAAGCAUAAUCAAGCCUCCAUAAUAUGUAGCGUUCAGCAGGAAAGCUAUAUCAAGAAAUGAGAGACUUUGCUCAGAGGAUUGGAAGCACAUAGAAAACUGCUUUCCCGAACAUGCCUCAGAUUGACAACAAAGUUGAAUGAUUAGCUUAGCUGAGUAGAACAUGCCUCGCCUGUGAUUUGGUUCCUAUCAAGUUGGUCAAAAGACAUUAAUAACUUCCACAAUGCCAUGUUAGGAAGGUAAAGAACCCAUAUAGGCACAUGAGCUAUAUGCCUAAUGCACACACUUAAAAUGUUUGUUGGAUCGGUGAACCUCCCUAUUUGUCAUGAUUCUGAUCUGACUACAUCAGCAAUCAAACCCACAACAGCAUAUACAUAAACAAUGUUAUAUGAUACAACCUCUUGGUUGAAGAGACUCAUGGAGAACCAAAACAUACCCCACAAGUUCUUGCUUUGUUCCUAUUUGUAAUGCCUAGCAUGGCAAUCAUGAAAAUGGUAACUACAUUCCCACCAAAUACAACAACUAUGGAUACUGUUGAGGGGAAGCCAAUACAGGAAAAGUGAAACUGCCAUACUAUUCCAUUAGAACCAGAAAAGACAAGGUAUCAAAUUUAAAGGAUAUACAUUACUAAAGCACACAAACAAUCUAUUUCCAUCCUACACUUGAAAAGCCACGAACAGAGAAGUUCAAUCAAAAUCCGCUAAAACAACAGAUGCUCCGUUAACUAGUUAACAAAUGAAUGAAACUACAUACUUAAUCAUCAGAUUACUUACUACCACAAAGAAUGGGCCAAAAAUGGGGCAUAAGGACAAGAGAGAAAUGUGUAGCGAAAGCUCGUUUAAGUGGAGUCCUUUGAUUGUUAUUUUUCUCUACAGUUGUUGUGGAACUUAGCACUUGAGGAUAUAUAUAUUAAAACCAGUCAGUGUGGAAGACAACUCAAUGGUCACCAAGUCGAACUGGAAAGAGCUUAACCAGGAAUUUGAAAGGCUAAAGUAUCACAUGAUUCAUUCUAAAGCUAGCUACAAAAGUAAUUGCAUCACUUAACAUUUCUAAAUAUACACAAUUUACAUAUCGAGAAAUGAUGAUGAAAAUGUGUAGCUAGAAGCCUAGAUCAAGACAAUGAAACACAAGUUGGUUAAAGCUAAAAAGUGAAAAUCCUACUAGAUUUCAUUUCGCUAGAAGCCCAGAUCAAGACAAUGAAACACAAGCUGGUUAAAGCUAAAAAGUGAAAAUCCUAUGAUAUUUCAUUUCCACAAUGGAUACAUUCCUUGGUGGGUGGCAGAAUAAUUCAAGAGUUACAGAUUCUGCAUCAAAUUGGAUAAAAUAAUCCAAGCCUAGACAUAAGAUCAGGAACCACUAUGGUUUGCGUGUGAAGCCACUGAAAUGAGCUACAAAACAAUUCUCGCACAACUGAUCUGAUUUGAUACUCCGGUUUUGCAGCAACCCUAAUGGCGAAUCCUGCAGCAACAUUAUCACCAUGUAAAAGUAGUAGGAAAAAAAUGAUAAAUGCAUUGAAUCUAGCCUCGGUCGAAAGUAAAUCAACAAAUGUCAAAUUUCGAGACCUCAAUUUCACAUCAGAAGCAGCUUAAAAAUCCACGAAGAUACUUCCUUGAAUCUCCAUGAUCUGUAUUUCCAGAGAGCCUUUAUGUUAAUCUGAUGUCACUAGAUACAUGUAUACAAGAGAAACAAAUUCCCCAAAUGGCCUAUCAUCAAUGACAAUGCUGCCUAGGAGUGAACUUGAGGAGUUCGCCACUUUCAUACACUACAUUAUUACAGAAUGAAGCAACACAUAGUAUUAAUACUAAUAACCAUGAAGCAAAGCAGACCCAAAUAAAAAUUCAUUCAAUCCCUAGAACACCAGCGCACGUAAUUAAUAAAUCGAAUUUGACAUGACUGAAUCAUGGACUAAUUUAAAGAAUAGCAGUUCAACAAUAGGUCACCGAUCAAAGUUUAUGAGGGCAAAGAGUGUCAUUGAAUAGCAAAAGCAAUUACUACUUUGGAACAAGACAAGCAUGUCCAGAAUUUGCAAAUGAUUGCUUACGCUGCCAAACAAAAGAAGGCAGGAAAAGGAUGAAGGAGACAUGAAGCCUCCUGAGGCUAAUACCAAACAUUACAAGCUGAUUUGAUCAGUGUAAUAACAACGGCCUACAUUAUUAUAUUGAGCAUAGGGGCCAUGAUGGUACCGUCAUAUUCUCAACUGAAAAGGAGACUUGAGUAAACGUCGAUUAGAUUUGCAACCACGUAACCUAUCCACUCCUUGACGAGAAGGCCUUCAAAUAAUGCAACUAACACACCAUUAAGAAAUUGGUGACUGCAAAUCUGGAAAAAGCAGAGGAAGAGGAAGAACUCCGGUUGGAGGGACAUACCGGAGAUGUCACACCGCUCAUGAGCGACUCUCAUGUCACAUGGCAUGGACAAUUCUCACGUUCCAUAGACCAUAAGGGUGAUGAGUAAUCUCAUGAGGCUGGAUCCGGCAAAGCUUCCUCCAGUUGGGAUUGCGACAUCUUCGUAGAGCUUGGGAGAGUCGGGCAUCGACUCUUGCUGCAGCUCCUCUUGAAACUAUAGAGACUGAUAUAUCACCAGUUGACAUGCAGUUCAUCUUUACAGCAGAAUUUAUAAUGUGUUCAAUCGCCUGCAUAGCGAAAUUGAAGGUCAUAAAAUCCACGACAGGCCUGAGACCAUAGAAAGCAAUGCCGACUUUAACUCAAGAGAAGCCAGCCUCUGUGAUAACAGUAUCAACAACCCUCUCGGGUCCAUACUUCUGCCAAAGAAAAGAACCUUUAGACACAUUGAAAGACUCUAGGAUCUGCAGACAUUUCCUCAUCAAACACAGCAUUCAUAGCCUCUCUCACAAUCAUCUAUUUGCCUGCAGUAGCAUUACUACGUAAUGGCAUUUCUGUGGCACAACUCUUCCACAGCCUUUCUCUCGACAACACAGCUUCCAAGCCUCUAGCAGUGGCUUUUCGUAUUAGAAUCGACAACAUCAUGCCCUCUUGAACUCGAACUUGCUCUCACUUGUGAAAUCCCGAUUUUCCAAUUCUAUUUUCAAUAAAUUAAGAUGGGCAUUUCGUUAGCACGCAUAUAAUUCAUUUCCUUGAGUCGGCCACUCAUGUGAAAACUAGUUUAUCGGGUGAAGCCGUUAAGAAAUUCUAAUGCAUCAGACUCGAGAAUUUGACCAGGAAGCGAUCUUUCGACCGAGCUAAUCUGCAAGGCUCAUUACGGCACAAUUAAAAAUCGAUUAGAGAUCGAAGAUAGGUCGACUCGACAGAGGCAUGUGAUCAGGUGUGGGUGAUUCCACCAGAUUGCACAAUUUUUGUCGAUCGGCAUUGGAUCGACUUUUCUAUCGAUUGCGUACCCUGUGUUCGUAUUUGAAACCUUAAGAUUACCCCGAAAAUCGAAAGUCGCCAAUGUUUCAAAGAUAUACAUUGUGGCUUGAGAUGAUCAACCACAGGUCAAAUGCAGGAAAAUUUCUAAAGACUACCCGGUAGGUUGGGCCGCGCUAGUAUCGUGCCAAAGUGAAAUUAACCGUGGAAUUGAGAUUGAAUUCAGAAAUUGAGAGUCUGGGUGUGUCACAAAUCAUUUUAGGAAUAUUGACUAAUCUUCGGAAGAUUUUUCAUGCAAGCCGAGUUUUUCAGCAAAAUAAUCAGAGAAUGGCUAAUUUGGCUCGAGAAAUUAGUAGGCCCGCUUUUGGUCGUACUUUUGGGACUCAAGUUGUAUCUAUGAUAAAGUAAUUACGUAAAUUGAAAUGUGUUGAUAUUUGAUUAAUUUUAUGGAUUUCAAUUUGGUUCAAUUGAAAGAAAAAUUGAAGAAAUUUGAUGUAUAAGGAUUUGGACCCCGGCGGAAAUGAUAUUGCACCCAUUGAAGAAUGUUGUGGGAGAGGAGAUAGUGGAAGAUGACAUCAUGCGGGUGAUGUCAUGCUGAUUGAAGCCAAGGAUUGAGGGCUUGACAAGUGGAGGGUGGGGAUUUAAUCUCCAAAAAGGAGGCCAUCACCACCAUCUUCAACCUUGGGAAGGAGAGAGAGGAGAGGGGGGGAGAGAACCGGCGAAGGGGAGCUCUCCCGUCAACCAGCCAGCCGUGCGCCACUUCCCUCGCUGUUCGUCGUCGUCGUCGUGCCGAGCCGUUGUUGCUGCCGCGUUGUCCCACGCCUGCCAGCCCUGGGACCGUCUCUCCCUCCGCUCAGCCCCUCCGUUUGCUGCUCGAGAUCUCAGAUCUGGUAGGACGCCGGGCAGAAGCAGUAGCCGACGUUGCCGGGAGCCGUCACUCGCCGCACGCUAUCCUUGCCUCGCGUCGCCCGUCGCCGCUUGCCGUCUCACACUCCACCGCUGCCCGCGCUCGCCCGCGCUUGGCCGACACCUAGCUGCGUCUACCUCUGUCCAUGAGUUCCAGGAGCUGCCGAAGCUCGUCCCAGCCACCGUGAGGCCUCGCCUGGCCGCUGCCUCGCCCGUCCGAGCUACCGCCUCCUUCCUCCGCCGCUCCUUCGCCCAUUCCAACCCGAACCAGCUGCCAUUUGGCCCUCCUCCGCCUAUGAACAGCAGCUGCAGAAAAUGGGUAUGGCAGCCCAUGUUUGGCCCGUUUUGGCCGUCUUCCCGAGCCCGGAUGCUCGGCCCGCCUUGAGGAAAGUCAAUCCUCGCGUCGUCCCCGUUGUUUUGGUUCACUCGACUCGCUAAUCGGGUGAGUUUAGCUCACUAAAUCUUGAUUAGACGGUUAAUGAUGCCUUAAAUGUGCUUAGCCUAAGUUAAGUAAGCUUGGGUGAUUAGUUUAGUUUAUUUAAUUGUGAAUUAGAUUAAGAUGUUUGUUUAAUUUAAAGCAUGUUUAAUUAAAGGCUAAGAGAGUUUAUUUAAUGAUAGACCUUGAUGGGACAUAAUAGGAUUUUAAUUUUGAAUUAUUUAAUUGCUUCGAAAUUCUGGAAAUUAUAAUAUUAUAUUAUAAUCCGAAAUUAUUAAAAUAUUAUUAUUUAAAAAAAACGGAAAAAUUAUUUUUUACCCCGGUUGCUCAAAAUUUCGUGCCGAUCUCUGCUGUACAUUUAGAAUUUGAAAUUGAUGAUUGGUUAUGGCAAAUUGAGUGUGAUUGCGAUAAAUAGGGAUUAUUUAUAAAAUCCCAAGUGUCGAAAUUGAUGGGAGAUUGGCCGUGAUUAACCGGUCGUGCCUAGUGGAGCCGUGAUUAACUACUUAUUAGAGGUCGUGCCCAGUGGGGCCAUGAUUCGCCACUUGAUAAAGGUCGCGUCCAGUUGGGCUGUGAAUUGCCACCUGAUAAAGGUCAUGCCCAAUGGGGUCGUGAAUUGCCACCUGAUAAAGGUCGCGCCCAACCAGGCCGUGAAUUACCACCUAUUAGAGGUCGUGCCCAUCGGGCCGGGAUCUACCACCUUUUAAAGGUUGUGUCGAGUGGGGCCGUAAUGCCAUUAAUUCUAAUUUUGCUGAAUGGGGCCGUGAUUGAGAGCAAUGAUUGAUUUGCUAGAAUGACAUGUAAUUGGCCGAGUCGAUUGAUCGCUGAGACGAUCCAAGUGGUUGAAUUGUUCAGAUGAUGUGAUUGUACUGCAGUUGUUUGGUUAUCAUAAUUGCAUGUGGUUGAAUUAUACAAAUUGUGCUAACCUGCAAGAAGGAAUUGAUGCGAGGUAAGUUCUCUGUGUGAUGUGGCUAGGCCACCCUUGGGCGUAUUUUCUUUCUAAUAGAGGUUUAGGGGUUGAACUUGCUGAGACAUUGUCUCAUCCCGGUUUGGGGAUUACAAUUUCAAGUCCCUGGUGGACGAAGCGGCUAGAUAGCUUUGGUUGGCCUUGAGGAGUUGCAGAGUUGAAGCCAUAAGGAUUGGAGAGCGUGUCCGACUUGUUGGUUUCAGGAUAGUUCCUCUUUUGUCGAGUUGGUCUAUUUUGUAGACAGUCCAGUAUUGUAUUUAAACCUAUGUGUUUGUAAAUGAGUGUUUGCUAUUGUGAUUGAUUGCCUGCUUUUCUAUCCCAAGUUAAAUGUUGUCAGGGGAUUUGUUUUGCUUCUGCAUACGUAAAGAAAUGAAUGGGUCGGCGACGUAUCCUGAGAUGUCGCAUAUUUGAUCGACCGCAAUGGGAUGUGCGCGCGCUCGGGGUUCUGGGCGUGACAUCCCCACUGCCAGAUAAAGCUCACUAAUUCUCUCUCUCUCUCUCUCUCUCUCUCUCUCUCUCUCUCUCUCUCUCUCUCUCUCUCUCAAACGAGUAUCCUUGGAAACAGAGUCUAGCUUGGUCAUUCCAUCAAGCACCUUCCUUGCAAACUCGACGGAUUUUUUCUCCAACCAAUUUUUUUUUUUUUCACAUCUCUCUCUAGCUUUGGAUUCCCCUGAUUCAUCUCCAGCAAUUCAGAUCAUCCCCACAGUAAACCACACCAUUAGAUUCCACAUUCGAGUUGCGGCCACUCUGAUUCAAGUCCUCGCUUUCCUGUCCUUGCCAAUGUUUGGACCAGAUUUAUCUGUGGCCGGGCCAUCUCGGGCUUACACAGCCAUCACCAUUGAACCAUCAACAGGACCAUUUCAUGUCUGAUUGAACUUCCAAGUCAAAUUCCAAUUCACUCCAGAAUAUGUCAUGUCGACUCUUUGCUUCGUUCUGCUCACUCCCACUUCAUUGCCGCCUUUCGGAAUUCCAUUAUUUCGCCCAUCUAUGCCACGCGGAAAGGGGGACGCCGGGUGGUGUUCACUGUUUACAAGAGCCUUUUAUCCAAUUGCCAAGGCUGAGGUUGGAUGGAUCAUCAUCAUCAUCAUCAUCAUCAUCUGGAUACGAUCCGCCGAUUCGAAGGAUGAGAUUCUUUGGGUUUCGCUCUCGGCACCUCCACCGGUCCAACGUCGCUCCUUCAACCGAAGCAGCCAAGGCCGAUCUGAGUCGUCAUCAUCCGAGACGAUAUGCCGAGCAUGAAGAUUGGCAGCGGUGAAUACGAAGAAAAAACGACGGAGAAUUAAAAAAAAAGGCGCGAAGCGAAGCGAGGGGGUGGAUGGAGAUGUUUCAGAUUUUGUGUGGGAAAACGGGGCAAACGAGUGAAGCUAGUGGUUGUUCUUUGGAUGAAGAAGGAAUUGAAUUUGAAAAUAAAAGAGAAUAAAAAGGAAAAAUGAACCCACCGUCGUUUCCGAAAAAGUCGGCAAAAAACUCCAAAUUAUAUUUAUUUUUGUCGCAUUUAUUUUUGUUUUUGUUACGCAAAAGCUCAAAAUGAUGUAUAUGGCAUAUUUACUCUAAUUCUUAUGAUGUCAAAAAUCCUUAAUUUGUACAAAUAUGAUAUAUUUAUCUUAUGUCAAGAUUUUGUCUUACGAAUUCUAUAUUUUUAUUUUUUUGGUCAAAAAGUUGUUCUUAUUUCAUUGACGUCAACACCAUUUACAUUUCGUUGUUCAUUUAGGUAUUUUUUUUUAACGAUACCCAUUGACAGAGGAUAAAUGUAUCAUAUAAAUAUAGUUUGGAAUCUUUGGUGGCAUAAAAAAAAAAUUUAAGAUGGAUGUGUCGCAGUGGGCAUAUUUUAGGAUUUUUAGUGGUUUUUCUCCUCUUUUUUUUCAACUUCAUCAAUAAUCAAUCACAACUCAAAAUCGAGAAUGCAUCGAUCUCUCUUUGCUUGUCCCCUAUCGGUCAUCGCCGAGCUUCCAUCACCCUGUCCCUCCUACAUGUCCUUGGUGGUGAUUAUGUCGGAUGUUCUUGUCCCCUUUAUUGUUAGGAAGGCACUUUUGAUUGCUCGUAUAAUGAAUUUGCAGCUUAAAAUUCUCUUUCAUAAAUUAUAAGAGUAUGCUUCUUGUGACUUGUUCUAGCUUGAAUGAACUGUACUUUAAUAUCACUUGUGAAAGUAAAAUUCCACUUUUCUUUCUCAUAAUUUCAAUUCCAAAGAAAUUUAUUUAAUUUCCACAGGUCUAUUGGCUUGAGAUUUCAAAUUAAAUUUCCUAUUAUUGGAAAAUUGAGCCAUUGUCAUUUCCGAUUAAUGGCGUAGGACAACUAAUGGCAUCGGAAAUGAUGGGAUUAUGAUUUUAAGUGAUCUUCGGCUAGGAAUGGGUUGUGGCCUUAUUAGCAAAUAGGGUGGGCCAGAGGAACUGCAGCCAACCAAGCUUGAUGCACUUACGAUGAAAUUUCAUCUAGGGAGAGCUAAGUGAGUUGGGCCACGAACCAGAAGAGGCCCCCUUUUUUAACACCCAUCAUUUUCUAAGAGUUCUUAUUUUUUAAUUAGUUUAUCAUUUAUUUUUUUAUCCAUUCUUUUUAACUGCUUUUUGUUGUUUUUGCUAUUUUCCAUUUUUGUAAUUUUACAAGGACGGAUGCUUGAAUUGUUGAUAAAAAUUCAGGUGUAGACAACAUAUGUGAUAACACUAAAGUUAGUGCCAUGGAAAACUCAGUGCUGUUGUAAAAUUGUUGUUUAACAAUUGUAUUAUGCAUUGAUUAACACAUUCCUUGUAAAUAUUUUCCACAAAACCAAAAAUAAUAAUAAGGAUAAAAAGAAAAAGCCCCUCCCCUCCUUAAGAUUAGUCAAAUUUAAUAGUAUAGGAAUCAAAAUUACAUUCUAUAUUGGCAUUACCGAAAUUUUUUUGUUAAAUUGUUACUCCCCCAUCUUCUUGCGAACUCAUCUUUAGCUUUGAUACCCACGAAGCAUUUUCUAGAAUUAAAGCAUUUACAGGUCAAGAAUAGUCCCUCCGUCCAUUACAUCCUCCAAUUGCCAUCCCACACAAAGUUCAAGAUGUUGGAGUCAUUAAUUCUUGAGAAUCUCAUCAACUUGGAGAAGAUAUCCAAAAACAAUAUCACCUCGAAGUCCUUUAGUGCAUUAAAAGUACUACGAGUUGAAAGUUGCAACACGAUGGAAGUUCUAUUUCCUCUUUUAGUGGUGAGAGAACUUUCAAAGAUAGAAAAGACUGAAGUUGCCGGUUGCAAAGUAAUGCGCGGGAUUAUAGAAACUAAUGAUUGUGGCAAAGUAGAGUUGCAUAAUUUGCAUGUAUUGAAGUUCCAUAACUUGCCAAAUACCAAGAAAUUUUUUGCUGUUGGAAGUAGUACAUUAGACGACCAGGUUGGCACUCAAAUUGCAUUCUUCAAUGGGCAACAGGUAACUUUCUAUCAAAAGAGCUAGUGUGCUUGUGUACAACUUAUCUUUUUCCCAUGUUUUGAGCUUCCAUGAACAGAGCUCGCUUUCAAAGAUAAUGGAGCCAGAUCAAGGAAAUUUUGCCAAAAAGCUUUUGUGACCUUACCUUUUUUUUUUUUUUUUAACAUCGUAAUCUCGUGUAUUAGAUCAUUUUUGCAUCCUUUACACCAAGUUUAAAGAAGAUGACAACUUUUCAAGUUAAAAAAGGGGAACAAUUACAAAGUUGAUAAAUUAGAUUGUCACAGCAACAAUUAAUGUCAUUCAAUUGAAAUUGAGGGCGAUUAUUUGUAAUCUAUUGAAUUCUAGACUAGUAGGUGGAAAUGUAGUUAAUAGUUUAGCUAGCUUUAGUGAUAACAUUUUAUAGGAGAUCCUUUUGGCAUAAUAUCUACUCCUAGUUUGAAGAAGAUGACAAAUCAUGCAAACUAAAAAACAGAAGCAAUUAUAGGUGAAAAAUCCUUUGUUAUUUAUUUUUAUCAACGAAAAUGAUGUUAUGCCGCUGUCGAUAUAUUUUAUGGUCCUAUCUACACUUCUACAGAUAGAAAUUUACUAACAUGAAAGAAAAUUAGUAAACCAAGCAUAAACAAUGCCCCAAUCAAGGAAAGCUCCCAGCUGUAUGUUAAAUGGGGGGAAAACGUUGCAGGUAGAGGGUUUUAUUUGACUAGAUAAGGUUGCUCUUUCACAGUGGCGCAGGCCCAAGGCUCAUGCCAUACGUUAGUUUCCCUGUUGGGAGAUGUGAGUGGUGGGUCCCACAAGUUUUUGAUGUCAGAGUGACUUUUCUUCAACCCAUGCUUUGAGCUUCCAUGGAGAGAGCUUGCUUAAAAAAAAAAAUAGCGGAACUAGAUAGGGAAAUUUUGCAUAGAGCCUUUGUGGCUUCGCUUCUUCUUCUUCUUCUUCUUCUUCUUCUUCCUUCUUUUUUUUUUUUUUUUUUUUUUGUCGUAGUGUUUGCGGCUUUUAACUUUCUAGGAUUCUAAAUCUUCGUUAAAGAAUUAAUGUUGCCUUAGUACCUUUUUUAUUAUUAUUUUUUGAGUUAAAACCUAAAGAUGCAAAGAUCCAUGGGCUUAUAAUCAAAUGUUUCUUCAAACUGUAAUAAAUAUCCUCAGACAUUAUAAAGCGCUGGCAGCCUACAAAGGAGUAGUCUAAGAUUGGCUUUUCCAGGGAUAACAAUAGACUAAUGAACAAAACACAAAAAAGUUAAACUUGCAAAAAAAUGUAAAUAAAGCUUUUCAUUGUCAUGGGGACCAUAGGUCUCUUCACCUUUUGAGACAUGUUGGUUAAGGAAAUUAUGACGACAAGGAUGAAUAAUUAGGAUAGGCUACAUACACGUCCGACUUGAAAGGAAUACUCGAGGUAAUUUACAAAUGAUAAGUAAAAAGAAGUCCAAAUAAUCCCAAGUAAUUCACUAUUUUUCAAAGAUAGUUGUGAUCUCAACCGGUAGCCAUGACUAGUGACUACUUUGUUAUUCCAAUAUCCCAAUUGCUGACGUGUCUAAUUUUAUGUUGUUUUGCGGGUAAAUUAGUCCCUAUAUGCCUAAUAAAUUUGGAGAAAUUAGAGACAUCCAAGAAGAAAAAGACAAUAAAAUGCCUAUUUUAUUGGAUUUUAUCAAGGAAGCAGGUAAUAGCAGAGUGUGAAAGGUCCUCUCUACCUAAAUGGAUGAGAAUGACGUCACGUUCAGCUAUCAACUCCCUAUGUCCAUAAGUCAUAUUCAUAUAUCGUUGUUUGCCCAAGGUUUAAUUUUUUGAGUUGGGCUCGUUACUAGAUGAGAUAUAUAUAUAUAUAACGCACAAUCUCGCCUGAGACUAAUGGGAUAUAUGCUGUAUAUAUCUCCAUCUAAUUGAUAUAAUUUGGCAAUUAGACAAAUAUUUCAUGCAUAAAUUGAUUGUCAUUAGUAACCAAAAUGAGUGCGAAUUCUUGAUGAUUGCAAUUCCUGAUAUUGCUAGAAAAAUGCAAACAGAAUCCAUUCGUAAUAGCAGCCCUUGUUAUAUCAUAAAUAAAAGGUAAAGUACAUUAGUUGUCUUUUAAGGUCAUAAAUUAGCUUUUAUUUGUCAUAGAUUUUCAUAUGUGCGAAAUUAUUCUAAAGGAUGUACAUUAUCUUGCCUAUAAAUUUCUUCGGCAACCAUUUAUAAUACCCGCUAUAUCACAUAAUUUCUUGACGGUCCUUUGUAAUUGUAAAUACUAUGUUGAUGGGUUUGUCUAUCACAUUUCAAUCCCAUCCUUGUAGUCCUUGAUAAUGGAAGGACUUCUCAAUCCCAAAGAAAUAUGUUGUCAAACUAAUUGUAUGAAACCCUUGCAAAUUUAGUUUGUGAUCGGUUCUGAGUUAUCUCAAUUUACUGGUUGCAAGUAUAUUUAUAUUAAUGGAGUUUCGUCAAGACAAAUUGAAGGGAAUGUUGGCAUUGAAGUAAUUCCAUAAUUAAAGUAAUUUAUAAUCUUUUGAAAUGUGUUCCAUUAAAUUUAGUUAUCAAAAUAUGUUAUCAUCCACAAAAUGUAUAAUAUAGGUGACUCUCUUAGAAACCAAUACGAAGAAUGGGAAGGAGGACUGAAUUUUCAAAUAAAAGCAGCUAUGCUAAUCUAAUUGAUGCAUGCCUUUUGUAUAUCGUGUUUAAAUAGGCACUUAAUCAUUGCAUAGUCCCCAUAAUUGUAAGAGUACAUAAUUUUGUGCACAGUUUUUUUCUCUUUUAUAGUAAAAGUAGGCCUUGGCAAUUGUAUGGUUUUCAUUAUGUCACAACAAAGUCAUUCAUUGCAAAUUCGGAAUUCUUGCUCUUGGAGUUCCAAAGUGAUCUUUACCAUUUCUUUACUCCAUACAGCAGAAUUUGAAAUCCCCUAUGAUGAAAGAAAUUACUUUUGUAUAGCUCCAUAUCCUCCAUCAACUAGAGAAUGUCUCACCAUGUGGCUCAUGAGUAAGGCCAAGUCUGUAACAAGUCUCUAACAGAUUCACCUUAAAUGAUCAUCUUAUUUUGUGAUCACCCUUAGAUACUCCUAUGGGGGAGAUUGGGUCAUGUGAAUAAGGCCAAAGUAACAAUAUCCAAAAAUGGAACUUGAUGCCAUAAUGGAAAAUUCACUAUCUUAAAGUGCAAAUAAUUUUACAAAGACUUACUUCAAAUGUUUUGACGUGUCUUGUAUUUCAAUUCAGCUACUUAGUAUGUGUUAGUUUAGUUUCUGAAGCUUCAAGUGCUCCACAUUAUAAUCUUCAAGAAAUUUGUGCUGAAAUAUGAGUUUUUCUGUUGUUGAGUCCAUCCGAUUUAGAUUGUAACAUUUUAUGUAGUUUUUCUUAGCCAAUUUUCACCAUCCAAAUUAAGAAAAACCGAUGGUUGCCCAGUCUCGCAGAAUCAUAUGUGGUCAUUGCGCCGUUUCUCUCCAUGGCGAUCUACAAAUCUAAAUAUCAAGUCCUUUCAACUAAGUGUUUUUGCAUUUGGCCUUUAUAGUUAUGUAUAUAUAUAUAAUUGAAUGCACUUUUGGCAUCACGAACAAAAAUCCACAUAUUUAUGUUUGAUAUCCUAUUAAAUUGGUUAUUAAUAAUGAUUUACUAACAUUAAACUAAGGACAAACAAUUGCCUGGUUAAGAAAAGCGCACAACGAUUUUGUCCAGGAAAAGUUGAGGCGGCUAUUUCGUUGACCAGAAAAGAUUGCACUUUUAUAGUGGCAAUUAGCACAAAAGUUGGUGGGGCUCAAGACUCCUGCAAUGCGUUAAUUUUCCCGUCGGUCAGUAAAGGGUCCUGGACAUAUAUUUUGCGGGUCCCAUAAGGCAAUGUGUGUGAGUCUUUACGUCUUUGCUUUUUCUUAAUCGUCGCAGUCUUUGGAGCUUUUAACUUUCGCCAUAGUUCUCCUGGACGCCGGCCAUGGAUAUCAGUAAAACUUUUUUUUGGGCCAAAAUUUGAGGUUAAAAGUAUUAUUGGGUUUGCUUUAUAUAGAGAGAGAUAAGUAAUGCUGCACUUGCUAAUACAUUUUUGAUGGAUAAAUUCUUCGACGGAAUAAAACUAGCUCACCCAUCAAAUUAAGCUUAGCAUUGCAAGUUUUUUUAGCGAAGAAAGGACUUGAAAUUGGAAACAAUGCUAGUAUGGAGAUUUUUUUUACUCCAUUUUUUUGUUUUAUUCUAUUUUUUUUUCCUUUUGUGAAACUUAAUUAAUCCCCCUCUCCCCCUAGCACUCGUGUAUAAUUACGGAUUUGAGAUUUAAAUUAAUCACUAAUUCCAUGAACAAAUUCUGCAGGUUGCCUUUCAAAGAUUGGAGACAUUAGAAAUUAGUGGCUUAGAAAACAUCAGGUUUAUAUUUUUCCCAUCCAUGGUUAAAUCUCUCACACAACUGAAAAAGCUGACUAUAUCGAAUUGUAAGAAGACGAAGGUGAUCAUGAUGGAGGAAGAAUGAUUGGGAAUGGAAAAAUAAAAUUUUUUGGCAUUCUCGAUGUUAACCGAUUGACGUGCUUCUCUCAUGGAAAGUGUAAGAUUGGUUUUUUGGUUUUAUCAUUGAAGAUUGUCUUGUAAAUAUAUUCAUCUCUACAAUGCAGUUGGUGAUAUUCUUUUCAUCCAAUGAAAUACCAAUGACAGGUGCACGAGAAAGUUGAAGUCAAGAUUGCGUCAGAUCACACGCCACUACACUCUUCAAUCAAGAGGUACACAAUCAACAUUAUGUCAAAAUAUUAAAUAUACUGGAGACAAGCAUAGCCAAGAUAGAAACUUAGUUACUCUUAAUGUAUAUUUUGGUUAAAAUAUUUUAAUAGAAAAUGAGUGUCGUACAAGUAUAAGUGUUCAGAGUUGCUGACAUGUAUGAGUUGCAAUUUCUUACUAUUAAUUUCUCUAUAAAUAGUUUCCAUAAAGAUGGUUGAACAUCUUUUAAUAUACUUGUAAAAAGCAUGAAUGAUAAUAUGACUGCCAAAUAGGAUCUUUAAAAGCUUUCUAAUGUUCCCAAAAAAAAAAACUCAAAACUCUCAUCAGCCUCACAUGUAUGGGAUAGGCAUCGCACACAUCUACAGUGAAAGUGAGCAGUAAGGUUCGAGAGACACACAUCUACAGUGAAAGUGAGCAGUAAGGUUCAAGAGACUGGAGACGAAGGACCUUUGAGAUGCGCAUCGCACACAUCUACAGUGAAAGUGAGCAGUAAGGUUCGAGAGACUGGAGACGAAGGACCUUUGAGAUGCGCAUCGCACACAUCUACAGUGAAAGUGAGCAGUAAGGUUCGAGAGACUGGAGAUGAAGGACCUUUGAGAUGCUUACUUGACUUCAUUUGCACUUACAAGAUCUCUCUCUCUCUCUCUCUCUCUCUCUCUCUCUCUCUCUCUCUCUCUCUCUCUCUCUCUCUCUCUCUCUCUCUCUCUCUCUCUCUCUCUCUCUCCUUUCUGGUCGAAGGAAGCUUUACUCUCUUUCAAUUGCACCAGCAUAAGGAAUCUAAGCCCUCUCAGUUGCUAAACUGAGCAAAGAUCUCUAAGGUCCAGGGCUUCGGAAAUCACACUUUUAGUUCUUUCAUGAACCACAAGACCAAUUUUAUGAAACUCUUGCUAAAGAAAUAAAAUACACUUCACAAAUCAUCCAUUUCAGUUGAACCAUCUGACUUGUAAAGUGAAUAUGGGAAUCUGACCCAAAAAAAAAGAAGUGAAUAUGGGAAGAACAUUUGAGUGGAAAAUGAAAUAGACUAAUUUACAAGCAAGUUCCCUUUGACUAAACUAAAAGCAAUUUAGGCCGUUCACCUGAAAUGUUGUUUAUGCCGCCAAAGAGGCUUCAAAAAUGGGCACUCCCACAAGAUUAAUACAUCGACUUUCUUAAAUAAUUUUAAUUUUCUAUAAUGAGAUAUUCAGGAAAACUUUCAACUAUUUGAUUCGAGUACAUGUAGAAUCUGUCGUUGGCAUCUAACUAUUGGAUCCUCCAGCAUGGAUAAAAGAACACUGAAUUUUAAAAGGAAAAUUCAGUCGAUUAAGUAUACUGAGUUCUUUCAAGUGGGAAAUGAUGUGAGUAAGAUUUGUUCGUCUGACCCAAGCAAUUCCCUUUUCAAUUGUUUUUUCUUAGCCUCACUUUUUAAUUGAUUUAAAGCGAUGUAACAUUGAUUUAAGCCAUUCUGUAUUAGAUAAAAUCACACCUGCUACUAUACUGCACCUUUUGAUGGAUGAUUGGUUAGCUUUUUAAUCUCAAUCUCUCCAUCAUUUUGUUUAUGAUUGCUAAUAUUCUUACUCAAGCUAUCCUCGGCUGCAUUUUUCUUUACUACAUCAAUGUAGUGACUUCUAAGUUCCAACAUUAAUUACCCUUUUGGCGUGGUUCUUGUUUCUUUAAAUAGAUUCCUCCUCGUCUCAAGUGAUUUAACUAUUGCUACGUAUACUAGCUAAUUCAUUAUAUUAGGGAAGUAACUAAAUUGAAGAGGGAGAGAUUUUAUUUAAAUUCGGGUUCUAUGGAGACUAUUGUGAUUCUAAAAAUUUUUUAUGAGCAUAUCCAAAUUACAAUUUUCUCCAUUGUCAAUAGAAUCUGGUCAGAGCAGAAUUCCUACUUUUUGAUUUGUCUCUAGUAAUUCCAAUAGCCUUCUCAUCCUAGAGUCAUCGACAAUGGUAUGGAUUUUUCUUUUACUAACUUUUUUUUUCCUUUUUGUGGAACUUAGACGGAAUCGACAAUUCCAUGAAUUCAUAAUUUACAUCUUCACCCUCAUCCAUAUUUACAUCUUGGAAGUUCAUAAUUAACCGAAUUACCAAUUCUAUGAACGAAUAUCAUAGGUUGCAUUUCCUAACUUGGAGACAUUAAAUAUCACUAGCUUGGACAACAUCGAGAUGAUAUGGGACAAUCAAGUUGCUACAGAUUCUUUCCCCAAACUAAAAUCGCUUUUUGUGGAUAAAUGCAAUAAGGUUGUGAACGUUGUUCCUUCUUCCAUUCUGGGACGGCUCUUGUGCCUAGAAAGUUUAAAGACAAACACAUGUGGUUCAUUGGAAGUUGUUUUCGAAAUUCGGCCACUAAAUCCUAUAGAUGGACCUCAAGUUGCUCUUCUAUUAAAAAAGCUGAUGGUAUCAAGACUACCAAAGCUAAAGUGUGUAUGGAAAAAGGAACUCCACCAUCAAGUUAAAUUCCAAUGCCUACAUUCUAUUAGCAUUUCCGAAUGCAAGAGCCUCACCUCUCUAUUUCUAGCCUCAAUAGCCAAAGAUCUAGUCCAACUUGAGGAGUUAGAGAUCAAUGGAUGUGGCAUUGUGGAACUCAUUGAGAAGGAAGAAGGACUAGUUCCCAAGUUUGAUUUCCCAAAGUUAACCUCCCUCAAGCUUAAGCAUUUGACAGAGUUGAAGUGCAUCUACACCGAAACACAUGCUUUACAUUGGCCGACAUUGAAGACC
This 173849-nucleotide long non-coding RNA is filed under the name Eucalyptus grandis. RNAcentral describes it as "long non-coding RNA (EGRA_LNC004060)". Lineage: Eukaryota; Viridiplantae; Streptophyta; Magnoliopsida; Myrtales; Myrtaceae. The record is from RNAcentral.